RNAcentral lists this long non-coding RNA (147728 nucleotides) under Capsicum annuum. RNAcentral describes it as "long non-coding RNA (CANN_LNC016855)". Lineage: Eukaryota; Viridiplantae; Streptophyta; Magnoliopsida; Solanales; Solanaceae. The record is from RNAcentral.
UCCCAAUGAGGAUGUGAAGGAGGGGGCUUUCUGAUACGAGUUGCUUGUUCAAAGCCAUAUGCAAUCUCAAUGAGUGUUGGCUCAGAUCCCUUUAGUCCUCCGAAGGAAGUUCCGAAUGGAACUCCACUUUUAUCAUAACCAGCAGGUACAUUGAUCCCUGGAUAACCUCCUAUCGCGAGAAGAUGAGCAAUGUCAGCACCAGGUGACAUCAAUGCGUCUAACGCCUUUUCCUUCAUCAUCUUCUCGAACCCGUAUUUACAUGCUUUUGUUAUGUUGCUCAGUGCCUCCCUUUCCAAUUUCCCUAUUCCAUUCGUCUUCUCAGCUGCCUCCAUUAUGUCUUGACCAUAUUCUUCGACUUUUUCCUACAAUGAUAUAUAAAAGGAAAGAAGAAAAAUCAACUUAGAUGGCCGCACAUCCAACCUCUUAAACUAAAUAUUGUUUGCGGAUGUAUAAUAUGUGUAUAAUCCACAUAUAACAUGUGUAUAACCGUGUAUAAUCUGUAUAUCGGCGAGGAACGAUAAGCAGUGAAUCCAGCCAACUAUUUAUGUAAAGUUCCCUAAAAAGAAUGAAAAACAGAUAUACUUCGAUUCUACUUCUACAGACAUGUAGUUCAGCUAAUUUCAAUUAACAAGUGAAAGCUUUUAAUUCCUGCAAUAAUGUACUGCAAACCAAUAUGAACAUAUUGUUAAAAAUUAUUUAUGAACAAAGUAGUACUGGAAUGACUUCAGCCCAAAUAUGACAGGAAUGGUUACAACAUUGUAUAACUGAUCUCAACUUAAUUUUCUAAUAUCGAGGUGCAGUUAAUUGAUUGACUAAUACUUACCGAAGCUGAAACCUUGUUGAAGGCAAUAACAUCUGCCAAGGAUCGGACUCGAGUGUAGACUAACUUUUUAAGAUAUGCAUUUAGGUUCAUCUUGGAUUCAGCAGAAAGUGCUAUGCGUUGAGCAACAACAAGAGCAUCUUGGACCAAGUCGAUGUUAGGUAUUUCCAGGUUGUCAACUAAUACUGCUCCUUUUUGCCUUCAAAUAUUUCCAAGAAAAAAAGAUGCAUCUCUUAUAGGAUUAACAUAAUAAAUCAAAAUCAAACAUGAUAUUUGGACACAAAAUAAUUACCAUUGACAACAAUCACGCACCAGAGGUUAUGAGAUAACUCUGACAAUGUGCUUGUAUAAGGCAUAAUACAUAAGCAUACACUCAAACUUGGUCUCAACUGGCAAGUAGGCACUCAAGCUUUGAGAGUGCACAUCUAGACACCGGAACUUGGUCUCAACUGGGAACUAAACACUCCAACUUGUCCCCACUGUGUUUCGUGGACACUAGACACUGACGUGACACAUAAAUUUUGGAGUUGUCUAUCAUUUUGUAAGUUAAAGUGUUCAGAAGUGACACAUAAAUUUUGGAGGUGUCUAUCAUUUUGAAAGUUAGAGUGUUUAAUUGACGCAAUGAAGAAACUAGUUGAGGUGUCUGGAUGUGCAUAUUAAAAGUUGGAGUGUUUAGUUGCCACUUGAGGUCAAGUUAAAGUGUCGAUCUAUGUACUAUGCCUUUAUAUAAGGUCUAGAGAGAGAACCUAGCUGAAACUAGUGAAAUCGUGAGGGCCCUCCCAUACGCCUAUCAAGUUGAGCCUACACUCACCGCCGGCUAUACAGGACCGGCCAAGCACAUAAAGUGCACGGUCUAAUAAUGAGUAAAACUAAACUAUAGAAAUAUAAGUACAAGUGAAAAGGAUUACCUAAAGGUGUUAAAAUGCUGUUGGUACGUCUUGAUAUCAUUGGAACCAAAAAGGUCCUUUGAAAUACCUAGUCUUUUAUCUUUGAGCCCAUCAGCCUUAAGAAAUUGCCGGUAUCCACCAUGUGGAAUGUAAGUGGAAGCCUUUUUAGUUGCUGGAAAAUCAUCUCGAUCGAAGCCAACAAUGGCAUCAAGAACCUCAACAGCAUCAGAUACUGUCCUGCAGAUUGGCCUGUUCUACGACAAAAAAGCAUUGUAUGAAAACAUUUUCGAUGUCUUCCAUGAUCAUGUUUGUUACCAAGUACUUGCAUUUUUGCUACUCUAAUGCAGCCUACAACGUCUAAAUUGUGGAUCUAAUACUAAAAACAAGUAGUCCUAUUUUGCAUCAUCAAAUUUUUCGCAGCUGUUCAAAACUCUGGCAUUAUAUAGUUCCACAAAGAGAAAAAAGAAUACUCCAUCCAUCCAAAAAGAAUGACACGUUUCCAUAUCUGAAAUUUUACUCUAAAUUUCUCGUUUAACCCUUAAUAAAAUGUUUCUAUAGCCACAUCAAUUCUAUAACAACCACAAUUUUCAACUUUCAAAAGCCAACACAAAAAAUGAGUCUUUUAGCGAAGUUAGCAUAUUUUGUCAAGAGGAAGAAACUUAUUACAUUGUAGCCGCUCAUGGUUAUUUUUGCUGAUUGGUCUUCCAAUGUGCUAGUUUCAAUGACUCUCUUUCGUUACAUUUCUUCCUUGCUGCUUGGCAUAUAGUGUCAAAUUUGUGCCGAAUGUCUCUCAAUGUUGAGAGUCUUGCCAUUAAAUAGAAAGUAUUCAAAGAUUACAUCCCAAAAAAUCCGCCUUUCCUGUCGCUACUAUCCCUUUGAAUCCGCUAUUGUAUCCCUUAUAAUCUGCUAUUCUAUAUCUUUGAUUACUACAUCAUAUCUCUAUAAUUACGAAUAUACUACAAUAUAUAAUUACAUUAAUAUAUACAAUAUUCACUAUUAAUUCAUGAUCUUUGAGUUGUCCAUCAUGCUAACAUAUAGUAGGUAUCUGGUUUACCGCCAGUGGCGGAGCCACAGCCAACGAAGGAUGGUCAGAUGAACACCCUUCGUCGAAAUUUUUUCUGACCAUCCUUCGUCGGAAUUUUUUUUCGAGUAUAUAGGUUAAAUAUAAUAUAGAAAUGUUGUUGCACGCCCUUGACAAGCUAGAGAAGCAUAGUCUAUGUGAAGAAAUGGACCUUGGGCCUAACUCAAUCUCAAAAGCUAGCUCAAGAGGUGAGGAUUACCCAAGUCCAUAUAAGCAAACCACUAGUCCAUUCCCCAACCAAUGUGGGACUUUUACCCACUCUAACAUUCUAGUGGUUAAGAGUGUGCAUUUCCGCAUCAACAACCCGGGUUUAAAUCUUGACAGGUGCAGCAGUGCUUUAUUUUCUUUGUUUUUUAAACAGUUCUUUGCCCAAGGAAAAAUAUAAACACCCUUAACCAAAAGUCUGGCUCCGCCACUGUUUACGGCUUUCGAUAUCAACACUAUGGUUUUCAAUCUAAAUAGUUUUAAUUUCAACCAAUCUACAGUUGAUAAUCAAGGGCUUUCCUUUCUUUCUUAAAAUACAUGCCAAAUCAAACUUUCUUAAAAUACAUGCCAAAUCAAACUAUGUCACAUAAAUUGUGACGAUUAAUUUUUACUUACCCAACAGUGUCUUGCCUAUGUGAAAUUGGGAUAACACCUGCCCUGCUAGUGAGGCCAACAGUUGGUUUGAUUCCAACAACUGAAUUAGCAUUGGCUGGAUAUAGAAUGGAUCCUGCUGUUUCUGUCCCCAAUGCUAGUGCUGCAAGGUUUGCUGCUACUGAUGUUGCAGAACCAGUGCUUGACCCUGAUGGAUCAGCACUUGCUACAUAAGGAUUCUGUAAUAACAUGAGUAAAAACACCAAAUACAUUUUUAGUCAAAUUGUUCUUAAAAAAAAAGGCAAUCUGGUGCACGAAACAUUCUGCAUUCAGGCAAAAUCCGUCAAUGCCAGCAACAUCCCAAGAGGGUACAAUGUAGGUAAUCUACCCCGACACAAGCAACGGCUCGCAAAUGUGAGGUCACACGAAGGUAGCUUUACCUUUGCUCCAACUUAAAGUAGUAUAUACACUAAAUUUGUUUGUGGCACGGUGUUUAAGAAAGUAAAGAAGAUUCUCCAAUCUUGUGAUCUCAAAUAAGGGGAAAGGACAUAAAUGUCACCUCGCCUAAAAUAUUUCCACUGAUAUAGGCAUUGAUUUGGCAAUUCCAAUAGAUAGCCAUUUAGGCUUUUCUGUCGCUGCGACUAUCCUUCUUUUUUUUUUUUUUUUCCUUAUUUAUUGUUUAAUUUUUAAUGUCAAUUAUUUUAUAGGUUACAUUCUCUUCCUUCCUAUUUUUUUUGUUUGUUUUUCACUAUUUUUUUUCUUCUCUCUUUUAAUGUUGUUAAUUUUUUUUUUUGAGAAAAGUCCACUCUGUCCACCUAUUUAUUUUUGUAGAUGCGAUCACGAAAAUAAAAAUAUGAAAUACAAGUCCACCCAUAAUGUUCUAUCUCUUUUCAUACGAGUUAACACUAUAGCGGCACUUUGAUUUUUUUUCUUUCUGCUCUCUCUCUUUUUAAUUAAAAAAAUUAUGGAAUGUUUGGAUAGUAAGGGUACAAGGUUUAAUAAAUUUUGUAUAUGCUUGCACAAAUUUUCACAAAAUUUUAGGUGAAGUUAAAAAAUUCACGAAUAACGAAUUACUAUAGAUGCUUGCACAAAUUUUCUCUGUAAAAGGUGUAUUUAUGUAGUAUAUAUACUGUAUCAACGUGGUAUAAAAGUGUAUCAAUCUAGUAUAAAAGUAUAUCAAUGCGGUAUCAAAGUGUAUCAAUAUGUAUAAAAGAGUAUCAAUUGGUAUAUGGACUGCAUGUACUUGCAUAAAUUUUUUUUUUUUAAAAGUGUCUCAACAUAAUAUAAAAGUGUAUCAAUGUGGUAUAAAAGUGUAUCAAUUGAGUAUAGAGACUGCAUGUUCCCAAUUGGGCCAAAUGGCUAAAAAGAGGAAUUAAAUUGGGCCGACUGGCUAAGGUUGUCCACCUUUUCAAUUAUGGGCCAUUUUUUUUUAAAAAAGUCAGCUCAUGUCCUUUUCCCCUCAAAUAAUAUACCAAAAUGUCCUUUAAUCUCAUGAUCAUAAACAUGUCAUGAAAAAGUUGAAAUUAAAGAUUUAUAAAAAAAGGAGAUCUUAUUGAAACAGACCAAAAAGAAAAGUAAUACAAACAAACUAAAACAGAGGGAGUAGUUUUUUUCCAGAUCAUAUACUACUUUAAAUCUUUGUUUCUCUUUCAUCCCUGUCUUUUGCAUCUUAACUAAUCACAAAGGUUGCAAAAUAAAUCUAUUUUUACUAACUAAACGACUUAAGUUAUGACUAUUUUUUGACUUGACCCAACCCGCACAUUUAUCACCCAUGGCGAAUCAAACUAUAUAUAUUAUUAAAUAUGACUCACCAGAGCUUGGCCAAGUCUUCCAUUCCAACCAUUAGGCAUCGUUGAAGAUCUAGAAGCAGCCCACUCAGUCAUAGUUACCUUGCCAAGUAUGAUAGCACCAGCAUUCCUCAACUUCUUGACCACACCAGCAUCUAGUGGCACAAUGGAUCCAACAAGUGCUAAUGAUCCUGCUGUUGUGUUAAGCUUAUCUUUUGUUGCAAUGUUGUCUUUGACAAGAACUGGUAUACCAUGUAGCCUGCUGGACAGUAGCGCCCCCGAUUUUCGUUCUUGAUCAGCUUUAUCUGCAAGAAAGAAUGCAUCUGGGUUCACUUCUAAGAUCCCUUUAAGAAUUGGAUUAGCUUUCUGGAUUUCACUUAGAUAGAACUCAACAAGUUGUCUUGAGGUAAGUUUGUUUUGCUUGAAAGCUAUUUGAAUAUCAUCUAUAGUUGUUUCCUUAAAUGAGAAUGUUUUUGCCUCACUGAUGUUACUGAAGUUGGAUAAUAUCAUGCACAGAGAAAUGAAGAGAAUGGAAAGAAGAGACAUUUUUUGUUUUGAUUGAAGAUAUUUGCUUCAAUAUUAGUCACAUAAAAGUGGAUAAGGAAUAAAGAGUCUUGGAGAAAUGAUAGAGUUGACUUUGUAUGACCAAUAGGUCACUGUGUUCGAGCCGUGGAAUCAGUCAGUAAUGCUUGUGUGAGCAUAGGCUACCGACAUUACAGAUUGAUUUGGGGCGCGACCCUUCUCUAAAUUUUGUUGAUAUGUAGGUCAUGUGUUAGAGCGGUUGGAAUCAAUCACUAAUGCUUGUGUGAGAGUAGACUAACUACAUACCCCAAAUUACACCCUUUGGGUACGACCCUUCUGUGAAAACACUUGCUAAGACUCCACUGAUGGAGCUAAGAAGAGGAGAAAGAUAAAAAAUUAUAACUGCUUCAAAACUUAUGUGUUACAAUCAGAUUGUUGUGCCUUAUAUAGGCAACAAAAUAUCUAAUAACUACCUUUCUUCUAGAACACUCUAUUUGAUAGCUCAUUGCCACUCACUAAUCAUUUUCUAACACCCUCUAACAACUUAUAUAGCUGACCCAGCAGUAUGCUACUAACUAGUUGAAUGCCUACUCCUAUCAAUAUUACACAUAAGUGGAACAGGUAGUCGUGUAUGUUCCAAAACACUCCCCCUCAAGCUGUAGGGUGCAGAACAUUUAGCACACCAAGCUUGCUAAGUAAGUGGGCAUGUUGAGCAAGACUUAGUCCCUUGGUAAGCAAAUCAGCAAGUUGAUCAGUAGACUGAACAUGUAGAGCCUUAAUCAAUCCAUCUUUGAUUUUGUCCCUAAUGAAAUGACAGUUAAUCUCAAUAUGUUUGGUUCUCUCAUGGAACACAAGGUUGUUGGCCAGUUGAAUGGCUGAAUUACUGUCACUAUAAACUGAAAUGGGGAGGUUGAUAGGGACCUUAAGUUCCUAAAACAAUCCAACCAGCCAAGUGAGUUCUGCAACUGCUGUAGCCAUGCUUCUGUACUCAGCUUCAGUAGAACUCCUGGAAAUAGUGUGCUGCUUCUUGGACUUCCAUGAUAUAAGUGAUUAACUAAAGUGAAUAGCAUAACCAGUAACUGAUCUUCUGGUGUUUAGACAAGCAGCCCAAUCAGAGUCACACCAGGAAGUCAAAGUAUUAGCAGGUUCAGCCUUUAACCAGACACAUUAGCCAACAAAAUUUCUUAGGUACUUGACUACCCUGGUAGCUGCUUCUCAGUGAGACUUCUUGGGAUGCUGGAUGAAUUAGCUGAGAGUUUGGAAAGCAAAGUUAAUGUCUGGCCUUGUAAUAGUGGCAUAAAUAAGCUUCCCAACAAGUCUUUAGUAAGAGGAAAUGUUAGACAACAGUUCAUCACCUUGUGCACCUAUUGCUUGGUCAUACUCAAUAGAGGUGGGAAUGGCAUUAGAAUCUAAGGGAGUAGUAACAGGCUUAGCACCACUAAGACCUGUUUCAGCAAUCAACUCUAGAAUAUACUUUCUUUGGUUCAGAAUAAUCCCUGAUGUUGAUCUUAAAACUUCAAUACCCAAAAAAUACUUGAGAUCCCCCAAGUCUUUCAUCUUAAACUACUGAUGCAACUUGAUUUUGGUAGAAUUGAUCAAGGAGGCACUACUUCCAGUGAUUAGUAAAUCAUCAACAUAAACAAGAACUAUAACAGUAUCAUUAGCUUGAUGCAGGGUGAAUAGGGAAUAAUCAUGUGCACUUUGAGUAAAACUAGCAUCAAGUAAGGCAUGCGUAAGCUUAACAUUCCACUGCCUGGAGGCUUUCUUAAGACCAUACAAGGAUUUGAUCAACUUACACACCUUGUGCUCUCCCUGUCUUAUAAAUUCUUCAGGCAUUUCCAUGUAAAAUUCCUCCUCAAGAUCCCCCUGGAGGAAUGCAUUAUGCACAUCCAUUUGAUGAAGAUUCCAACCUUUAGAUGCAGCUUGUGCAAUCACACAUCUGACUGUAACCAUCUUAGCCACUGGUGAGAAGGUUUCAUGAUAGUCCAACCCUUUUUGUUGGCUAUAUCCUUUGGCCACUAACCUUGCUUUGAACCUCUCCAUUUCACCAUUGGCAAGAUAUUUGAUUUUGUAUAUCCACUUGGAACCAACAGUAUUCUUCCCUUUAGGUAGAUCAAUAAUGACCCAUGUGUUGUUAGCUUCCAAGGCUUGAACCUCUGAUUUCAUAGCUUCCACCCACCUUUCAUCUUUUACAACCUAUUUAUAAUGCUGAGGCUCAGUUAAAGUGGAGAAUUUAGAUAAAUAGCACUGAUAAGUAGGACUCAGAUUUUUAUAAGACAAGCUGUUGGCUAAUGGAUAUUUGCAUCUCUAAUUUCUAGAAGUAUCAACAUAAUCAUGCAUCCACACUGGUGGUUUGCUUGUUCUUGCAGGUCUACUGGAAGAGGGUUGAGGCAGGGAACAGUUAUCUUGACAUGUUUCUUCAUGAGUGGUGCCAGGUGAAGCUGCACCAGGAACUUCAGCAUCAGAAAUGUCAUCCUCCUCAAUUGGAGCUCCUUCAGUAACACUCUCAGUAUUUGUUUCAUGAAAUGUUUCUUCAUUUGUGGGAAUCAAAAAGUCAGUAAUAUUUUCUCCAGAUGUGGAAGCUUGUAUGUUUUGUGCUGGUGAGGAAGCAAAAGGAAAUGUAUCUUUAUAAAACACAACAUCUCUACUGACUAAUAGUUUCUUUGAGGUGAUAUCCAGCAGUAAAUACCCCUUCUGAGAUUUUGAAUAUCCCACCAAGACUGCAGGUUUGGCCCGUUCUGUGAACUUAUCACCUCUUGGAAGGAUAGUGACAUAACACAAGCAUCCAAAUACCCUGAGAUGUGACAACUUGGGAUCCUUGAAAAACAUUAACUGAAAUGGGCUCUUACCACUUAGAAUAAAAGAUGGUAACCUGUUCAUUAGAUACAUUAGAUAUACUGCAACCUUUACAUAUAGUCCCCAAUACUUAAUGGGCAAGUUAGACUGAAACUUGAGGGCUCUAGCUAUUUUUAAUAUGUGUCUAUGCUUCCUCUCCACAACUUCAUUCUAUUAAGGAGUGUGAGGAUAGCUGGUCUGAUGUAGUAUGCCCAGGGACUGGAACAAUGUCUUACAUUGAGAGUAGAUAAAUUUAGUGCCAUUAUCAGAUCUAAUGGUUUUUACCAUUAUGUCAAACUGAGUUUUAAUCAUGGAAACAAAUGUCUUAAUAGCCAUUAUGGCAUCAGACUUUAACUGCAACAGGUGCACCUAAGUGUAUCUAUUAUGGUCAUCUACAAUAGUCAAGAAGUAAUACUUAUUGUCAAAAGUAGAAGUUUUAUAUGGACCCCACAAAUUCAUGUGUACAAGCUCAAAACAUGUAGAGCAUCUAGUAGUACUUAAAGGAAAUAACAAUCUUGUCUGUUUAGCUAAUGGACACACAGAACAUUUAUUCAACAUGUUUGCAUCACUAGGAUUCUUCAUAAUGUCUAAACACUUUAGAACCUGAGCAACAGGGUGUCCAAGUCUUUGAUGCCAUAAGAUGCAACUGGAAGUGGAGACUUCUGCAAUAAAUCUGCUGGCUUCUGAUCUUAACUGACUAGCACCUUUAAGAACAUAUAGUCCACCAUCUUGUCUACCAAUCCCGUUUACCUUACCAUUGAAGAGGUCAUGAAAGAUACAAAAAUCAGGAUAAAAGAAUACAAAACAUAAAAGUUCCUUCGUUAUCUUGGCAACAGACAAUAAAUUGAGUUUGAAGUCUGGAACAUGUAGAACAUCUUUGAUCACAUCAUCUGCAAAGAUGUGAGCUUCUCCUGUGUGUGAGAUUGUAACUUCAUCACCUGUUGAAAGGUGCAACUUAUCCACAUGCUUGGAGUCUAAUCUGGUACCUCCUUUGAACAAGUGUCUAUGUGCAAACACAUGAUGUGUAGCACCUGAGUCUACAAUCUAACUGUCAGAACAUGCUUUAGACAAGAAAUGAGUAGUAAUACCUAUCGUAUUGACUUGUUUCAUAUCUGUUGUGUCUUUGUUCAACAUAGUUAUAAUCUGAGUGUACUCUUCCUCAGUGAAUGUGUAAGGCUUGGCCUUUGGUGUGGGAGUUACUUCAUGACUAGAACUAUCAGCAUCAACUUAACCAACUACCAUAGUUGAAGCCUGAGAAAUAGACCUUUGAUCAGUGUUUACAAAGUUGUUACUGCCAGUAUACUGUGAUCUGAAAUUAGAGUUCUAGCUUUGUUUCUUCCUGUUCUUCCAGUCAUUUCGAUACCCUACCAACUUAUAGCAAGUUUCCUUGGUAUGACCCAAUAGAUGGCAAUAAUCACACUUUCUGCCUCUAUAGUUAGAGUUGCUUUGUCCAAAAACAUAAUUUCGAUUCACUUGCAUAGCACGUGGUUUUGAUCUAUCAUUCACAGUCAUUAUACAUGCUGAAUGUUAGAUUUCAUCCUCUAUGAGCAUAGCAUAAACUUGAUUGAGAGUAGGAGUCAUUCCUUGGAGCAAUAUCUGUCUUCUAGCUUGGUCAUAGGACUCAUUCAGGCUGCUUAAAAACUAUAAAAGUCUAAGUUGACACAUAUGAUCUGAGUACUCUCUAGAUGUAGGACAAGCACAACUAGGAUUUGGCACUAGUACAUCAUACUCACUCCAUAAACUCUUCAAUUUGGUAAAAUAGGCUGAGAUUGAAUCUGUACCUUGAGAGUGCAUAUUAAUUUCGCGAUGCAACUGGUAUGUACGCAUACGAUUCACCUUGUCAUACCUCUCCUUCAAAUCCUCCCAAACUGCACAAGCAUUCGUGGCAUAAACAAUGCCAAAUAACAGACUCUCACUCACAGUGUUCAUAAUCCAGGAAAGCACAAUUGUAUUACAUGUUUCCCACUGCUCAUGAAGCUCCUCUCUAUAUGAUUCCUUGUUGCAGGCACCAGUGACAAAUCCAAACUUCCUCUUUCCUAAGAGAGCAAUACGCAUCGAUCGACUCCAUAAACUAUAAUUUUUUGAACCAGUUAACUUGAUUGAAACAAGUACAACACUGGAGCUCUCAGAUGUACCAAUGAAAAGUGGAUCACUUUGAUCGAUUUUAGGUGCCAUGAUUGAUAAAAUGCAACUGUAAUAUAGGUCGAAAUUGCGAAAAAGAGCUGAAGACAGAGAUCCAAAAUGCGCAGAAAACUAGUGAAAUGUGAUCGAAAACACACACUUAGUGUAGAACUCGUGGCUUUGAUACCAUGUGAAAACACUUGCUAAGACUCCAUUGAUGGAUCUAAGAAGAGGAGAAACAUAAAAAAUUAUAAUUGCUUCAAAACUUAUGUGUUACAAUCAGAUUGUUGUGCCUUAUAUAGGCAACAAAAUAUCUAAUAGCUAUUUUUCUUCUAGAACACUCUAUUUGACAGCUCAUUGUCACUCACUAAUCAUUGUCUAACAGUCUUUAACAACUUAUAUAGCUGACUCAGCAGUAUGCUACUAACUAGUUGAAUGUAUACUCCUAUUAGUAUUACACAUCAGUGGAACAGAUAGUCGUGUAUGUUCCAAAACACCUUCUCUAAAUCUUGUUGAUAUAGAGUUGCUUCAUCCACCAAGCUGUAUUUAUUUUAAUAGUGGAUGCAUGAUUAUAGCUGACCAUAAACUCCUUUCGGUCCCAAAUAUUAGUUGUUUUGACAAAGUAAAUUUGCUCCAAGAAAAUAAGAAGUCAUUUACUUUCGAUUAUCUUCCAAGUUUAUGAUCAACAUUUCAAUUUAAUUAUUGGAGUAUUAAUCAAGUGAGACGUUUAAGAGAGAUAAAGGUUAGUCUAACAACUAGUUUUAUGAGUAAGGUUAUUAUAGUAUUUAUUUUUAAAGAGACUGCCAAAAUUGUCAAAGGCAGAUAAUAUAAAUCAAAUAUAAAUGAAGAGCAUGGCCUGUUGUAAGAUAAGAUUCUUUUUAUGUGAUUUGACAUAUUCUCUUCCAAAAGAUCCAAAGUAUUUAAUUUUUAAAGAGCCUGCCAAAAUUGUCAAAGGCAGAUAAUAUGAAUCAAAUAUAAAUGAAGAGCAUGGCCUGUUGUAAGAUAAGAUUCUUUUUAUGUGAUUUGACAUAUUCUCUUCCAAAAGAUCCAAAUGCCUGUGUGGCCCACUAAUCACUAUCAAACUUUUUUCUAUAAUCCUCUUUUAGAAAGCAUUUGUUGCACAUGACAAAUAAUUCAAAAAUUAUAGUUGUCAUAUAUAAUUGGUAAAUUCAUUCUCCUAGUUAUUUGAUCAUAUUACAUGCUAAUUGCUUAUAUAAGAAAUUGAAUAUUCAACAAUCAAAUUUCCACUUUAAUGCAACAGAUGUUGGUUCUUACUUUUACCACCACAAAUCGUGGAUUCAGUCAAAAAUAAUAGUAGAAAAUUUUCAUAAAUACUUAUACUUUGGACCAUAAUUACCAUCACUAUAAAGAGUAUAUUAAAUGCCUGAAGUUUACUUUUCAACUAAUUAUUGCAUUUAAUUUCAUGUGACGUGCGAUGAGAUUCCUUCACUUUUAAUUAUCAUCAAACCUCUUCCACACAACCACAUAAUUCAUCUUACAAUUACCAUCAUCGAUCAUCACUUUGUUAACUACUGUUGCUAGUUGUUGUUGAGGAUUAUGUUUCAUUAUGCUAUUUUACUGCUCCAUUCAUUCAUUUUUUGUUUUAUUAAUUCACUGCAGCACUACUGAACUGACUAGCCAGAUAAGUUUGUCGCUUAGUUAGUUAGAUGAGUUGGCUGAUUGAUAAUUAGUAGGUUAUUAGUGAAGUUUGAGUGUGUAGUGAGCUGGCACACAAGAAUGUUCUAGAACAAGUUAGCUAUUCCUACAACUCAAUCUAUAAAAGGCUGAAUAUGCUCCUCAUUGUAAAGACUAGAAGCAGUUAUAAAAUUCUCUAUUGUUCUUCCUCUUCUUUCUUCUAAGCUCCAUUGAUAGAGUCCUAGCUGAUUGAGAUAGUUUUCACAUGGUAUCAGAGCUAUCGAUACUGGUUGCUUCUAGGCUGCAUUUUAAGUUGCAUAGAAGGUCUCUAGCUAGUUACUCGUAGCAAAAUUGCAGUAGCUAAUGGCACUCAAAAUUGAUCAAAAUGAUCCUCUAUUCAUUGGAUCCUUAGAUGUUACUAGUGCUGUAUUGAUCCUAAUAAAAUUGACUGGACGUGAGAAUUAUGGCGUAUGUAGAGAAGAUCUGCAUGAGCAAUGGGAGACAUCCAAUGCCAUUGUUCUAUCAUAGUUAAUGAACACAAUUAGUGAAGAACUUCUUAAUGGGAUAGUAUAUGCUAUGAAUGCCUCUGAAAUUUGGGCUGAUUUGAAAGAGCGAUUUAACAAGGUCAAUUGACUGAGAGUGUAUCAAUUGCAUAGGGAAAUUACCAUGCUUUCACAAGGUAUUGAUUUUGUAUAUCACUACUACACAAAAUUGAAAACCUUGUAGAAUGAAUAUGAUGCUGUCACACCCUCACCUAGCUGUGAUUGUCCUCGAUCGAGAGACUACGUGGAUCACUUGUCAUAAAUGAGACUGAUACAGUUCUUAAGUGGCUUGAAUGAUCUCUAUGAUCAAGCACGACGACAAAUUCUCCUAAAAGAAACUACUCCUGCACUCAACCAAGCAUAUGCAAUGCUAAUUGAGGAUGAGAUCCAACACUCCACAUGUAUAGCUACGAUGGUUGGGAAAUCAGAUCAACUUACUAUGAGUGUCAAUAGGAAUUAAGGAAAAGAGUAUUACAAAGGGAAAAAAUAUGAAUUUUUCAAUUUUACUGGCCAUACCAAAGAAAACUGCUAUUUGUUGAUAGGUUAUUCAGUGGAUUGGAAAUUGAGAAAGAAAUCUGGUGGUAAUGGUGCUUUUAGGAACUCUAAUUUUAGAAGCAAUACCUGGCAUAUGUAUGGUAAUCAUGGAAAUACUGGUCAAGAAGGAAACUCUGCAGCAAACAAUAUCUCUAGUGGAUCCUGUGAUCAAAUUCAAGUUGUAUCAACUAGCCAAUCAUCCACAAGCCAUGAAGGAAACAUUGCUGCUAUGGCAAAGGGAUAAGCCAUCUCUGAAGAAGAAUACAAACAAAUUCUUAAUAUGCUUUACAAGGAUAUUUCAGAGACUAAGAAGAUUAACAUGACAGGUAUUACCACUUGUUUAAUGUCACAUACGACAUUUCCAAAAGACUAGAUAAUAGAUUCUUGUGCUUCUCACCACAUAACAUCCAGUAAGUGCGGACAUUCAUUACCUGACUAAACCACAGAAGGAUCAAGUUCAUUUACCUACAGAAGAUAAAGUAAAAGUAACUCAUACUGUUACAAUAGAUAUUUUCUUAGAUUCAAUAGUGGAAAAUGUUCUAUUAGUCCCAAAUUUCAAAUUCAAUUUGUUAUAUGUUUCCAAAGUCACAAGAGAACUCACUUGUUUUAUUUCCUUUUACCCUGACUUUUGUGUCUUUUAAGACGUAUUGAGUGGCAAGGUGAAAGGGAUUGGUAAGAAACAUGGUGGAUUAUACAUCUUCAAAAUUGAGACUAUGCAAAGGCAUCUAGGCAAAGACAACAAUAACUCAAAAAGAUUAAUUACUCUAACCGUGAUAAUACCCGAUGUCAUGUUAUGGAAUUCCAUGCUGGGACAUCCUUCUUCUCAAGAUUUAAAACAUCUGAAGUUGAUGGAAUGCAACAAUGAUAGUGAGAUUCUAAAUAACUAUCUUGUUUGUCCAUUAGCUAAACAAACUAGACUCUCUUUCCUAUCUAGUAAUUCUAGAGCAUCUGCAUUGUUUGAGAUAGUUCACAUAGAUCUUCGGGGACCAUAUAAGACCCCUACUAUUGAUAAGAAAUAUUAUUUUAUUAUAAUUAUAGAUGAUCAUAGUAGGUUUGUAUGGGUUUAUUUAUUGUAGUUAAAGUCUGAAACUAUUGUUACCAAGAGUAGAAUGAUAUAGUAGAAAGGAAACAUAGUCACAUAUUAGAGAUUGCUAGAGCCAUUAGAUUUCAAUCAAAGCUGCCUAGUAACUUCUAGGGAUUUUGUGUUCAAGCUUCAAUAUACUUGAUGAAUUGACUACCAUCAUAUGCUUUAGCCAAUAAGACUCCAUAUGAACUAUUAUAUUGCAAGGGGCCCAUGCUGGCACAUUUAAGGGUCAUAGGAUGCCUUUGUCAUGCCUCAUGCUUACCAAAAGGUGAUAAAUUUUCAGCCAAAGCUGUUCCUGCUACGUUGUUAGGAUUCUUAGAGCUACAAAAAGGUUAUAUAGUGUGGGACAUUUCCAUAAGCAAGAUCUUUGUGUCCUGGGAUGUGUCCUUUAGAGAAGAUAUUUUUCCUUUUGCUGAUGCUCAUAUUGGAAGUUCUUUCUAACCAUUAGUUUCACCCAGUUCUCCUUUGGAAAUAGUGCAUGAUUCAUGUCUAGCUGAUGCCUUAAAUAAUAAAGGUGCAAUUGACUGCACACUUAAACCUUGCAUAUCUUUACCACCGGAUGAGACACCAUCAGAUUAAGCAUCUCAUACUAUUCUUCCAUCACAUGCUGCAGAGAUUUUUCCUCUUAGAAAAACUAGUAGAGUAACCAAACAACCAUCCUGGUUGAAAGGCUUCUCUACUAUCAUAAGGCCUCAGACUAGUACUAGAUAUCCUAUGUCAAACUACCUCUCAUAUGAUCAUGUCAACCCUUAUCAGUACUAUGUGGCUAAGUUUACUCAUCAUCUAGAGACUAGGACUUUUAAGACAGCUACAAAGGAUGAUAGAAGGAUUGCUGCUAUGAAGCAAGAGAUCCAUGCUCUUGAGGAUAAUCAAACCUAAAAGGUGAUUGAUUGGCCACUUGGAAAACAUAAAGCUGGAUCUAAAUGGGUGUAUAAGGUCAAAUACCAAGAAAAUAGUAUGGUAUAAAGAUACAAGACAAGGUUGGUAGCAAAAGGUUAUAGUUAGUUGAAAGGCUUGGAUUAUCAUGAUCCAUUUUCCCCGGUUGCCAAAAUGGUUAUAGUACGAUGUGUCAUUGCUUUAGCUGCCUCCUAAGGAUGGAACAUGUUUCAAAUGGCUAUAUACAAUGCUUUUCUUUAAUGUGAUAUAGAUGAAGAAGUAUAUAUGGAUUUACCUGAUGGUUUUAAGAAACUAGGGAAAACUGAGAAGACUAAAGUCUGCAAUUACACAAAUCCUUAUAUGAUCUUAAGCAAGCUUCCAUGCAAUGGAACAUUAAGCUGACUUCUGCCUUGUUAGAUACUGGUUUCUCUCAAAGUGCACAUGAUUAUUCUCUCUUUACUUUUAAGAAAGCUGAAGACAUAGUGGUUGUACUAGUGUAUGUUGAUGAUUUUCUCAUCACAGGGAGCAAUGGCCAGUUAAUUGACGAAUCUAAGAAAUCUCUACAUUAGAGGUUCAAACUGAAAGAUCUAAGCCAUCUCAAGUACUUCUUGGGAAUUGAGGUGUUGAUAUCAAGUUUAGGUGCUAUACUAAAUUAGAGAAAGUAUAUUCUAGAGUUGAUUCAUGGUACAGGCCUUAGUGGUACCAAGCCUAAUCCUACUCCUUUGGAAUCUAACUUGAGGUUGACCUCAGUAGAGUAUAACAAGGUAAAUGAUGUUAUUGGAGAUCGGUGACACACUAAACUUACUCCAUAAGUUAUGGAAAAGGCGAUCAUUGUCAAAUAUAAUAAUUCAAUAUGAGUUGGGGUCAAAUCCUCGAGGAGUGAAUCUAGUAUUCAAAUUCUAUGGGUGUUAAAAGCAUCUAAGUUUAUACCCAUCAUAUAAACUAAAUGAAAUACAUGAAUUAAAAUUUGGGGGGGGGGGGGGGGGGGGAUGUAUGGUUUGGAAAAAUUAUUUUAACAAAAACUACUCAAAUUACCAAUUGGGAGCAACAAAUGUAGAUAAGAUUUCAAUAGGAGAAUGGUCUUGGGAUUAUGUUUUCUUAGGGGAAAAUAGUGCGUGGGUUCAUGAUAAUCAAAUACAACUUCUAGUUAAUAACUAGAUGGGUAGGCUAGAUUAGGGGUUUUGAUGCUAGCUUUUCAACCAAACACAAAAGAUAUCACUUAUGGACCCUUUCGGAUACCUCAUGAAUGUGGUAAAAAAAUCUACCCAAUACCUCAAUUGGGAAUCCCUAUUUCGAGGAAGAUGCCCGAGACAUAACAAAUUCAUAAUCCACACUUAUUUCUAAGACAAUAAAAAUGAACAAGCUAAUAUCUAAUUUAUUGUUCACAAAUACUAUUCACUCACAUCCCUCUUACAAGGAUGAUGUGCAAUUUGGAGAAAUUGGGGCUUUCACCCAUAAAUCCCAAUUUAGCAAUCAAAUAUUUGUGAACUCCACCAUCAUCAACUAUGAAUUUACACUAAUAAUCAAAACCCACACACAUUUGUACCCUAUUCAAACAUAAUCCCAAGAUAGAAUAUUAGCUACUCAUGGAAAUAGGAAAAAGAGCAUUACCCAAAUUGACAUUCAUUUCCUCAAUUGAAAAUAAAGCAAAAGUAAUCCCAAAAUUCCAAGCUCCAAUUACAACUAAAAAUAUUUUUUUUGGAAGAUUAAAUCUAAUUGUUCUUCUCAUACUAAUUGGAAGUUUUCUCUCUAUUUUUCUUUCAAAGGUUGUUGGAAGAUAUUGCCAAAGUGAAAGGGUUUGCUCUUUUGAGAGAUUGGAACCAGCUGUGGAAAAUUAUCAAUCUGCCCCUGGGCUGAUUUACACCUCAUUACGAUCGUUGGUGCAUUGAUCACGAUCGCGGCUCCUGCAGCCGCGGAGAACCUAUUGCGAUCGCCAACUUUGACUGAUUUGGAUUGGCCGCGUUGCGAGCCUCAGACCGCGAUCGCAGUAACUGAGGGUCAAUUUCUGCUUCUGCUUUUCUAGAUUUUGCACUACUUCUUCCUUUUUUGAUAUGUUUUUAGGAUAUUUCACUUCUUUGCUUCUCAUCACCUGUAUGCCUACAAAACAUGGGAAUUAGCGCAUUCAAAUGACAAAUUUGUAUCAUUAACACCAGUAACUCAUAGCAGUAUGCAUGGAUUUGGGCAUCAAUGAGUGGUAAAUAAGCGAUCACGGUAACUGAGGGUCAGUUCCUACUCCUGUUUUUCCAUCUUUUGCACUACUUCUUCCCUUUUUGAUAUGUUUUUAGCUCAUUUUACUUCUUUGCUUCUCAUCACCUGUAUGCCUGAAAAACAUGGGAAUUAGCACUUCAAAUGAUAAAUUUGUAUCAUUAAUACCAUUAACUCAUAGUAAUGUGCACAAAUUUGGGCAUCAAUGAGUGGUAAAUUAACCACUCAUCAACACCCCCAGCUUAAAACUUUGCUUGUCCUCAAGUAACACUACUUCUUAUUCAAUGAGACUAUGCAAUUGUAAGCCCAUUUAUACAAUCAAAUGAUCACAGUGACUUUGAACUUGAUCAACACCAACAACUAGCUCUCAAACAUGGGUAAAGCUAUUCUCACAAUUCCCCUCAACAUGAAACACAACCUCAAAGAUGCAAAAGACUUUAAAUAACAAUAAUUCAACAAUUUCUAGCUCUAUAGAAGUGACUCUCUAUCGAUAGCAACUUCACUAUGCUCAUUUUGCCUUAUUUUUUGGAAGAUGAUAAUUUCACCCACCUCAAUUGGUCUACAUGCCUCCCAAUGAGAAGAAAAUCGUACACGCCAAAUUAUCUAUUAUACAACAAGAGAUUUUAGUGCAAAGCACUCUCUCACAAAAAUCUCUCAAUGCUAACAAGUGCCAUAUCAUAGGCUUUCUCUUAUUUUCAAUCGCCACUACUAUGAAUACACUUGGUUGGAGAUCUUAUAGGGCUUUUAAAGCUUGUAAUGUAGGUUCAGGAAGGGGUAUGAUAUCAUUUAGGAACAAAGUGACUAUACCCUCCUUGAACAUCUACAUCAAACUAUUCAACCCAACUUUUGACCAUGGAUAACUUCAUUUGUUUCCAAAAUUCACACAUGACUACUUUUGCUACCUUGAUUUACCUAUCUCAUUGAAAGCAUUCUCUUUUUAGCUAUUUCUUUUUGAUAUCUAUGCUAUUCCUUCUUUUGAUGAUUCCUUUAUUUUUAACUUUUUCCAUUUCUUUCUGUGCUUAGCAUCAUAUGCAUCCACUUAUAUUAUCAUGGACCAAGGUCAUCUCCUUUAAACUUACCACCCAACUUAGGUAUUUGGACUCAAGUUUCAUUUUUCAAGUUCAAGGAGGGUAAGGAUCAAAAGAGGGAUCAAUUUCAAAAUGAUCAAGACUUGUAAUGUGAUUUCCAAAGAAAGGAUUGAAGGUUCAAAAUGGGUAACUAAGGAUACUAUUCUAUGUACGGGUAGACUAUUUAGGCUAAAGUGGGUUCCUAUGUUCACAAAGAAGGCCCAAGAUCAUUUCACCAACCAAGCAUAAUAAAAAAUAGCCUUGAGAGACUAACGGGGCAAGUUCUAGAUGAUACAAGUAUGCAUGAGAGUCAUACAAUUACACUCACCGUACAUGGCAUGUAAACUUUUCAAGAAGGCUCAAUUGCAUUUCCUUCUAGAUAUAAAAAAGGGACUAUUUACCAAAUACACAAGAUAAAGACUUCGCAGUCACAAAAAGAGGUAAAGUAUUGUUACAAAAUUAUUCAUGUCCAUGCCCUUGGUUUUCAAAAUUUUUUUUUGGACGGAGGGGGGUGUUUGCUUCGCAUUUACACCACACCAAAUUUGCUAUUGGUGGCACCAAACUAAGCCACCGUCUUAUAUUUUUGAUCUCCUGAGGGCAAACCAUAUGACUACUCAGACUUCACCAUAUGUAUAAGGGCGAUCCAAAAACUCCAAUGCCAUCGGUACUUAGACUUCCCCUACAUAUAUGGAUCAAAACCCAAUCACGAUGAUUUUCCCUUAAGAAUGUCGCACUCAAUCCAUCAUCGGGAAGGGCUCAUCCAAAAUCAAUCAAAAGAGACACAAAAAUCCUUAUGCUUGUUGUGAGACUUUUAGAUUACGAUGCCCAGACAUCGACAUAACUCCAACACCCCCAACUUAAGGAGUUAAAGUUCCCUCACUACAACAUAUAAAAGAAUUACAAGGAUUAAAAAGGGAUCCCUUAAGCAACAACACACAUUUCUUUGGACUAUCGUGAUCGCGAUAGGAUGUACCACGAUCUCAAACCUCAGACCGUGAUCACAGUAACUGAUUGUCAUGACCUAAUUCAUGAGUCGUGAUGACACCUACUAAACCCACCAAUAGGUAAUCCAAUACCAUAAACCAGAGCUAAGGCAAUGGGUUACUCUAGUAGAAACUCCCAAUAAGGGCCAUACUAGAUUCACACAAUAAUAAAAAACAAUGUUUCACAAUAGACAAUCGACUAUGGAUACCAAUCCCAUGACUUUAUUGUCAUGACCUGAGAUGAGGCCCUGGCAGCGAAGAGUAUCCCAAACCCAAAGGCUCAAGAGACUCCUUAGCAUUCUACCAUAAGCAUAAUCUAUAGAUAAAUCAAAGUACGAAAGAUAUAAUGAAAAUUCAAUGAAAAUUUAUAAUACAAGAUGUGUCAACAAAAUAUGAUAAUACAAUACUUAACUUCCAUCUACAAGCCUCUAUUGAAUUACUAGUCACUCUAGACUGGGACAAGGCCCCCAAAAGGACCAUAAGACAACUAAACUAACAUAAUAAUAGAAUGCCUUUAGAAGCAAGGGAGGCUCACCAAUGCUGGAGUUUAGGAAGUAAUCUACUACUGAGUUAGACCCUGUAAAUCUGCCUCAGAACCUACAUUAUGAGACAAUGUAGCCGCCACAAAGGACGGUCAAUACCUGAAAUGUAUUGGUACACAGAACUAACCAAAAGCAACAUGUAUUCUAUAUAAAAUAGUUGAGAGCAUUUAGAAAACAAUUUAACAUAGUAUAUACAUAAAACACAUGGGCAUAAUUUGAUAAAUUUCAAAACAUUUUAUUGUAAUCAUGACUCAACUCUUUGCUUUACUUCUGAGCUAGAUGGUACACCCUAUAUUUCUACGAUCCCACAAAUUAUAUGGAAUUCACCCUUGACUCAGCAGCCAAGCCUCCAAUCCAAGUUUGCCACAAUAAUUGGAGUCCUAAAUACUAUUCUAGUACACCAGUGAUCAGAGGCAAGUAUACACUGGCCAUUCACAUAUUCGAAAUACCAAUCAUAUCUCCCAAGUCGGCAAAACUAGGUUUCCAGCAAUGAGCCCUUACACUUAAAUGCCUUCUUCGGGAAACCAUCUAAAUCUCUUUAAUCCCAAUUUUAGUCCUUUAAAAAUCAUUCUUCAUGCUAAAAAAACAUUCAGUGCUUAUUCUAUUAAGGGCAUAGCUGCACAGGGCAUCAUCAUACCCAGACUUGUAAGUCAUUCAUAUCAUAUCAAAUCUACAACCCUUCUAAUUCAAAAUAUAUAAAUGACCACCAAAAUAUUUAUCAAAUCACACGAGAGUUCUUAUUAUCAAAAACAUAUGAAACUUAUGCAAACACACUCUCUUUACAAGAGUUUAAUACUUGGUGGUCAAUUCUUUCUUUAAUCACAUGUAGUUUCUUCAUUAAAAACCAUAGUAUUUAGAAUAGAAAUCACCUCUUUGAAAAACAGUUAAAACAACCAUCCAUAACAAGUAAAGAAACAUUCAAACUCAAGAAUCAUCUUUAUUCAUAACACAACCUCAAUAUUUGUUAUACGUAAAUCUCAUGAUAAAAAACGGUCUUAUAAUUUCAUGCUUUUAAAGCCAAUUCACAAUUCAUAACAUGCUAAUGCCACGACCUGAACCAGGGUCUGACCGUGACGAGCAUUUCGAACCAUGGAGGCCCCAAACAUCCCUAUCUGUCUAGUAAUGAUGCACCUAAUUUAUAUGAUCAAAGUAAUGCAGAAGAAACACAAUAUAACAAAAACAUGGUCAAGAAUCAUAUAAAAAUGAAAAUGGGGAUUAGUGUCCCACAAUCUAAAUCAACAUUUCUAAAACCGUCUGCGAAAUCUCUACUACAUGACUGAAAUAAUGUCUAUCUGAAAACUAGGACAAGGCCCCAAACAGACCCCAAAACUAAAUAUAAGAUAAAAGGACUGCAGGACAUUAGACCUUCCGAAACAUAGAAGGCUCACAUUUGUCUCUGCAACUCUGUCUGAAUGAUCUACUGAUUCUCUUGACCCCUAGACUGGGCCUCUGAACCUGGGACAUUGGAGAGGGGAGGGGGUCAGAACAAAAGUACUGGCACGCAGAGAUAUCAAAACAAAAUAUAAUAUCUUUACAAAAUAUAGUUGAGAGCCAUUAUAAAGCAAUUUCAUGUCAAAUCAUUUGAAAACACAUGGGUAUAAUGCAAUAGUUUCUCAACAACAAUGAAAUGCAAUUGAGCUAGGUGGAAUACCCUACAUAAUUUACACUAACUGUCUAACCUCGGUUGCCACCGAGAUUAGAGUAUAAGUGAGGGAGAGACACACAAGAUCAUAUAACAUGGUGUCUCAACCCAAUGGUAGUGCCCAAGAUCACUUAGCCUAGGCUCCUACCUAUAGUCCCAAUUUGGGAAUGACAUAAAAUCAAGUACACAAGAUCACUUAGCCUGGUACCAAAUCUCCGUGUCGGCAAACACGUUUUCCAGUGAUGAGCCCUUACACUCAUACGCCUUCCUCAAACGCCUUCUUCGGGCAUCCACCUUUCUCAUGUAAAUCAAUGCAUUUAAAUUUCAUCUUAUUCAAUCAAAUAUCGUAUUCUGUAGGGUAUCAUCAUACCUGACUUUCAAGUCAUCAAUAUCACAUCCACAUAUGCAUAAUCAUGUAAAAACCAAGGUGCUUCAUCAUUUACAAGUGGUGAACAAUAUUUAUUUCAAAUUCAUGCUCUCUUUUGUUGGUCACAAUAUGAUAUGGGGUAUCGAGACAUUAUCAUGGGAAUUUGAAAGCAAUUUAUCAUUCAUAUUUAUCAAACUUCCAUGGAAAAUCUCAAAUCACAUAUGCAUGGUUUCAACCAUUGAAGUAUAUAGGCAAACAAUUCGCAUGACAUAAAGAAAGAUGACUUAGAAAUCAUAUUGAAAGCAAGUUAUUAGCAUUUGAUUGAAAACCCCCAUUUAAAAGCAUGCAUGUUCAUAAAAACUACACCCAUGAGAUUUUAGGAUAACCCCACGUACCUCUAUUUCCAAGGAUAAUAGAUGUUUCUUGAAGCUUGCGGAUUGGUGAUUCCAAAUAUGUAAUUAUCUUUGAAAACCUACGAUCGAAUCUUGAACUAUUUGGGUUUUUAUUUUAAAAUCCUAGAUAGAGCUCUUGAACAAUUUGGAUGAAUGAAGGUGUAUUUUGGGGUCUUUGGGAACUGAAUUUCGUGUUUAUGGCUAAAUAAGGGUGAAAAGGACCAUUUUAUCCCAAAAACGGAGUGUUUAAGUCACCUGAAAACUUUACAUAGACGGUGCCUAUGCUAUCACCUAUGUUUACAUAGGCGCCGCCUACUACUUUGAAAGGCCAUAACUUCUUGCUCGGGUGUUGGAUUUUAGCAAAAUUGAUAUUGUUGGAAAGCUAACUCAUAGACCUAUUAUUUGACACAUAGUAGGCCCUCUAAUUCGACAUAUACAGAGAGUUAUGGUUGAUGGAAGCUGACACAAAUUACAACGUCCACUAAAACUUAAUCGAUCGAAAUAGUUUCAACUCGUCCUUGAGUUGAAGGACCUCUAUGGUCUAAAUUCAAGCUUGAAUGGAUUCACAUGAUACGCAAAUAAUUAACAUGCCAUAUUGGCAUAGGAUUUAUGUCUUCAGAAUUAUCAACGCAUCAAAAUCAUGGUUUUUAUUCUAGCCCAAAAUAUGGGGUGUUACAUUAUCUCCCCCUUGGGAUCAUUCGUCCUCGAAUGAUGGGUAGGAACAUAUUAAAUCUUAGAGGUAUGGAAUAACGCGGACACGAAAUGUCCUCUAAUAAAGAAUACACUAAUCUGAAAAAUGACCAUAUGGCUGGAACUACUGAUGUUCUGAAUUCUUAUUCCGGACAUGCAUAUCUGAUGCAUGGAAUACACGACUGAAGCUACUCAUAAGCUAAAUUCUCAUAAUGAACAUGCAUACGUGAUGCAUGGAUUUGUUACUGAGUUGUUCUCAUGAACGCGGAACUGAAUACACUGAUAGGCUGAAGUUUUUCUAUUGAACAUGCAUUUCUAAUACAUGUAUAUCUGACUGAACUGACGUAUGAAUGUAUGACUGAAUACGCAAUGAUAACUGGUGCGAGGCUUGUAAUAAGAAUCUAUGCACGCAACUGAAUGGGGUAUCUCCCCUUUGGGAUCCUAUGUCCCUCUAUGAAUUGUCAAUUCACUAAGAUACUCGGAAAACUGAGGCGAUGCACAGGGCACCUACGAAUUGAAUCAUAACUGAACAUCUGGAAUCUGAAUUUAACACAUGAUGCAUGAACUGGGCUAUAUUCGUAACUACUGGUAUACUCUAUCUUGGAAUAGUAGCAUGUCUGAGAUUUUGAAUAGCAUGAAUAAGUUCAAAAACGAGAAAACAAGUCAUGCAAAUCUGACCGCUAAACUGACUUAUUGGCCAUACAAACUGAAUUAUACUACACCCUCAUACUUAUCUGGAGUAUCUCUUCAGUACAAUUCUCUAAGAAAUUCUAGCGGUAAUAGGGAGCCAUGAAUCUUGGGUAUGGAUUACACAAGACAUCCAACUGAGAAAAUCACAACAUUGACACUACUCUGCAGUCUGGAAUAUAGACAUAUAACUCCUAAAUUAGGAUAGAAUUUUCAGACCCUUUGGCAUUACAACUUCUUACUUUCAAGCUUAGCACACUUCUCGAAUAUCACUUAACUAUACUAUUCCCUAUAAAUAUCAUAUUCAUUCAACUCAGCUUAAAAUUCUCAUAUGAGCAUUGACAAAUCUUUCUAAUAAUGUCAGAAAUAACUUAAUCCCUUCGCCGUGAUCAAGCCUAACUCAUAGUCACCGGAAAAAAAAAUACAACAUGCCAGACCACGCUAUUAUUCUAAACCAUAUGAUGCAAUAUUCUAUAUCUCCUUUAAUGAUCACAUCCUAAGUAUAAUAUGCCUUACCACUUCAAUGACUACUCUGAACUCUUAAUAUGAAGUCGCUAUUCCAUAUUGCGACCUUCCACUAUAAUCCUAAAACGUCAUUCAAGCCUAUUUUAUAACCGCAUGUUGACUUCAAGGCAACCACCCAUAAAUACAUACUUCACAUAGUUUUUAAACUAUUGUCAAUAUAACUCCCACGUGCUACCUUAAGACAUACACACACAAACUUUUCCACUAACCAUCACAUGUAUCAAAGACUUGGCCCCAAAUCUUACUUCAUACUUAUGGCCAUAUCUAAACAAGAAUACUAUGAUCUUCCAUCAAUAAGAACAUUUACAUCAUCACCACUAUCAUUGCAUAGGGCAGGUCACAAAAAGGUUAAAACAUAAGACCCUGAAACAUGAAAUUUUUUUUAUACGGGACUGAGCACACUAUAAAGAGUGAGUACAUGCGUCAUGAGUUGCAUGACCUCAACUAGAGUUCAUAACAUAAGGAAUGUGAUUCCGACUACAUGAAUGAACUAGAACUCAUUAUCUUGGAACUGGAAGAGUACGUGACUCUCUAUCAUAUACNNNNNNNNNNNNNNNNNNNNNNNNNNNNNNNNNNNNNNNNNNNNNNNNNNNNNNNNNNNNNNNNNNNNNNNNNNNNNNNNNNNNUCAUCACCACUAUCAUUGCAUAGGAAGGGUCACUAAAAGGUUAAAACAUAAGACCCUCAAGCGUGAAAAGAUUUUUAUACGGGACUGAGCACACUAUAAAGAGUGAGUACAUGCGUCAUGAGUUGCAUGACCUCAACUAGAGUUCAUAACAUAAGGAAUGUGAUUCCGACUACAUGAAUGAACUAGAACUCAUUAUCUUGGAACUGGAAGAGUACGUGACUCUCUAUCAUAUACAGGAAUCAUGAACUACUAUUACAGAACUGGAUCGUAAAGCAUGAGUAAGCAUCUGAAUAACUGAAAAAAAAUACUGAGGUAGGAAUGGGUUGAGAUUCACCCUCACUUUCUGAUGUUGUCAAUCAUACUGCAUCACUACUAGAAUCUGAGAGCCUUACUUGGUCAUUCGUUCUAUUAUCUCCCCCUUAGCUUCAAGUCAUCAUCUAGAGUUUGGGAGAUCCCUUUCCAGAUUCUAACUGAACUACACUUACUGCACUCUAGGGUCUGAAAAGAAAAAAAAUGACAAUACAUGCAUAUCGUAGACUUAACCCGAAUGACUACCUUCUGGGAUACACUCUAUCUUUCCAUAGCCAUCAAUAGUCAUAGUAUAAUGCUUGCGCGCACUUAUUUCUAUCGAUUCAACCUUCAAAUCUCUAACUUAGAUUCUAACACUUAACAUGGCAAUUUAGAUCACCAUAUACCAUCUAACUAGUCUUUCUCCACUUAACAAUUCAAUGGUACCACUAGCCACACAAAUUAUGUAAUAGUCUUAGAAAAAUAUGCCGCAACCUCAUAUCACCUUGNNNNNNNNNNNNNNNNNNNNNNNNNNNNNNNNNNNNNNNNNNNNNNNNNNNNNNNNNNNNNNNNNNNNNNNNNNNNNNNNNNNNNNNNNNNNNNNNNNNNNNNNNNNNNNNNNNNNNNNNNNNNNNNNNNNNNNNNNNNNNNNNNNNNNNNNNNNNNNNNNNNNNNNNNNNNNNNNNNNNNNNAUGAUUUUACAACCAAACCUUACGCAUGAUUCUCACUUGGAAACCAUGAAAUAAACAUCAAGAAACACUAGUACACUAGAACUUCAUAACAACAAUAAUCGACCUUGACCUUACGGUCUUCCUUAUCAUAACUCAUUAGCACGUACUAUUUCAACACAUCAAGCCUACUAAUAUUUAUUCCCACAAACAUACAUCAUUAAUCUCAUGCCACUAUUCUUACAUCCAUAUACUACAUUAGAUUCAAUCCAAUGGUCUAGCAUCAAUCUUCUACAACCAAUGACAAGGGAAACAUAAUAUACUAAUCCAUCAAAUUGGAACAUUCUAUCCCAAAUACUUCAAAAUCUGCUACAUACCUUCUCAUAAGUAGUACUAGUUUACAACUACCAACAAAAGAAGGUCAAGGGGUAAGGUCACAUAAUAGACAUGAUAAACCUUAAUCUUAUAUUAUAAUCCCAUACAAUCUUUUCUACAUAUACAGAUUUCUCGCCUCAUACUUACUCACUCAAUCAUACAUUUAGACUGCCUUCAAAUUCCUCAAACAACCAUGAGUCUAUAAUCAUAACUUACUCGCUGAUAUAGCCAUUUUCACAUUCAAGCAACCAAUAAAUCACCCUAACUGACAACUCCUUCUCUACCUUAUACUAAACUAACUCACAAGGACGAAUUACCUCUUUACCAACUCAAUCUCAUGCAAACAGAUUCAGCCAUACAUAUAUUAAACCAACAAAAGAACAACAAGUUGGACAACAAGUUGCUAGUGAAUCGAAACAGGCCUCACACGGCUUCACUAGACUUUGGUUUUGUAUUUUGAACAAGAAAAUGAGAUGGAUGACAAGGCAACUAUGCUAGUGAAUCGAAAGAGCCCCACACGGCUUUGCUAGACUUUUUAGUUUCAUCAAUACAAUGAUAAAUAUUUUCAAGAGAUAGAAACUUGUCACACAAUAUUCCAUUAUCUGAGAGUACACAUCUUACUUUGUAUAGAUAAAAAUCUGAGUCAAAUACUUCCUCCAUAGACUACCAUACCAUCCACACAUGCUGCUAGCUACCAAAUUAGUUUAUCACUAUAAAGGGGUAAAUCAUCCUCACUCUGACUUCUAACUUUGUGACUUCAUAUCACCAACUUUUUGGUCUAAUUUCAUUACCAGUAGUUCAUGACAACAACACUUUAACAUAUAUUACUAUUCUGGUGGAAAUACAGUUCCAAUAUUCUGUUACACCUUAUUACCUCUGAAGCGUGACACUAGCAACAUAAGUUCUGAAAAGAAUUGAAUACACUUAAUACUGCAGGCUGAAAAGCACGAUUUCAUCAAAAUCAAGGUUCACACUAGAACCAAAACACUCUGAAGUACUAACAGACUCUUCUCAAGUCCUUGGAAAAAUAUUAUAUGAUUCGAUCAGAAUGAACCAUACCAUUUAGACUCUAAACUCCUGUACUUGAAUUGGCCCAAUAAUGAGACAUGUCUGAGAAUGUCCGAGUAAGGAAAGAAUUGGGAUGACUGUUACUUUCGUAUGGGUGACGCCAUAGCACAAAUUUGAGUAUGUAGGAGAAACAUUCUGACUCUGUUGCACGAAUUAGAACAUGAAGAAAGAGAGACAUUCCUAAAUACCUAGUAGCCUCCUGCUUAUAAGUGUGGCGCGCUACACACCCAAAAAUAAGACUCUACUCGAUGCAAUUUCGUAGAUACCUUGAGACCAUGAACCAUGCUUUGAUACCAAGUUUGUCAUGACCCGAACCAGGGCCUGGCCGUGAUGAGCAUUUUGAACCAUGGAGGCUCGAAGCACCCCUAUCUGUCUGGUAAUCAUGCACCUAAUUCAUAUGAUCAAAGUAACGCGGAAGAAACACAAUAUAAUGAAAACAUGGUCAAGAAUUAUAUGAAAACGAAAAUAGAGAAUAGUGUCCCACAAUCUAAAUCAACAUCUCUAAAACCGUCUAUGAAAUCUCUACUACAUGACUGAAAUAAUGUAUAUUUGAAAACUGGGACAAGGCCCCCAGUAGACCCCAAAACUAAAUAUAAGAUAAAAGGACUACAGGACAGAAGACUUUCCGAAACAUAGAAGGCUUACCACUUGUCUCUGCAACUCUGUCUGAAUGAUCUACUGAUUCUCUUGACCCCUAGACUGGGCCUCUGAACUUGGGAGGUUGGAGAGGAGGGGGGUCAGCACAAAAGUACUGGCACGCAGAGACAUCAAAACAAAACAUAAAAUCUUUAAAAAAUAUAGUUGAGAGCUAUUAUAAAGUAAUUUUAUGUCAAAUCAUUUGAAAAUACAUAGGUAUAAUGCAAUAGUUUCUCAACAACAAUGAAAUGCAACUGAGCUAGGUGGAAUAUCCUACAUAAUUUAAACCAACUGUCUAACAUCGGUUGCUGCCGAGAUUAGAAUAUAAGUGAAGGAGAGACACACAAGAUCACAUAGCAUGGUGUCUCGACCCAAUGGUAGUGCCCAAGAUCGCUUAGCUCGGGCUCCUACCUAUAGUCCCAAUUUGGGAAUGACAUGAAGUGAAGUACACAAGAUCACUUAGCCUGGUACCAAAUCUCCAUGUUGGCAAAUACGUUUUCCAGCGAUGAGCCCUUACACUCAUACGCUUUCUUCGGGCAUCCACCUAUCUCUUGUAAAAUCAAUGCAUUUAAAUUUUAUCUGAUUCAAUCACAUAUCAUAUUCUGUAGGGUAUCAUCAUACCCGACUUACAAGUCCUCAAUAUCACUUUCACAUAUGCAUAAUCAUGUAAAAACCAAGGUGCUUCAUCAUUUACAAGUAGUGAACAAUAUUUAAUUCAAAUUCAUGAUCUUUUUUGUUGAUCACAAUAUGAUAUGGGGUAUCAAGACAUUAUCACGAGAAUUUGAAAGCAAUUUAUCAUUCAUAUUUAUCAAACUUCCAUGGAAAAUCUCAAAUCACAUAUGCAUGGUUUCAACCAUUGAAGUAUAUAGGCAAACAAUUCCAACGACAUAAAGAAAAAUGACUUAGAAAUUAUAUUGAAAGUAAGUUAUUAGCAUUUGAUUGAAAACCCCCAUUUAAAAGCAUGCAUAUUCAUAGAAACUACACCCAUGAGAUUUUAGGAUAACCCCACGUACCUCUAUUUCCAAGGAUAAUAGAUGUUUCUUGAAGUUUGCGGAUUGGUGAUUCCAAAUGUGUAAUUAUCUUUGAAAACCUACGGUCGAAUCUUGAACUAUUUGGGUUUUUAUUUUGAAACCCUAGAUAGAGUUCUUGAACAAUUUGGAUGAAUGAAGGUGUAUUUUGGUGUCUUUGGGAACUGAAUUUCGUGUUUAUGGCUAAAUAAGGGUGAAAAAGGACCAUUUUAUCCCAAAAACGGAGUGUUUAAGUCACCUGGAACCAUUACAUAGGCGGUGCCUAUGCUAUCGCCUAUGUUUACAUAGGCGCCGCCUAUGCUAUUGCCUACUACUUUGAAAGGCCAUAACUUCUUGCUCGGGUGUCAAAUUUUAGAAAAAUUGGUAUCGUUGGAAAGCUAACUCAAAGACCUAUCAUUUGACACAUAGGCCCUCUAAUUCGACAUAUAUAGAGAGUUAUGAUCGAUGGAAGCUAAGACAAAUUACAACAUCCACUAAAACUUAAUCGAUCGAAAUAGUUUCAACUCGUUCUUAAGUUGAAGGACCUCUAGGGUCUAAAUUCAAGCUUGCAUGGAUUCACAUACUAUGAAAAUAAUUAACAUGCCAUAUUGUCCUAGGAUUUAUGGCUUCGGGAUUAUCAAUGCAUCGAAAUCAUGGUUUUUUAUUCUAGCCCAAAUUGUGGGGUGUUACAGCUAAGAUAAUGAAUUUCAACAUGGGGAAGGGAAUUUCACAAUCAUAUUCAUAAAUCACUUUUCAAACUCAAAUCAUGUAUGCACAAGUUUAUAAAUCAAGUUUAUAGAAAAAUCCUAUGACAAAUACAUACUUUCAUCAAAUUGGGUUCAUGAGGUAUGCUCUCGCCCCAAAUCUGGUACUCAGAAUGUUACACGGUGCUCAUAACCCCAAAGGACCACACCCAUGAACGAUAUCUGUAAUUGACCACUUAAUAAUAUACUGUUAAUAUACAGAAUAUAAGCUGUAAGGCGAUAAGAUUCAAAACUGAACUAAUACUGAAUAUAAAACAAUGUUUGUAAUUGGGUAUAACAAUACCCAAAACUGAAAUAGACUGCCUGAAAUAUGCUGUAGUCUGAAAGCCUCUAAACUAUUUGAAAACUGUAGAGUUGAUGGGACGUCCCCAACUAACUCUGAACUACUAAAAUAAUAAAGUAAUAUAAUAAUUAUGCUAUCCUCGAAUAAUGAGGACUCACUAUUAGUUUGGUUGCUGAAUGUCUAAUCUACUAAGGAUGCUCGAAAACUUAUGCUUUUAAACCUAUGGUAUAAUACAUCAUAGCGCAAAUGCGUCAGUAUGUUGAAUGUACUAGUAUGCAAGUGAGGUAGGCUAAAUGCAAUGGUUUAUAUGAAUGAACAAUACUAACUGACUAAAUAACAUGAAUGUGAGAAUUCAUGUAUGAAUAUGUAACUUUAACUAAGAUCAUGAUAACACUGACUCAUGAAUUCUGAUAACGUGGAUUUAUUGAUAUCUGAGUACUAAUACUGGGAUACUGAAUAACUGAGUCUAUUGAGUACUAAGGAAUUGAUGUCAUAUUAUUGAUAAAGGAAUGCAUGUUUCUGACAAUUCUAAUUAUGAAGAACUGGUCUGAUUGACUGUAUCUAACAGUCCUGAAACUAAAUACUAAUAACAUGAAUUUUGUAUAAUUAAUAUACUAAUAACUGGGUGACUGUGUCUAACAGUCCUAAUUCUGAUGGAACUAGCUGAGUUUCGUACUGUGCUGAGCGACUGUAUCUAACAGUCCUGAUUUCUAUAGAACUGGACUGAGUUCUAUUCUGAAGACUGAAUCUAAAACUGAAAUUGUGGGAAGUAGUCAUCUAACCGAGAUUCCCCUAGUAAUCUAUUAUAGAUAGUUGGGGUCCAAUCUGUAACCCCAAUUGGAAGGGUGUCAAUACUGCGCCAUUGGUAUGGACAAGCUACGGGUGAUCCCUCAUAUAGCAGGUACUCAAAGGAGAAUGGUAGGACCCUCAUCUAACAGUGUUUAUCCACCUCAUCAACCCCCAUCUAUCAGUGUUGAUUUCUUAAACUAUGCUGGCUAUAUAGUUCUGGAAUGCAAGGAUUGCUUCUAAGGAUUACACCCUAACUGUCAGUGUGUGUCCCUGUCCUUGGGUUCACUUGGUGCUAAAUCCUACUCCCAUCUGAAUAGACACUGAACAUGAUUAACUGAACUGAGUUCAUUAAGUUCCGUUGACUGACAGAAUACUAUUGAAAUCUAAUAACUGACUGAGAUUAUUGAGAUUACUUGAGAUUACUGAGUAAGACUGGACUGAUACUGAGUUUACUGAGUUUUUCUGAGUUAUGUGACUGACUGAAUUCUACUGAUCAUGGCUUGACUGAGAGUAUCUUAAAAACAAGACACUGGCUUUAGGCACACAACUAAAUUAUCGGGUAGAAGUACCCCCAAUACUCGAUAGCAUGAAACUGACAGGACAUGAAGCUUCUUGAACACAUGACCAAUAUCAACAAUUCAUAAUACAUCAAUUUGGGGAUUUCAUGAAACACAAGGUUAUCAUAGUCUUGUACAUGAAUGUAAUUACAUAUAAACCUGUCAUACUUUCAUCAACCUAUUCUCAUGGACAUUCACUCAACCAGUCAUAAUGCACACAAUAUCAUGGAAGUCAUUCUUGGUCAUAGUGUAAAGCAUAUAUUUAUCAAUUGGGUCACAAUUAAGCUAUAAUUCAUAAUUUUUAUUCUCUUAGGAAUUUUAUCAAACACCUAGGAUGCAUGACUCAGGGCAUAAGCAUGACCAUCAAAUUAAUACAACAAAACUCCAUAUUUCAACUCAAUUUCACAUGUUUCAAACCACAUACUAUCAUAGGUUCAUGAACAACACAUAAAGAUUCCUACUUGGGAAUCAUACAACCAUAAUCACAUGAACAUAAUCAACCCACAAUAAAAUAUUCAUAAUACAAGAUUUAAAACUUGAUUCUUGGGCUUCAUGGAUGAAAGAAAUCCAUGAAUGAACACUGUUCAUACCUUAGUUCUUGAUUCUACAAAGAUUGACGGAGAGAUUCUUGAAUUUGAGCUUGAUUUCUUGAGCUAGGGUUUCUUGGCUUGAGAGAGAAUAAUUUUGUUCUUGAGAUAAAGUGAGGAAAAGUGAUAUAAUAAGGUUUUUAGGGCAUAAUUUCGUGGUUAAAGGUUGGUAUGGGUCAUGGAAAAAGACCCAAUUGCCCUUAGAAGGUUUUUAUUUUUCAUCACUGAAAACCUAAUUUAGACACCUGGUGCAACGCAGUGCUAUCGCGUUGCCACUUUGUUUGCGACCUGGAAGUUUAGCGCGAUGCGGUGUAGUCGCGGAGUCUUACUGGAGAAAGGACAAUUCUGAAUUUGAGCCUUGGCGUGAUGUUCCAUAAUCAUGGAGGCCCACUGAAUGUUAACGAUUGCCAUUGUGGACUGCUCUGCGACAUGUUGAUGGCUUAAGUGGCACACUGUCUUACUAAAAUGGCUCUAACUCUUCACCCGGGUGUUGAAUUUGGGCGAAUUUUAUAUCGAUGAAAAGCUUAUUCAAUUUUCCACAUGAAAAUAUUGAAAAUACCACAUGUAUAAAAGUGGAUUUAUUUUUAAAACAAGUCUUUGACAUCUUUGAAAUGAAUUUAAGCUAGGUAGAAGUACCGGGUACUACAGCUCUUAAAACAAUUUCUGAAAACUCAUUGCAUAUACAUACAUAUAUAUAUAUAUAUAUACAUACAUAUAUAUAUAUAUAUAUAUAGCUUUAAAGCUUGUUAAAAUUGUAUAACCUAUGCCCAUGAUAUUUAGGGUAGUCCCACGUACCUUUUUGAUAAAAAUGAAUUUGAAUUAGUUUGAAAUCUAGCCUUAAAAGUAUGAGCCUUGGAGGAAACCCUAAUCUUUCUUUCUCUUGAGAGUGGAGAGCAUUAUGAGAUAUUUAAAACUAAUUAAAUAUCGGUAAUAAUGCUUAUUGUAUGAUUUAAGUUGUGGGAGGUUAGGGUUUGAGGUGAGGAAAAUGCCAAAAUACCCUUAAGGAACUGAAUAAAAUUGCUGGCAUUUCUUUAGUUGACGACAUGGUUGAUGGAUUGUCAACUAGUUGAUAGCUUGUCAACUUAGUUGUCAACUUCUCUUCAUGUUCUGGCUAUGGUUGACGACUUGGUUGAUGGAUUGUCAACUAGUUGAUAGAUUGUCAACCUAGUCUUCAACUUCUUCAGUGAUACUGGUUAAGGUUAAUUACUUGGUUGAUGGCUUGUCAACUAGUUGACACCUUGUCAACCUAAUCGUCACCUUGAUGAUUGAUGGACAUGUAGAGGUAAAAUGGGCAUAACUUUCUACUUUGAUAUCGGAUUAAGGUGAAACCAAUUGUAUUGGAAAUAAGACUCAAAGAUCUUUCAUUUGGUAUAUAAUGAGACAUAUAACUCAUUAUAUACUAGGAGUAAGGGUCGUUUGAAGUUGACCCAAUAUAUACUAGGAGUAAUUGUCGUUUGAAGUUGACCCAAGUUGAAAUAUUGACUAAAACAUAAUUGAUAGAAACGUUCUCAACUCAUCUUUGAGUUAGGAGAUUUUUGUGACCUAGCUUCAUAUUUAAAAGUUUUCCCACACUAUAAAAUUGAUUAUCACACAUAUAUUAAUAAGGAAUCAUUGGGUUAGGGUCUAUAUACGUAGGAAUGACUGUUUGAAUUUCAACCCAAAAAUGCGGGUUGUUACACUGGUAAUGUCAGUAUAAGAGCAUCUAAGUUUGACAAUACAACUCAAGUCUAAAUAUUCUUCUACAUUCUUCUUGAAUACAAAAGACUGAAUAAAGAUGGGACGAAAAUGGGUGACUUGAUGCUCCAAGAGCUCACCCUAUCUCCAAAGGAUCAACACUGCACGAUCUCAACUCAAUGAUAGUAACUAGUACUCGGGUCUGCACCAAAAAGGUACAGAAGUGUAGUAUGAGUACCAAAAUAAUAGGUACUCAGCAGGCAUUCUCAACUGACUGAGCUAAAUUAUGAUAUGAAGUAAGACAAUAUCUCGAAGUCAAAGUACAGAAUCAAAACUGAAUUGUCUUCAUCAUCACUGUAUAUAACCAAUAAUCAAACUAGAACAAUACUAUGCCAUAUCUCUUCAUCAUGCACCAAUACCAUUAUAUAUAAGAAGUAAAUUAUCCCAAACAUAAUGCAUCACUAAUACAAUCACAAUCGCAAUAAGACCAAGAUGAUAAACAACCAUCCAUUAAAGCAUAAGUAAAAAACACACCACGUCAUCCCAUACAAUCGGAGAGUACAUUAAAGAAUCAACCAUUACGGUAAUUAAGCACAUAAUCAACUUCUCGUUAUCCAUGUUUUACCACCUUUUGUGUAAACGAUCAUUAUCCAAGUUCAUGAUUAUCAUUCAUUACCACAGUCGAAAUAGACAUAUCAAGUACUUAUAAUUAUAGUCAUAUAGACAAUUAGACAUCUAAAUCAUAAAUAUAUUAACUAACCAACACUUAUUAUUAAACUAUAGUUUGCUAGUUAUCAUAAGGCCUCCAAUCAUUAGCCUAACCAAUUCCUUAUAUACUCCUUCUUUAUGAAAUAGCAAGUAGUUAUCACUAAAUAGCCAACAUCCAUAUCUAGUCAAGAUGUACAACUAAACCAUAAUCACCGUUUAACCAAAUCUCAUUCCUAGUUAUCUUAGGUGCACUAGUCAUCAUAUAGGAAGAGGUUACAUAUCAUCAAACACACUUAUCUAUCUAUUAACCAACACCUUUUAUUAGUUAGCGCCAUAACUCUUCAAGUCCUCAUUUAAGCAAACAUCGAUAUUACAUACUACGCAUUAAUAUCAUUAAUCAUCAACCAUGCUAAGUAUAUUAUCAUCAUUAGCCAUUUUACAAUCAUAAUUACUAGUUACCAUAGUUUAACCAAGCAAGGUUCACCAACUAACAUUCAAGGAUUCUAGCCAUCAAGUAAUAUAACCACUUUAUAUAGAUGACUUGUUGUCACAUAACCCAUUUUACUAGGUGAAAUUCCAUAAUUUAAUGAUUUAUUCAAGUCAAAUAUAUCCACCAGCUGAAUGCUUAGCUCUACACAUGAUACACUUGCCAAUUAGUCUUAACUCAAUAUUUGGCAUAUUCUACUUCUAUUCACUAAUUAGUACUAACAAAAUCCACACCACUUAACAAGUGAUUAAUGGUAGAGAAUUAUAAAUAAAUUUUUAAGGAAAACAUCAUAUCCCUAAUGCACAUACGAGUGUAGUCAUAAAAGGGAAAAAUCAUAAAUAUACAUAUAUAUUUAUAUAUGCUUACCAUACAUAGCAUCACCAUAACAUCAAUAUAUCCUACGGGUUUACUGGGCAUCAUUAUAACAUUAAUAUCUAUUUUGGAUUUUUUGGGCAUCAUCAUAGCAUCAAUAUAUCCUUGGCCUUGUCGGGUGUAAUACCACAUGUUUUGAAGUCACUGUGCAACAUGCGACUCAUGCCCUUGAGUCGUAUGCCUAUCAUAUGAGUCGUAUGUUCAACUUGUAUCCAUGAUAGUGUGUGAUGGGUGACUUUCUUUUAAGGUACAACUUAAACCUUGGAAGUUGUAAGAUGAUUAUAUGAAUCAUAUGUGGUAAGUCAUAACUAAGUCAGUGUGAGGUGAGAUGAGUUAUGUCCAGGUUAUGAUAGGAUGAGUACUAGGCGUAUGAAAUAUUAUGAGUUGUAAGGUAGGACUCGUAUGUUGAUCGGUGUAUGCCAUUUGGAUUCUUCCAAACUUAUGAGCCAAGAGGCCAGUCAUAUCAUCAUCAUACAAGCCGUAUGGUCAACUCAUAUAGACUAGCAAUGAAUUCUAUAAUGAUUCUAGUAUACAUUUAUGCUUGGUCUUCUAUUCUCAGUUUUACAUGUUUAUGCAUCCAUGUUCAGUUAUCUUAUGCAUUUCGGUUAGUCCUUACCUCACGUACCAGUACAUUCAAAGUACUAAUCGUAUACUCUUCUUUUGUGCUAUGUUAUCUUAUAACAUAGGUUCCAAUACUCAAUUUCUCAACCGUACUUAGGCAAUCCAACACUAUCCAGUAGCAGUAGUGAUAAGUCCUUUUCUAUCAAGGACAUGACAUAUUUUAUCAUUAUUUUAGUAUCUAUUUAUGUUCAGUUAGUCAGAGUUAAUUGGGAGUUUGUCCCAUCAACUUCUCAUGAUUUCUAAAGGUUUUUAGAUAGUUAGACAGUCAGAUAGUCAAUUAGUUUUCAAUUUUACCAGUUGUUUCAGACAAAUAGAUAUUCCUUCAAUGUUAAUCUAUUCGGUUGUUUCGGAUAUGUUGGGUUAUAUUUCAAUAUUUAUGAUUAUAGCAUCUUAUUAGUUUUAUCAUCUGCAUAUGUGGUUUUAGUAUUAUAUAUUUUAGUGCUCAUAGAAGGUACCAUAUUAUGGGUUAGCUUGUGGCCAUUUGUGGCCGUAAGCACCAUUGUCGCGACCAGAGAGUAGUCUCAGGUCAUGACAAAACUUGGUAUCAGAGCCUAAGGUUUUAAGGGUCCUAGGGUGUCUGAAAGCCACAUUGAGUAGUGUCUUAUACAUGGAUGUAAAACGUGCCACACUUAUGGACAAGAGGCUAUGAGAUAUUUUUUUGGAAAGUUUUCCUUUUUUCAGUAUUCAUGUCGUGAGAAAGAGUACUAGCUCUAUUGAAUUCCUUUUUCUUUCUUGUAUUUUACCUUGUUUACUGACAAUGCCUUCUAGAAGGAACAACGGAAGGAGGAACAGGGAUCAACCUGCACCACCACCUAUUUAGGAAGGUCUCCUGAACGAUCAUAUUUCUCACACCAAGUUUAGGGCCAUUUUCACAGCCUUAGACCAUUUUGUAGUCGCUCAAAAUAACGAUCAGGCUAUUUCCCCAACCAAUCUAGUGGCAAAUACAACUGUAGCUAAGAUUCGAGAUUUCACUCGGAUGAAUCCCCCUUCAUUUUCUGGGUCCAAGUCUGAAGAAGAUCUACAAGAUUUUUGGAUAUGGUACAGAAAGUGACAAACAUCAUAGGUAUCACUUUGAGUGAGAGUGUAGACUUAGCAGCGUAUCAAUUGCAAGGUGCAGCUCACACCUAGUUUAAGAAGCAAAAGAAAAACAGGGGUAUGGAGGCAAAGCCUAUAGAGUGGGAGGAGAUUUUCAUGGCUUUCUUAGACAGUUUCUUCCCACUAGAAUUAAGAGAGGAUAAGGUUUAGGAGUUCAUAAACUUUAAGUAGGGUAGUAUAAAUUUGAAGGAGUACUCUCUCAAGUUUACUCAGUUGGCGAGAUAUACUCCUACUAUGGUGGCUGACAAUAGGUCCAAGAUGAGUAAGUUCAUAUUUAGUAUGUCUGAUAGCGUGUUCAAUGAAUAUAGAACCACCAUGUUGAUUAAAGAUAUGGACUUGUCUAUACUUAUGGUUCAUGCUCAGCAGAUUAAGAAGGAGAAGCUUAAAGAGAAAGAGAGAGAGAGAAUAAGAGGGCCAAAAUAGGUAGUUUUAAUUUUUCUUAGCUAAGGUUGGAAGACGGUAACCAAUCCUAGUUCUGCCAAAAAUGUUUAGCCCUAGCUCUAUCUUCAACCAAUGCGCUAGUGCCUAAGUUCAGGUAGGAUAGUCAGGAUAGAGCACCAGGCUUUAAGUCCUGGCGUAAUUUGAAUAGUGGUAGAACCAAUCCGCUCUACAGGAAGUGUGGUAAGAAUCAUCAGAGUAAGUGUAGAGCUAGAUGUGAUAUGUAUUUUAGGUAUGGAAAACCAGGACACAAGAUCAGGGAUUGCCCCAUAGGUAUAUGGAAGGGCGGGAAUGAUCGCCAACAGGGUCAGAUAGACUCUUCAACAACACUAACAGGUCACUCAAUUCAGCAGGGUGCCACUUCUAGUGCCACUAGUGGGCAACACCAAAAUAAAUUGUAUUCCCUCCUAACCAGCCGAUUCAGGAAAGCUCUUUGGAUGUGGUUACGGGUUCAUUACAAGUUUUCCAUCUACAUAUUUAUGUCUUGUUAGACCCCAAAGCGUCACUCUCUUUUAUGACUCCUUAUAUAGCUAUAGACUUUGGUGUUAGUCCCAAAACAUUAGUAUAGACUUUAUCAAUGUCUAACCUAGUGGGUAAGUCUAUUCUAGCUAGAUGGGUAUACAAAAAUUGCCCAAUUACAGUGUCUCAAAAAGUUACUUUAGUUGAUCUUGUAGAGUUAGAAAUGACUGAUUUUGAUGUUAUUCUCGAUAUGGAUUGGCUCCACUCGUUUUAUGCCUCAAUCGACUUUAGAAAUAGAAUUGUUCAAUUCUAGUUUCCUAAUAAACUAAUUAUCAAAUAGAAGGGCAGUACUUCAGUGCUUGAUGGUCAGUUCGUUUCAUACCUCAAGGCCAGAAAGAUGAUAUCCAAGAGGUGUGUUUACCAUAUUGUUCGAGUUAAGGACUCAAAUUCUGAAGCUCUAAUUCUCGAUUUAGUUUUUGUAGUAUGAUAAUUUUUAGAUAUAUUCCUAGAAGAUCUUCUGGAGUUCCCACCAAACGGAAAUCAACUUUGGAAUAGAUCUCCUUCUAGAUACCUAGCUUAUCUCUAUUCCACCUUAUAAAAUGGAUCUAGUUUAGCUUAAAGAAUUAAAAGAAUAGUUAAAAGAUCUCUUUGAUAAGGGUUUCAUUAGGCCUAGCAUUCGCUAUGGGUUGCUCCAGUCCUUUUCAUGCAUCAGAAAGACGGUUCUCUUAAAAUAUUCAUCAACUACCGUCAGUUGAACAAAGUCACAGUCAAGAAUAAGUUUUCUCUCCCCAAAAUUGAUGACUUGUUCGACCAACUUUUGGGUGCAAGUUCUUUCUCUAAGAUAGAUCUCAAAUCUGGCUAUCAUUAGAUUAGAGUCAAAGAGUUUGACAUUUUGAAGACAAUCUUUAGGACUCGAUAUGGUCACUUUGAAUUCCUGAUUAUGUCAUUCAGACAAACAAAUGCCCCUGCAGCUUUCAUGGACUUGAUAAAUGGGGUGUUCAAGCAGUAUUUGGACAUGUUCGUCAUAGUCUUCAUUGAUGAUAUCCUUGUCUAUUCUUGUAGUGAGAGUGAUCACGCAGACCAUCUGAGAGUUAUUUUGCAGACCCUUAUAGAUCAUCAGUUAUUUGCUAAGUUCAGUAACUGUGAAUUUUGGUUGAGAUUAGUAGCUUUCCUUGGUCAUAUAGUUUCUGGUGAUGGCAUUCGAGUUGACCCUCAAAAAAUUUAAACUAGUGAGAAAUUGGCCUAGACCCAUCUCUCCUUUAGAUAUCAGGUGUUUCUUGGGUUUAGCUAGCUAUUAGAGAUGGUUUUUCAAAGGUUUUUAUUCUAUUGCUUCUCCCAUCUAUCGACUAACUCAAAAGAAAGUGAAAUUUUAGUGGUCAGAUUUUUAUGAGAAGAGUUUUUAGGAGUUGAAAAAUCGACUUACUUUUGCCCCAGUCUUGACUUUGUUAGAUGGUUGAGAUGGAUUUGUAGUGUAUUGUGAUUCUUCUAUAGUUGGUCUUGGCUAUGUGUUAAUUCAGAGAGGUAAGGUCAUAGCCUAUGUCAUUAGAAAACUUAAACCCCAUGAAAAUUAUUAUCCAGCUUAUUAUCUUGAGUUGGUAGUUGUUCACUUUGCCUUAAAGAUUUAGAGGCAUUACCUAUAUGGGGUUCAUGUUGAUAUGUACAUGGAUCACAAGAGUUUACAAUAUGUGUUCAUGUAGAAAGACCUAAAUCUUUACUAGAGAAGGUGGCUUAAAUUAUUGAAAGACUAUGUAUGAGUGUGUUGUACUAUUUGAGAAAGGCCAAUAUAGUGGUGGAUGCCCUUAGUAGAUUGUCUAUGGUUAGUGUUGCUCAUGUUGAGGAUGAUAAGAAGGAGUUAGUCCAUGGGGUUUAUCAUCUUGCUAGGUUAGGCGUUUGGUUAGUUGAUUAGCUAAAGGUAGUAUAUGGGUUCAGAAUGGUUCAAAAUCUUUAUUGGUUGCCGAAGUAAAAGAAAAGUAAGAUAGGGAUCCUAAUUUGGUUACGUUAAAGAAGGCAGUUAGAGGUCAAGAGGUAGAGUCUUUCUCCCAAGGGGUAGAUGGUGUGGUUUGUUGUCAAGGAAGACUAUGUGUAACGUGUGUUGAUGGUCUAAAAUAAUGAAUAUUAGUUAAGGCGCAUGGUUCGUGAUACUUUAUCCACCCAAGAGCUACUAAGAUGCUCCAUGACUUGCAGGAAAUCUAUUGGUGGAAUGGUAUGAAUAAGGAUAUUUCAAAGUUUAUGGCUAAGUGUUCAAAUUGUCAGUAGGUUAAAGUCGAGAACCAUAGGCCAGUGUUACACUGCAGGAGUUUAGCAUACCCACUUGGAAGUGGGAGGUGGUGAACAUAGAUUUUGUGACAGCAUUGCCUCGUAUGAGUCGUCAACAUGAUUUGAUAUGGGUCAUUGUAUAUAGAAUGACCAAGUCAGCUUAUUUCUUGCCAGUUCAUACUUUAUUUUCAGCUGAGGAUUAUGCUAGACUCUAUCUUAUGGAGUUGGUGAAGUUGUAUAGGGUUCUGUUGUUUCUCAUUUCAGAUAGAGCUACUCAGUUUACCUCUCACUUUUGGAAGGAUUUUUAGAAGGGUCUUGGUAACCAAGUUCACCUCAGUAUGACUUUUUAUCUUCAGAUAGAUGGUGAGGCAGAGAGGACCAUUCAGACCUUGGAAGACAUAUUGAGAGCCUGUUUUAUUAACUUUAGGGGUUGUUGGGAUAACUACUUACCUUUGAUUAAGUUUCCCUAUAACAAUAGUUAUCACUCCAGUAUUCAAAUGGCUCCGUUUAAGGAUCUCUAUGAACAGAGAUAUAGAUAUUCUCUCAGUUGGUUUGAAGUAGGUGAGUCUACUUUGAUAGGGCCAGAUUCAGUGUUUGAGGCAAUGGAGAAAGUUUUGUUAAUUUAAGAGAGGCUGAAAACAACUCAGAGUCGUCAGAAAUCUUAUGCAGAUGUGAGAAGAAGAGAUCUUGAGUUUGUUGUUAGUGACCUUAUGUAUAUGAAAAUUUCACCCAUGAAAAGAGUGAAGAGGUUUGGCAAUAAGGGGAAGCUUAGUCCCUUCUAUGUUGGCCCAUAUAAAAUUUUGAGUCAUUUUGGGAAGUUAGCUUAUGAAUUAAAAGUUGCCUUACAGAAUUGACAGUGAUUUAUCCGUUGUUUCAUGUCUCUUUGUUAAAGAAAUAUAUUGGCGACCCAGCUUUAAUUGUGCCCUUAUAGAGUUUGGAUGUGAGAGAUAGUCUCUCCUAUGAAGAGAUUUUAGUUGAGAUCCUUGUUCGUCUGAUUCAUAGGUUGAGGAAUAAAUAAGUCCCCUUAGUUAAAGUUCUAUGAUGGAAUCAGUCGAUUAACGGAGCUACUUCGGAAGCAAAAGUAGAUAUGCGAACCAAGUACCCUUAUCUUUUCUUCAUGAAUUCGAACUUAGCUUAAGGUAACAAUUUUUCUUAGAUUGACUUUUUCCCGAUCUCUGUUUUAGCUAUGUAAAUGUAACCAUUCUCAUGUCUUUGCAUGCUUUCAUAAAAUCAGUUCUGUUCAUGUAUCGUGUCUUAAACUCAGUUGUUUAGUCAUGUUUCAGUUCAUGAACAUUCAGUAUAUGAUCUCAAGUUACCUUGGUAUUCUCAGUCUAACCAGUCUUAUUUGAGGAUGAAUAUUCCCAAGGGGGAGAUAUUGUAAUACCCAUGUUUUAAAGUCACUGUGCAACGUACAACUCAUGCCCUUGAGUACUAUGCACAUCAUACGAGUCGUAUGUUCAACUCAUAUCUAUGAUAGUGUAUGAUGGGUGACUUUUUGUUAAAGGUAUGACUUUAACCUUGGAAGUCAUAAGAUGAUCAUACGAGUCGUAUGUGAUAAUUCAUAACCAAGUCAGUUAAGUUGAUAUGAGUUCUAUCCAGGUUACAAGAGGAUGAGUACUAGUCGUAUGAAAUAUUAUGAGUCAUAAGGUAGGACUCAUAUGUUGACCAGUGUAUGCCAUUCUAAUUCUUCCAAAAUUAUAGUUCCUGAGGCCCAGUCGUAUUAUCAUCAUACGAGUUGUAUGGUCCACUCGUGUAGACUAGCGACAAAUUUUGUGAUGAUUAGUUAAAGGGGAUUUUUGUUCUUUUUCCUUCUUAUAACUUCUACCCACGACUUAUAACCCUCAAAGAAGCCUAUUUUCUCUCAAAACUCAAAUACUUAACACAUUAAUAUCCUCUCCCAUACUCAAGAACAACAAUUAGGGUUUCUUAGAGGCAAGAAUAAUUACAAGGAUUCUUCCCUAAAGCUUCUACUACAGGUAUGUGGCAAAUUUAUCAAUGUUUUCUUUCAGACAUUAAGCCCCAAACCCUAUUUUAGUUUAAAAGUGUGAAUCUUAUCCUAUUUUAUGAAAUCAUCCAUGAAACUUAUGAAUUUAAUUCAUGAACUUCUUAGUAAAUCAAAUUCAAGCCAUGUCAACAUGUGUUUCUAUAUUUAAGUCACUUCAUGUUUGAAUUACAAUUUCCGUCAUCUUAAUUCCCUUGAUUUCAUGAUAAAUCCUCAAGUAAUGAAUUAAACCAUGUAAAUAUGUUGUUUUCUCAUGAUUAAUAUAUCCUCAUGUUCAAAUUCAUGUAUCUAUAUCAUUCACUAAAUUAUCGCUUGCUUUGGGUAUUUGAGUUAUGACUUCAUGUCACUGUUUUAAGUAAUGUUAUCGUAUUUUGUAAUUAUUCAGUGCUGGAGGGUUAUGAACACCUGAUAGCUAUUUGUUUUUACAUGAUUUUGUUUUAAUUAACAAGUCAGUCGGACCAUGAUUUUAUUAUCAUAUUUAGAACAUCAUGUGCAUCCUGAGCACUUACAAGUAGAGUACUAUGUCAUGUUAAAUAACUAAUAAAAUCGGUGUCAUUCCGUUGGGAAUAACACAGAGUAAAGCAGGGAUGAUGACUCCCCCGUCAGUAUAGGCAUGAGUAGUUUGUAGCAGUCCUUAAGUUCCAUAUCUGCAGUGGCACCGUAUGAAUGGUAGGCCAAUAAUAACUGUAUUGAAGAACUUUGGCGGCGGUUUGAAUCCCCCCAUGGUGACCACCGAAAUGUGAGGAGUGACAAUCUUCAAGGAUAUCCUUAAUUUUAACUUCCAUAAUACAACCGUUAAUCUCAGCAUCCACACAUUCCCAAAAUAGGAAGGGUUUAUCCAAAAAUAAAUUUUUUGCAUCAAACAGGAACCUCUUUCUUUGAUGAUAGCUAAGCUCCUCGGAGAAUACACCACUCACCACAUAAUUAGCAUAGUCGUCAUACACAGUGUAAUUCUCCCCGAGAUCGAUAUGACCAACUCAUUGGGAAAAUCAUCAUCAAUCUCAAUCUCACCAUGCUUUUCAUAAUUACUCUCAAGGCGCGAAAAAUGGUCGACCAUUUGGUUUAUUCAACCUUUUUAAUCCUUUACCUCUAAUCAAAUUCUUGUAAAAGAAAGAUCCAUCUAAUUAGGCAUGGUUUAGAUUUGUUUUUCGCCAUGAGGUAUUUAAGGGCGGCAUGAUCCAUGUGCACUACCACUUUCAUGCCUAACAAGUAGGCUUAAAAUUUCUCAAAAGCAUAUACCACCACCAAUAAUUCUUGCUCGGUAAUGGUAUAGUUACAUUGAGCAUCAUUCAAGGUUUUUCCAGAACAAUAGAUAGGAUGAAAAAGUUUUUCUUUGCAUUGACUCAACACCGCUCCUAAUGUGAUUCUACUUGCAUCACACAUCACUCAAACAGAGAUGACCAAUCUGGAGCCACAAUAAUGGGAGCCGAUAUAAGUAAUUCCUUGAAAUAAUUAAAGAACUUCAAGCAUGCAUCAUUAAAAUUGAGUUUUUCCUCCUUUUCAAGGAGUUUGCACAUUGGAUGAGCUAUUUUGGAGAAAUCUCUAAUAAAUCACCGAUAGAACCUGGCAUGUCCAAGGAAACACCUAAUACUUUUAACAGAAGUAGGAGGGGGUAACUUGGAAAUUACCUCUACCUUAGCUUGAUCAACUUGUAUCCCAAUCCCUGAGAUCUUGUCGCCCAAGACAAUACCCUCCUUGACUAUAAAAUGACAUUUCUCCCAAUUGAGUACAAAGUUGGUUUCCCGACAUCUCUUAAGAACCUUGCUUAGAUGCUCAAGGCAUGACUCAAAUGAGUUUCCCACCGCCAAGAAAUCAUCCAUGAAGACUUCCAUCGAAUCCUCAACCAUAUCUUCAAAGAUUGAUAACAUACACCAUUGGAAUAUUGCUAGUACAUUGCCUGAACCAAAAGACAUCCACUUGAAUGUGAAUGUACCAUAGAGGCAAGUGAAUGUCGUCUUCUUUUGGUCUUCCGGGUUAAUAAAAAUUUGGUUGUACCACUAAUAACCAUCAAGAAAGCAAUACCACCCCCACCCUGCUAACCUAUAUAGUAUUUGAGAAAUACUAAUUUGGUUGUACCUCUAAUAACCAUCAAGAAAGCAAUACCAUCCCCGCCCCACUAACCUAUAUAGCAUUUGACCCAUAAAGGGCAUAGAGAAGUGGUCCUUUUUGGUCCAAGAGUUCAACUUGCGGUAGUCCAUGCAUACCCUCCAUUCCAUGAUCGGUCAGAUAGGAACAAGGUUGUUCUUUUAAUUCACAACUACCGUAAUGCCAGCUUUCUUUAGAACACAUUACACCGGGCUUACCCAUGUGCUAUUGGAGAUUGGGUAGAUGACUCCCACGUCAAGCUAUUUUAUAAUUUCUUUCUUUACCACCUCCUGUAUAGGUUUAUUUAGCCUCCGUUGAUGUUCCACACUUGGUACAUGAUCAUGUUAUAGUUUGAUCUUAUGGUAAUAAUUUUUGGGAACUAAGCUAUGAUAUCCGCAAUUGUGUAUCCAAUGGCUCGAAUGAACUUUUUCACUACCAACUUCAAAGCUUCCAUUUGGUAGGGCUCAAGAUCACUUGCAAUGAUGAUAGUCAAGGUAUGUCAAUCCCCUAGGAAUGGAUGGCUUUGCGGGUGGACUCUCAUAGUUUUUAAGAUCAAGGUCCAACAUUACCGAAUUUUUAGUAUAAGAUCCAAUUCCUGUUAAAGAUGAAACCACUUGAUCAAAUGCUUCAACUUCAUAUCUUCCACAGUUCCAUGACUCCCACCAAUGGAUUAUCUACCAAACUCAUGUCAACAUAAUUUGUCACCUCACUAUCGAUGGUAUCGAUUACCGAAAUUACUUGCUAGCCUAUUGGUUGUUUCAUGGACUUUCAUACAUUAAAAGAAACGCCCUUAUAAUUUAGGCAAAACUUCAUCUCCCCUCACUCUGCAUCUACCAAUGCUCUCUUGGUGGCUAAAAAUGGCCUUCCAAGAAUAAUAGAAAUUUCAUUAUCUAAAACACAAUCAAGGAUGACGAAUUCCUCCAGGAAGAUGAACUGAUCGACUUUAACUAGCACAUCAUGAAGUAUUCCCAUUGGUUUUUUAAUGGUCCAAUCGGCCAUUAGCAAUCUCAUCGUGGUAGGUUGUGGUUUCCCUAAUCCUAGCUUGUGAAAUAUGGCAUAUGACAUUAUAUUUACACUCGCCCUGAGGUCACACAAGGCAUUUGCAAACUUGAAUAUUUCGAUGGUGCACGGGAUUGUAAAAGCACCGGUGUCUUUCUUGUUUUUUUCCAUGGUACUCAACAUAAUUGCACUAUAAUGAUGAGUUAUUUCUAUUUGUCUCAUCCUCUACAAAAUACUUUUUGUAGAUCAAUUCCUUCAUAAAAUUAUCAUACCUCGGCAUCUCUUACAAGGAUUUCAUCAAAGGAAUGUUGAUGGAAAGGUUGCUAAAUUUAUCAAGAAACUAUUUGAACUUUGCAUUUUCCCUUCUUUUCUUGAACCGUUGAGGAAAGGUGGAGGAAUUGUGAUUGGUGGCAUGGAGAAAAUUUUUCAUCUUUGAAUUUUCAAAGAUAACCUCAUUUGUCCUUAACUCGUCAUCAUUAGACCUCUUUCUGUCCAAACUUAUUUUCUCAUUAUUUUUUCUUUUGUUGGGAUCAUCAUCAAGCUCUAUGUCCUUGCCAAGAGUUUUUUUUCUUUAAGUGACAAUAGCAUUUGUUACCAUACCGAUCGAUAUCUCUUCAUUUUUUCUUUCCAUGAGGUGCACUAAUAUUUGAUUCAAUUUUUCCUUUAAUGGUCGGAUGGCGAUUAAAUAAGACUCAACCAUUUGAUGAAGCUUAUAGAAAUCAUUCCUCAUUUUUUCACUAUCAUAUCGAUCCCCUCAACUCCAAUCAAGAUUCAAGCCAAAAUAUCUCUAUUAAUACACCCCUCUUUUUGUAUUUAGACAUGCCUCAGUUCUCAUUGGACCUCAAUGCCACUUUCGACCAAGUAUUAUUUGGUUAAUUGAGAUGAAGUCUGUGUCGGAAGCCUCGAAUCGAAACCUUGGCAAACUUUUGAACCCAAAUUCACACAGAAAUCCUCCAAAGCUGAUUGGAAUCUAAAAUCUAUGGGAAAUUUGAGCAAAACCCAAACCAAUAAUGAUCAAAUCCAACCACAACUUCGAACGUUGAUCACAAUUUUUGAGUCUAUUUUCUCAACUAAAUUGGACAAGACGACGAGUAUCUUGUGGGUGUUGUUUUCCAGUGACUUUUAUCGCUGUUUUGGCAUCUUUGGUGGAUGUUUAUUGGAACAUUAACAAAUAAAAAUUAGGGUUUUCUUCGAUUGACAAUCCCAAUGAUGAUCCAUUUUCUCGAUUCUCUUCUCUCUUUCUCAGCUAUAUUUUGUAUGUUAUAAGUGUAGUAUGUAUUCGAGUGGGGUAUGUGUGUUUGUUACUGCAAAAUCAAUGGAGAAUUAUAGAUUAGAGGAGUGUGUGUGUGUGUGAGUUUGUUGGUGUGUGAAUCUUAUUCUCCCUCCAUAGCUGUGUGUGCGUGCAUUAUUCUGUGAGUGUGUCUUCUUUUCUAGUGAGGUAUCAAUAUGUGUAUAUGAAUAUCUGUGUAUGUGGAGUGCGCCAGUUUGUAUGUAUUGUAGCCCCUGUAUCUGUGUAUGAGUGCCUGUAUAUACGUGUGCAUUUUGGUGGGUAAAUUAUGAGAGAAUGUGUGUAUUGUGCCUCAAUAUCCUUGUGUGUGAGUUGUGUGUUUUCUGUUAUAACAAUUUUAGUGGGUCUCCUUUAUGUUAUGGUGAAGAUGAGUGAAAAAAUUUGAGUUUGUGAGAGCUGAGGUACGUGGUAGGGGUAGGGUAGGGGUGAGGGGGUUGGGCUGGGUAGGGUAGUGAGGUGGGUAGGAGUGUGUUUGUUAUUUUCUUAGGGUGAGGCAUCCAUUUUUAAAUGGUGAGGUUUUUAAUUUGUUAAUUUUAUGGAGAUAUAAUCACAUGAGGGUAAGGUACAUGGUUAGGUGGGGUAAAAAUGGUAAAAGGAUGAUUUUGGGGAAGGACAAAAUUAUGUGUCUGCAUCAUGCCCCUCUUUGGGUGUAAACAUAAAGUGUUUUCAAACAAAGAAGUAGACAACGAGAUAGAAUUUUGACUCGACCAUUAUUCGAAGGAAGAAAUAGAAGGAAGAAGGACAAUUGAGUUGGAGAGUCACGUGAGGUCCCUUCGAGGUUCCGGUCUGCGGCUUUUUCAUUACAUCAAAAAUGAAAAUUACAAAUUAAAAAUAUAAAUGAAAUUACAAAAGUCCUAUCUAUGUAGCUUUGCUUGACUCUUGACUUACUAUUUCAUCAUGCUAUUCUCCAGGCGGGCUCCUGACCUUCGAUUUCAUCACCCUGUUCUUUUGGUGGUCUCCUGACUUUCUAUUUCAUCACCUUAUUGCUUAGCUUUCAAUCUCAUCACCCUGUUCUCUAGGUGGGCUUCUGACUUACUAUUUCUUUAAUCUGUGGACUUUCAAUUUCUUCACCUUAUUUCUCGACUUUUUAUUUAUUUGCCCUGUUCUUCAGGUGGGCUCCUGGAAUCACAUCAAAAUAAGAAGAAAAUUAUUCCAAACAAAGAUUAUUAUAAAGAGAGAUUCCAUUUGCCAGAAAAGUAAAGUUUCAAACAACAGGAAUUAAUUUUUUUUCCCCGAUUUAUCGUCAGAGGACUUUUGUGAAAGUCAUAUCAUAACUACUUGAAAAACCCAAACAAGUAAAAUGCAUAUUCUAUCGGUUAAUUGGAAUAAUUCGACUAGAAAGUGCAUUUUCUAGGAGUCAAAUGGAAUGACUCAACUAGAAAGUACAUCUUCCAAGAGUCAUGGGGAAUGACUCAACUAGAAGGUAUAUCUUCUAGGAGUCGAGGGGAAUGACUACACUAGAAGGUAAAUCUUCUAGGAGUCAAGGGGCGUUACUCGACCAGAAGGUACAUCUUCUAGGAGCCAAAGAGAGUGGCUUGACCAUAAGGUACAUCUUCUAGGAGUCAAGGGGAGUGACUUGAUUAGAAGGUACAUCUUCUAGGAGUCAAAGGUAAUGGCUCAACUAGAAGGUACAUAUUCUAGGAGUCAAGGGGAAUGACUCGACUAGAAAGUACAUCUUCUAGGAAUCAAGGAGAAUGACUCGACUGGAAGGUACAUCUUCUAUGAGUUAAGGGGAAUGACUCGACUGGAAGGUACAUCUUCUAAGAGUCAAGGGGAAUGACUCAAUUGGAAGGUACAUCUUCAGAAGUCAAGGGGAUAAAUCGACUGGAAGGUAAAUUUUCUAGUAGUUAAAGGACUUCUAGGAGUCAAGGGAAUAACUCGACUAGAAGGUAUAUCUUCUAGGAGUCAAAGGGAAUAGCUCGACUAGAAGGUACAUCUUUUAGGAGUCCAGGGGAAUGAGUCGACUAGAAAGUACAUCUUUUAGGAAUCAAGGGGAAUGAAUUAACUAGGAUGUACAUCUUCUAGGAGUCAAGAGGAAUAACUCGACUAGGAAGUACAUCUUCUAGGAAUCAAAGGGAAUAACUCGACAAGAAGGUACAUCUUUUAGGAGUCAAGGGGAAUGACUCAACUGGAAGGUACAUCUUCUAGGAGUCAAGGGGUAUAACUUGACUGGAAGGUACAUCUUUUAGAAUUUAAGGGGAACAACUCAACUGGAAGGUACAUCUUUUAGGAGUCAAAGGGGAUGAAUCGAAUGAAAGGUACAUCUUCUAGGAGUCAAGGGGAAUGACUCGACUAGAAGGUACAUCUUCUAGGAGUCAAGGGGAAUGACUCGGCUAGAAAGUACAUCUUCUAGGAAUCAAGGGGAAUGAAUUAACUAGGAUGUACAUCUUCUAGGAGUCAAGGGGAAUAACUCUACUAGAAAGUACAACUUCUAGGAAUCAAGGGGAAUAACUCGACUAGAGGGUACAUCUUUUAGUAUUCAAGGGGAAUUACUCAACUGGAAGGUACAUCUUCUAGGAGUUAAGAAAAAUGACUCAACUUGAAGGUAUAUAUUCUAGGAUUCAAGGGGGAUGACUCAAAUGGAAGGUACAUCUUCUAGGAUUCAAGGGAAUGACUCGACUAGAAGGUACAUCUUCUAGAAGUCAAGGGGAAUGACUCAACUAAAAAGUAUAUUUUCUAGGAGUCAAGAGGAAUGACUCCACUAGAAAGUAUAUUUUGUAGGAGUCAAAGGGGAAUGACUCGACUAGAAAGUAUUUUCUAGAAAUGUUGGUUCAAUUUAAAAAAUGUAUCAUCUUGCAACUGAAAACUGAGAUACCUGAACAAGGAAGUGUGUUUUCGAGGGAUAUAGGAUGAUGAAUUUUUACCAUAAUUUGAUUAUCAAACCUGUACGGCAAAAUUGCUUCCUACAUUUAUAGAAGUGAGGCAUUGCAGCCCUUGAUAUCUAUGCUUUGAAGUCCUUGAUUUGAUGGUAACAUGUUUCCUAUUUCAUCAAAGAAUGCUUGUGAGUUUAAAAUAUUGUAACUGGUUUGUGGAUUUAGAUUUUACGGCAAUCGCUCUUGCCCUCGUCACAUUUAACCUUGCUUUCAACCAUUAGCAUAUGUCAUUGACAUACUGCAGCAAUGAUCUAAACACAGAUCAUUAAGAGGGACUCUGGCACAAAUAUAGUAUCACUGUUGUUGCUAUGUUUCUUGGACACAUCCUUUGGAACUUGGUAUUUCCAUGAAUCCCCAGACUUGUCUGUUGUAAAAACUUUCUGCAUGCCUUAUUCGGUUCAUAAUCAUGUGUCUUUCAUGUGCUGGUCUUUUUGUCUUUCUUUGUGUAAUUGAAGAAUUUGGUAGCCAGUUUUGAAAUCUUUUCUCACUUGUUUUGACACGGACUUGACACAAAAAAAAUAACACUAAUUUUUUUAUUUGGAUAGCUGACUCUAGAAAACAAAAAUAAAAAAUACACAGAGAAGAAAGAAAAGACAAUGAAUGUCCCUCUUUGAAACAAAGAAAUGAAAAAUUUAUCUAAAAAUGAUAGUCAACUCUAAUGAUUAUGCCAUGCCUUUUGGAUUAAGCUGUUUGAUCUUUCCAUCAAAACUUUUUACUAAUUGUUCUUGAGUUGAUGACCCUAAAAAUGAGUUAUUUCCUUGGUCCAAUCACAUUCAUAGACCUCAUUCAGCUAGUGACACCUUGAAGGGUUUUCACCGAGAAGCCUCUCUCAUUUUCUUUCUCUCAGCUCACCAUUGCCCUAUGGUGUCCAUGAGGAUUUUCACUAAUGAGACUCUCUUAUUUUUAUUUUUCUUAACUCACGGCCGUCUUAGGUGCCCGUGAGGGUUUUAACCAAUAAUACUCUCUUAUUUUUAUCUCUUUCAACUUACCAUCACCUUACGAUGUCUGUGAGGGUUUUCACCAAUAAGACUCUCUCAUUUUUAUUUCUCUCCUGAUUACUUAUGCUGAGGAAGACGAGUAGUUCCCAAAAUGUUUCAUCAUAUCCAUUGCAUGCUUAGCCUUAACAUUCUCAAAAAUUGAUCUAAAGUUCUUUCUUUGGUUGUAACUUGGCUUUUGGAUAAGGUUAGAAAGAAAGGAUGACAUGAGUCCCAAACGACACUUGAAAUGGAGUAGGACUUACAACUUUUGGAAUCGACUCAAACAAUGAGGAUUAACUCAUGCCCUAAUUUGUUUCGGCGGGGUAAUUCUAAAUUAUUUAUUUGGUUAGACCGAUCCCAUAGUAGGGCAUCCUUAGUAUCUCACUACCGAGAGAGGAGAAUCAGGUCACACAUAGUUUCGAUAACUUGUUCUUUUUCUUGAUUUUGAUUUCUUCUUUUUUCUCUUUUAUUGACUCUUUUUCUCUUUGAAACUUUUUCUAACUCUAUUUUUCUUGUCACUCCCCAUUUUUUUUUUGACAUAUUUUUGUUUUUUUUUCUUUUUUUGAAACUUUUUUGACUCGAUUGUUUUUGUCAAUACCUUUUCUUUUGAAUGUUGUUGACUCUAUCUUGAUUCCAAAAGAGGGAUAAGAAAGAAAAUAGAACUAAAGCUCAAAUGGGGUAAACAAAGGAUGAUACAAUGUUUGAAUAACAGAAUGGAAUGCCUUCGUCAUAUCAAUCCUUGAAAAUACAAGUACACAUCAUGCAAUAUGAAGUGAAAUAUGAAGAUCAUUUGUGACAUUUUUUUUACAGCACUAACUUUAACUGAGCCUGUACGUUGCUACUUCUUCUGCAAACUCCACCUUUGUUGUACAUUCCUCAAAUCAAUGACUCGUGAUUUUGUGGAUCAGAUUUUCUUUCUGCUCCUCUUGAUAUAGGAUCACACAUCUACUAUUUGCCCUAAUUGAGACAUGCCUUUCAAUUGAUGACCAAUUUAUUCUUAUGAUUCUUAAAAUAAUUGCCUUAAUUUUCAAAGAAGACUUCAACUUGGUCACCAAAUGUCCCAACACUCUACCUAUUUUCUUAGAUGCACUUUUUCUGAAUUUAGCCCUCUGAUUCAAUAUUUCAUGAUUAAAAUAGAUUUUAAAAUCUGACUAAAAAUUCUGCAUGAACGUCAUAUUAUUAGACAUAAAAAUGUACUGUGUAAAGAAAACAAAAAAAUACAUAUUUAAACACAAAGGAAAAAAAGAACACUCCAUUUAGUUGAAAUGAAAGAUAGAAGAGUUUGAACAUAAACAACAAAAGGAGAAAAUAAGAUAGAUCCUGAAUGACAACCCUAAAAUAAUUUGGAUAAUAGAAAAGAAAAAAAAAUCAACUACCAGACCUCUUUCUAGUAAGGAGAGGAGUAACUUCCUAAUUGCUGAGCCUGAUAUCUUAGCCACUAGUUUGCACAUCAGCACAACUAGAGCUUUUACUACUGUCAGACACAUUUCCUUCAACAAAUAAGUUCUGGAUCCCUAUAUUUAACUCAUUGCUUCCCACAUGUUUUACAUUAUCAUGGGUUGGUGAAGGAUUCCGUGUGACACUCGUAGUGUCAAUGUUUUGCACUAUAAUCAAUUUUUCUUGAAUCAUCCUUUCUAUUUCUCUUUUCAAAGCAUGAUAAUCCUCAAUACUGUGACCCUGAACAUCAGAAUGAUAUGCACAUCUUGCAUGAGGAUCAAAAUUUCUUGAAUGCGAGUCAAGAGUAUACCCAAGUAAAGGAGUGGUCAUUCCCAAACAUCUCAAUUUUUGAAAUAAACUGGCAUAUGAUUCUCCAAUUAGUUUAAAAUUAUCCAUUGACUUCCAUAUCUUUGCAAACUAUGGCCUCAAUUAAAAUUUGGAUAUAGAUGUUUUUGGUAAAUUUGUAGGGGUCGAGGAUAAUGUUGAGAAAUCAGUGCAUGCCAUUUUGGAUAAGAAAACGGAUGGGCAUACAAUUAUGCAUUGUUCAAAGGAUACUAAGGAAGUGGAAUGAAACAUCUUGGAUUUUGAAAAGAGGAACCUUGUUGUGGAUGAAUAGGUGGAUUUGAUAUGUAACCUCGGGAUUGAGACUGAUAAUAUUGUUGAGUGAGACCUUUCGAGCUCUGCUUUGUCCCUGGAAUGACAAUAGGUGUAUUUUCAUUAUUCUUCCCUUCUGUUUUUUCAUAAUUGAUUGUAUAUCAUCCCAAAUGUUGAACGACAUCUUUAUGUCCAUCAUUGUAAUACCCUAUACUUUUCCUAUCUUGAAAAGUUUCCCAAGGAUGUUAGAAGCUUUCUUUGAAAGAUGAAUCCACUUUUGUACAUGUGGUAUUUUCAGGAUUUUCACUUUUUAUCAUGUGGGGAAUCGAAUAAGCCUUCCAUUGAUACCAAAUUCUCUCAAAUUUAACACCCGGGUGAAGAGUUAGAGCCUUUUUAGUGAGACAAUGUAUCACCUAAGCCUUCAGCGCAUCGCAGAGAUAGCUCAGAUGACAAUUAUCAAUUUUCAGUGUUGCUCCGCGAUAGUGGCACGUCACACCAAACUUUCAGGUCGUAGGCAAGGUGGAAACGCGAUAGGUCCAUAUUGCGCCACUGUGCAAUUUCCCAUUUUUCACUUUUCAGUGACUUGGCGCGAUAGUGGCGCGUCGCGCCAAGGAUGAAAAUUGGGAAAUUUUCUCAAAAAUUAAAGACUUGUCUAGGGUUUAAAGGGUCAAUUUACCACCCCUAUAUAUACCCUAUAAUACGAGAUUUAGUCAUUCCUCACCCAAAAUAUACUAGUUUCUCUCAAGAACAAGCUAGGGUUUCUAUUAGGGAUUCAAAUUCAAGAAGGUUUCGCCAUCAAUCCUCAAGAAAUCACAUCCUUGGUAUGCAUAGUGUUCAUUCAUGGGCUCCUUUCAUCCAUGAAGCCUAAGAAUCUAUUUUCUAACUUCAAGUUUAUGGAUUUCUUUAUGAAUUUCAUGUUGGGUUUGUUUUGUUUAUGCUGAGAAUGAUCAAUUAAAUUCAAAUCCAUGUUGGGUGAUCAGUGUUAGGUGGAAUUGAUUUGUAUAGAUGUAUAUACAUGUGAACCUAUGAUUAAACCCUAGGAUGAUGAAAUUAGAUGUUGAAACAUGAUGUUUAAUUGUUGUGUAAUGUUGUCUACAUAUAUUAUGCCUACCAUGUGUUUGAUUAAGUGCCUACAUGAAGAAAAAGUGCCCAGCUAGCAUGAUAUUAUGAAAGCCCCAUUUACAUACAAGUUUAUGCAUAUCAAAUGUUUGAUGAAGUUCUUUAAUAUAUGAACUAUGAAUUGUGUUGUUGGUCAUGUGUUCAAGUAAGCUAUGCUAUGUCAGUUUUUUCCAUCGAGUCCUGGGGGUACUUAUACCCGACAAUUUAGUUGCGUGCCUAGAGCUAUGUCAAGUUUUCACGAUAAUCUCAGUCAAGCCAUGAUCAGUAGAAUUUAGUCUGUCUCAUGACUCAGAAAAUCUCAGUAAAUUCAGUAUCCAUCAGAUCAGUCCUACUCAGUAAUCUUAGUAACCACAGUAUUCCUAGUAAUCUCAGUAACUUCAGUACUCUUAGUCAGUCCUCAAAACUCAGUAUAUUCCGUCAGUCAAUGGAACUCAGUAAACUCAAUUUAGCUCCGUUAAACAAUACCAUUAGUAUCAUCUUAGUUCAGAUAAUCACUUCAGUUCAGUUAAUCAGUUCAGUGUCUUUUAGAUGGGAGUAGGAUUCAGUACCGAGCGAGCCUAGGGAUGGGGACUCACCUGCUAGAUAGGACUGAGAUCCCUAGAAGAAAUCCCUAAGUUCUAGAACUACAUAACCAGCAUAGGUAUGAUAUGUCACCCAUUAGAUAGGACUAACAUACUCAAGGAUCACCCAUUAGCAUAUUUAAAUAUAUAGGACUGAUCCCAAGGGUCACCCGCUAGAUUAGGACUGACUCCACAGUAGUUGUUUCUAUCAGUGGCGCAGUAUUGACACCCUUCCAACUAGGGUUAUAGGUUGGACCCCAGUUAGCUUAGUAUGGAGCAUGUCGGUUAGAUGAUUACAUCCCAUAAUUUCAGUUACUCAGAUACAGUACGAAACUCAGCUAGUUUCAUCAGAUUCAGGACUAUCAAAUACAGUCACUCAUGUUAUUAGUUAUAUUAGUUAUCAGAACUUAUGUUAUUAUCAUUCAGUUUCAGGACUGUCAGAUACAGUCAACCAUACCAGUUCUUCAUAAUCAAAACUGUCAGACACAGUUAUCCAUGUAUUAGUAAUGUAGUAUCAAUCCCUCAGUAUUUAGUAAUAUAGUAUCAGUUUCUCACUCAUCAGUGACUCAGAUGUCAAUGUCAGUAGAAUCAGUAGUCAGAACUCAAUAUUCAGUCCUAUCAUGAUCUCAGUUACAGUUACGUAUGCAUGCAUGUAUUCUCAUGUUCAUAUUAGUCAAUCAGUUAGUAUUGUUCAUGCAUAUGAACCUAUUCCAUUCAGCCUACCUCACUUGCAUAUCAGUAUAUUCAAAGUAUUGACGCAUUUGUGCUAUGGUGCUUAUACCAUAGGUUUAGAAGCAUGAGCUCCAGAGAACCAGUAGUAUCCCAGUUCAGCGAUCAGAGUUAGCAAUGAGCUCUUAUCCUUCGAGGACAUGAUGAUCACAUUACUAUUUUAGUUUUCAAUUUAUUUCACUAGUUGGAGUUAGUUGGGGACAUGUCCCAUCAACUCCUUAUUCAAACAGUUUAGAGGCUUUCAGACUACAGUAUGUUCAGACAAUUAUCUCAGCUGUUUUGGUAUUGUUAUACCAUAUUUUUUAGUUAUGUACUAGUAUUAAACCUUAUGGCCUUUCAGUUCAUGUUUCCACAUUUACGAUAUUAUUACUAUUAUUCAGUGCUUAGUUUACAGAUAUCAGUCAUAGGUUAGCUUGUGAUCCUUUGGGGUUAUGGGCACCGUGUAGCAUUCCAGGUACCAGAUUUGGGGCGUUACAAACUUGGUAUUAGAGCCUAAGGUUCAAUAGUAUCCUAGGAAGUCUGAAAAGCCGCAUCUAGUAGAGUCUUUUACAUGCAUUUGUUGUGCACCACACUUUUGUGCAGGAGGCUAUGAGGUGUUUUAGGAACAGUUUCCCUUCUUUCAGUAUUCAUGUCAUGCCAGUGAGCAUAGGCUCAAAGUUAAACUAUCAGUCAUGAAUCAGUCCGUGGAUGCCCUAUGCAUCGCCCCAGUAUCUCAGUAGGGUGAGCAUUCUUAGAGGGACAUAGUGUCCCAAGGAGGAGAUACCCUAUUAUUUCCUCAACGUUCACAUGCCUUAAAUAAAGUUUCUCUUCGAAUAAUGAAUCUAUUUUAGAGUAGAGGGUAUUCAUAAGUUGAUCCUCAAAGUCCUAACCUCAGCUUUGGGCCAAGUAUUCAGAGGCUCAGUUCCGUUCAUAAUGUUCAGUUCGUAUGCCACGUAUCAGACUAAACUCAGUUAGGUUCUCAUAUUUUCGCUCAUGCAUGUUUAGUAAGAUGAUAUCGAAUUCAUUAGCAUUUCCAGUUAAGAUAACAGUUCUCCUUAGUCUUACUCAGUUUCAUGUUCAGUGUUUAUCACAAACUUGGUACUAUGUACCCUUUCAUAUUUAGCCAUGCAUUCAUAUAUCAGUUCAGGUAUGCAAUUAUGCAUCAUACAUGCAUUAUCACUGUGAGAAAUUCAGUUCAUCAAAAUAUUCAGUAAUGUACUCAUAAGUCAAUUUCAGUCAUGCAUCAGAUAUGCGUGAAUUCAGCUUAUUAGUCAUGCAUCAGAUAUGCAUGUUCAGUAUGAUAUAUUAAGCCAUCAGUCAUGUUAGUCAUGAAAUCAUGUUCCAGCCAGUCAUGUUCAGUAUGUACGUUAGUUUGUAUUCUUUCCCUCUCACUCAGUCUCAUUCAAGGACGAACGUUCUCAAGGGGGAGAUGUUGUAAUAACCCGUAUUUUUCUGAGCUUAAAAAGUUUUCUAAGGAUGUUAGAAGCUUUCUUUGAAAGAUGAAUCCACUUUUGUACAUGUGGUAUUUUCAAUAUUUUCACUUUUUAUCAUGUGGAAAAUCGAAUAAGCUUUCCAUCGAUACCAAAUUUACCUAAAUCCGACACCUGAGUGAAGAGUUAAAGCCUUUUUAGUGAGACAAUGUAUCACCUGAACCUUCAACGCGUCGCAGAGAUAGCUCAAAUGGAAAUUGUCAAUUUCCAGUGUUGCUUCAUGAUAUUGGUGCAUCGUGCCAAACUUCUAUGUCGCAGACAAGGUGGCAAUGUGAUAGCUCCGCAUCGCACCACCGUGCAAUUUCCUAUUUGUCACUUUCUAGUGACUUGGCGCGAUAGUGGCGCGUCGUGCCCAGGAUAAAAAUCGGAAAAUUUUCUCAUAAAUUAAAGACGCGUUCAGGGUUAAAAGGGUUAAUUUCCCACCACUAUAUAUACACAAUAACAAGUGAUUUAGUCAUUCUUCACCCAAAAUAUACUAGUUUCUCUCAAGUUUCUCUCAAGAAUAAGCUAGGGUUUCUAUUGGGGAUUCAAAUUCAAGAAGGUUACACCAUCAAUCCUCAAGAAAUCACAUCCCUGGUAUGCAUAGUGUUCAUUCAUGGACUCCUUUCAUCCAUGAAGACUAAGAAUCUAUUUUCUAAGUUCAAGUUUAUGGAUUUCUUUAUGAAUUUCAUGUUGGGUUUGUUUUGUUUAUGCUGAGAAUGAACAAUUGAAUUCAAAUACAUGUUGGGUGAUCAAUGUUAGGUGGAAUUGAUUUGUAUAGAUGUAUAUUAAUAUGAACCUAUGAUUAAACCUUAGGAUGAUGAAAUUAGAUGUUGAAUCAUGAUGUUUAAUUGCUGUAUAAUGUUGUCUACAUAUAUUAUGCCUACCAUGUGUUUGAUUAAGUGCCUAUAUGAAGGAAAAGUGCCCAACUAGGAUGAUAUUAUAAAAGCCCCAUUUAUGUACAAGUUUAUGCAUAUCAAAUGUUUGAUGAAGUGCUUUAAUAUAUGAAUUAUGAAUUGUGUUAUUGGUCAUGUGUUCAAGUAAUCAUUUUUUUCCAUCGAGUCCUGGGGGUACUUGUACCCGACAAUUUAGCUGUGUGCCUAGAGCCAUGUCAGGUUUUCACGAUAAUCUUACUCAAGCCAUGAUCAAUAGAAUUUAGUCAGUAUCAUGACUCAGGAAAUCUCAGUAAAUUCAGUAUCCAUCAGAUCAGUCCCACUCAGUAGUCUCAAUAACCGUAGUAUUCCUAGUAAUCUCAGUAACUUCAGUACUCUUAGUCAGUCCUCAGAACUCAGUACAUUCCAUCAGUCAAUGGAACUCAGUAAACUCAGUUUAUCUCCACUAAAUAAUACCAUUAGUAUCAGCUCAGUUCAGAUAAUUACUUCAGUUCAGUUAAUCAGUUCAGUGUCUUUCAGAUAGGAGUAGGAUUCAGCACCGAACGAGCCUAGGGAUGGGGACUCACCCGCUAGAUAGGACUGAGAUCCCUAGAAGAAAUACCUAAGUUCCAAAACUACAUAGCCAGUGUAUGUACAAGAUGUCACCCGUUAGAUAGGACUGACAUACUUAGGGAUCAUUUGUUAGCACAUUUAAAUGUAUAGGACUUAUCCCAGGGGUCACCCGAUAGAUUAGGACUGGCUCCACAGCAGUUGUCUUUAUCAGUGGCGCGGUACUGAUACCCUUCCAACUAGGGUUACAGGUUGGACCCUAGUUAGCUUAGUAUGGGGCAUGUUGGUUAGAUGAUUAUAUCCCAUAAUUUCAGUUACUCAGAUAUAGUACGGAACUCAGCUAAUUCCAUCAGAUUCAGGACUAUCAGAUACAGUCACUCAUGUCAUUAGUUAUAUUAGUUAUCAGAACUUAUGUUAUUAUCAUUCAGCUUCAAGACUGUCAGAUACAGUCAACCAGACCAGUUCUUCAUAAUAAAAACUGUCACACAGUUAUCCAUGUAUUAGUAACGUAGUAUCAAUCCCUCAGUAUUCAGUAAUAUAGCAUCAGUUUCUCACUCAUCAGUGACUCAGAUGUCAAUAUCAGUAGAAUCAGUAGUCAGAACUCAAUAUUCAGUCCUAUCAUGAUCUCAGUUACAGUUACGUAUGCAUGCAUGUAUUCUCAUGUUCAUAUUAGUCAAUCAGUUAGUAUUGUUCAUGCAUAUGAACCUAUUCCAUUCAGCCUACCUCACUUGCAUAUCAGUAUAUUCAAAGUAUUGACGCAUUUGUGCUAUGGUGCUUAUACCAUAGGUUUAGAAGCACGAGCUCCAGAGAACCAGUAGUAUCCCAGUUCAGCGAUCAGAGUUAGCAAUGAGCUCUUAUCCUUCGAGGACAUGAUGAUCACAUUACUAUUUUAGUUUUCAAUUUAUUUCACUAGUUGGAUUUAGUUGGGGACAUGUCCCAUCAACUCCUUAUUCAAACAGUUUAGAGGCUUUCAGACUACAGUAUGUUCAGACAAUUAUCUCAGCUGUUUUGGUAUUGUUAUACCAUAUUUUUUAGUUAUGUACUAGUAUUAAACCUUAUGGCCUUUUAAUUCAUGUUUCUGCAUUUAUGAUAUUAUUACUAUUAUUCAGUGCUCAGUUUAUAAAUAUCAGUCAUGGGUUAGCUUGUGAUCCUUCAGGGUCAUGGGCACCGUGUAGUAUUUCGGGUACCAGAUUCGAGGCGUUACAAUCAUUCUCCUCAAAUUUUGAUAUUUCAUAGCUUGGAGGAUGGUUGACACUUGAAUACAUGCCCCAGUCUUUAUAUGAAACAUAUUCAUAACCUGUAAGUCCCAGGAAACUUUUCAUAGCAUUUUCUGCAUUCUCCAUUUUUCCAACCAUUUUCUCUGGCUCUUCUAGCAUGCUAGGCUUCUUGGUAAGAAAUUUUGGUAGUCUAAUUAACUUAAAAUUUAGGUUCAAAAGUAUAACAAUGAUCAUCAAUAGUCUUGAAUGUGGAUUCACUAGUGGACUGGGGAAAUACAAUCGUUAGGCGGACAACUAAUGUGGAAACCUCAGUAGAGGGUUGAGCAACAAAAUCACAAACGAUAUAUGGUGUUGUGAAUGUAGUUGGCUUAUGUUAAGGAGCUAGAGAAAGAGUGGUGGAAGUAUUGGGAUGUAGUUGAGGAACAAAUUUUGAGACAUACUAAGGUGCAUCAACAACAGUAGGAAGCUGACAUAGUGAUUUUGGUGGAAAACUCAAGGUAUUUAUAGGAUCAAAAGUAGGGAAUAGAGAAGGAGGCAACCCACUGGCCCAAGUUCGGUGAAUUACCAUCAUUUGUUUCCUUGAUCUCAAAAUCUCUUGCUUUAAACUCUCCUUUUCCCGACUCUUUGUUUGGUCUAUGAUGUCACUCUCUAUAUCCAUGUUGGACACAAUUAACCCUUCCUUGAAUUUGGUGUAAUGUGAAGGACCAGCCAGAAUGCCACAAACCAACCACUUUAAACUAACUGAAUAAGAAAUAACAGAGAUGUUAGAAUGAAAUACUUUUCAAAACUCUUUUUCUUCUUUUUUUCUUUUGAAAAGAUCACCAAACCCAAGAAGGGCGCCUACGUAUCUCACUCCCAAGAGAAGAAUCAGGUGUACAUAGUUCUUGAAGUUUUGGCACCAUAUGGCCGAUCAAACUUUUUUUUUCUUCUUCUUUCUCUUGAAAUCUUAAGAAGCAAAGAAAACAACAAAUUGUCAAAAGAAUUGAUGAAAAUCUUUUUGAAUUUUCAUCUUUAAAAUCCCAUACAAAAUGAAACAUAUGAUUACCAAAGAAAAUCUUUUUGGAUUUCAUACGAAAGUGAAACUUGAACCUAUUAAAGUAAUUUUUUUUUUAUAGUUUUCUUUUAAAGAUGUAUACGAAAAACCUACUAUAAAUAAAGAGUGAAGAAAAUCUUUUUGAAUUUUUUAAACAAGAUCACCAAACCCACGAAGGGCUGCCUACGUAUCUCACUCCCAAAAGAGGACAAUUAAGGAUUAAAUAACCAAUUGACCCUAACUUAAGAGACACAACCAAAGACAGACAAUGAAUAACAUUAAUUUUUUGGGGCUUUUUUAAUUAGACACUUCACAUAAAAAUGACACCAACAAACUAUGAAAGAAAAAUCUUUUUUGGCAUUUUCGUUAUAUGAAUGUACAAAACUUCUACCUUUUUUUUUGAAUUUUUCUUUUAUAAAAAACUCCUAUUGAAAUUUUUUUUAAAAAUUUUUUGAAUUAUGAAUGCUUACUAAAGAAACAAAAGAAAAAUCUUUUUGAUAUUUUUGUUUAUGGACAAAUGAGUUUUGGACUCACUUUUUUUCCUUUUCUCUUUUUUUUUUUUCAAAUUUUCCUUUGCUUACACAUGCUUUCCCUUUAAUUCUAGCAUAUGGUUUCCCCCAAAUCAUUCCGUCAAAUGAUCCUGUUACCCUCAAAGAUGAAACAAUUAGCACGUAGGGAUGCUUUAGGAGUGAGUCUCCUACAAAGGACAAAGUGGGUCUUGCUAGAUCUCAAUAUGAUCCAGAUAAGCAUGACCUAAAGGCUGACCUAGGCUGGGGUCCACUAACAAGGCUGUCCAGGGAAGCGUAUGGUCUAUAGUGGUUGGGAUAGCUUUUCACCUACUCCAUACUAGCCGAUAGCUCCCCCUCCUAAAAUAAGGGUGACUCAACUAGAGAUCGUGUAUACAACAUAUACUAUGGGAAACUUUGCGAAAGACAUGACUCGGGCAAUGCAAAUGAUGACAGGUAUAACUGUAACACAUAAGGAAAAACUAUAAACGCGUAGCACAUAAGUACAUAAUAAUGAUAAUACAAUACAAACGAUAACACAAAUAACAUAUGUACACUCAUAGUAUCAAACUAAUCCGAUACAACUAAAAAAAUAAGCUCGAAUUCUAAAAAAUCCCCAGCAGAGUUGUCAGAGCUAUCACACCCCCUUUUUUUUAUCCAAAAAGAUUGAAUUUUAAAUUUGAAAGGGUUUUUAUUACUAAGUGACAAAGAACGAAAAUUUAUUUCAAAAAGAAUUCUUUUACAUUUAAACUUAGAGUCGCCACUUGGCAUAAAUUUAGAGUGCCAAGUCACCAUUGGAAAUCCUUUUUCAAAAUGGUUUGAUUCUUUAAAAACUGGUCCACGAACAGAAAUUCCGGUUAAGAAAAUUUGUUAAUCAAGGGGUAGGUGUUAGGCACCCCUCGAUCCCGUGGUUCGACCAUGGUUACUUCAUGGAGUAUAUCUGCUAGUACGACACUAUGAAUGUAUAAACCACAUACAACACCUAAAACAAUCAAUCACACAAACAAAACAAAAUAAGUCCAAAAAUAUAGCGUCCAGUCCAAUUAUUACAGUUCGAAAUAAAUAAAUUGAAAUAAAAUACUAACCUAUAGUAGUCAUAGGCUAUGCUUUACCCGAUGCCUCGGGCCUUGAUCACGAAUGUCCUCCGAGUAUAAGAUACUUCGGGGCAUUCCUCGGUGAAUAAAUACAAACAACCUCGGAGCAUUCCCCGGCUAAAUAAAUACAUUUUCAAUGUGAGAAAACCAAAAUCAUUCAAUAAUAUUUCAAAUAUUCAACAAUUCAUAAUCACUAAAUUUGCCUACCUCCUAUCAUUUACCUAUCAAUUUGACGGCCUAAUCAUGAUACUAUCGAGUCCGAGAAAAUUAAUAUCCAUUUCAAAUUAACUCAAUCAAUGAACCAAUCUGAGUCAAUAUUCAUUCUUUAUCACUUUUCAAAUCCCCCAAUUUAUUCUCGAUCACUCAAUUGAUUAAUUAUUUAAUAACCAAUCAUGAAUAACAAACAUUGAUCAAACCAACACUCAAACGUCACCAACAAUCCACAUUAACAAAUAAAAUAGUGAUAUUGAAUCACGUUCACAAUCAAAUAAGAAUUAAAAUAAAGAAAAGAAAUAAUUGGACCUCAAUACCGCUUUGACCAAGUAUUAUUUGAUUAAACGAGAUGGAGUCCGCGCUAGAAACCUCAAAUCAAAACCUCAGCAAACUUUUGAACCCAAAUUCACACAAAAAUCCUCCAAAGUCGAUUGUAAUAUGAAACCUAUGAGAAAUUUAAGAAAAACCUAGACUACCAACGAUCAAAUCCGACCACAACUCCGAACGCCGAUCAAGAUUUUUGAGUCCAUUUUCUCACCUGAGAUGGCUAAGACAAUGAGUAGCUUGUGGGUGGUAUUUUUUGGUGGCUUUGGUCGCUGUUUUGGCAUCUCUGGUGGUUUUUUGUUAGAACAUUAAUAAAUAAAAAUUAGGGUGUUCUCUGAUUGUCAAUUCCAGCGAUGAUUCAUUUUCUCGAUUCUCUUAUCUUAUUACAUGUAUUUUCUGUGUAUUGUGAGUGUGGUGUGUAUUCGAUUGGUAUGUGUGUUUUUGUUAUUGUGAAAUCAAUGAAGUAUUAUAGAUUGGAGGAGUAUGUGUGUGAGUUUGUUAGUGUAUGAAUCUCAUUCUCCCUCCAUAGCUCUGUGUGCAUGCAUUAUUAUGUAUGUCCCCUUUUUCGAUAAGGUAUCUGUGUGUGUAUAUGAAUAUCUAUGUAUAUGGAGUGCGCCUAUGUGUAUGUAUUAUAGUGUGUGUGUUCUCUGUGAGUGGGAUCCCCUGUAUCUAUGUAUGAGUAUCUAUAUAUAUGUGUGAGUUUUGGUGGGUAAAUUGUAAGAGAGUGUGUGUAUUGUGCCUCAAUAUCCCUGUGUGUGAGCUGUGUGUUGCAAUUUAUGUGGGUCCCCUUUCUGUUAUGAAAAAUAUAAGUAAAAAAAUAUGAGUUUAUAAAGGGUGGGGUAUGCGGGUAGGGGUAGGGUAGGGGUGGAGGGUUGUGGAUAGGGGUGGAGGGUUGUGGGUAGGUAGGGUAGUGAGGUGGGUAGGAGUGUGUUUGUUAUUUUGUUAGGGUAAGGUGUCCAUUUUUAAAUAAAGAGGUUGUUAAUUUGUUAAAAAUUUGUUAUUUUUGUAUCAUUUUGGAGGGAUAAUCACAUGGGGGUAAGGUACAUGGUAAGGAGGGGUAAAAAUGGAAAAAAGAUGAUUUUGGGGAGUUGCAAAUUACGUGUUUACAGAAUUGACAAAAAUUUAUGAUUUCAUCCUACAAUUGUAACAUUUUUGAGGGUGGGAAGUAUUGAUCCAAGAAAUCCUCCAUAAGUUUGACCCACGAGGUAAUGGACUCGACGGGUAGAGAUCUUAGUCACAACACUGCCUCACCUGUUAGAUAAAAUAGGAAGAGCCGCAACCAUACGGAUUCUUAUGAUAUGUGAGAAAUGUCAAAAUAAGUACAUACUUCCACAAAAUUCUUCAAGUGCAAGUUUGGGUCAUCAUGUACUUGGACCCCAAACAAACCCUUCAUAUGAAGCAAUGGAGCAUCAUACUUGUGACAUGAAAUACUCCGUUUCCCUUGGUGGGGGAAUACAGAUAACAUUAGCAUGUUCUUCGUCGUCAAGAUAAUCCAUAGUUUCAACAUGUUCAUAUGAUAGGUUGUUGAUGACUCCUUCUUGACUUAUGGUUAUUUUCAAGAAAUAAAGAUUACCUACAGAAGAAACAAAAACAACAACUAAACUAAGUAAACACCACUACAGGUAGACUCAAAGCUACAAUCAACACCGUAAAAGUGAACACUAAGUUUUACUCCCCGACAACGGCGCCAUUUUGAUUACGCUCAACUUACUCCAUAAUUUAUGGGCAAGGCGAUCGUUGUCAAAUAUAAUAAUCCAACAUGAGUUAGGGUCGAAUCCUCAAGAAGUGAAUCUAGUAUUCAAAUCCUAUGGGUAUUGAAAGUGUCUAAGUAUAUACCCGUAGUUUAAACGAAAUGAAAUACAUGAAUUAAAAUUUGGGGGGUGUAUGGUUUCGAAAAAUUAUUUUAACAAAAACUACUCAAAUUAACAAUUGGGAGAAACAAAUGUAGAUAAGAUUCCAAUGGGAGAAUGGUCUUGGGAUUGUGAUUUCCUAGGGGCAAAUAGUGUAUGGGUUCAUGAUAAUCAAAUGCAACUUUUGGUUAAUAACUAUAUGGGUAGGCUGGGUUAUGGUCUUUGAUGCUAGCUUUUCAACCAAACACGAAGAUAUCACUCAUGGACCCUUUUGAAUACCUAAUGAGUGUGGCAAACAAAUCCACCCAACACCUUAAUUGGGCAUCCCUAUUUCUAUAAAGAUGCGCAAGACAUAGAAAAUUCACAAUCCACACUUAUUUCUAAGACAAUGAAAAGGAACAAGCUAAUAUCUAAUCUAUUAUUCACAAAUACUAUUCAUUCACAUCCCUCUUUAAAGUAUGGUGUGCAAUUUGGGAAAAUUGAGGCUUUCACCCACAAAUCCCAAUUUAGCAAUCAAAUAUUUGUGAAACCCACCAUCAUCAACUAAGAAUUUACACUAAUAAUCAAAACCCACACACAUUUGCACCAUAUUUAAACAUAAUCCUAAGAUAGAAUAUUUAGCUAAUUAUUUCCACAUUCAUCUCUCCAAUUGAAAAUAAAGCAAAAUUAAUCCCAAAAUUCCAAGCUCCAAUUACAACUAAAAAUAUCUUUUUGGAAGAUUAAAUACAGUUGAUCUUCUCACACUAAUUGGAAAUUUUCUCUCUAUUUCUCUUUCAAAGGUAGUUGGAAGAUGUUGCCAAAGUGAAAAGGUUUGCCCUUUUGAGAGAUUGGAACCAGUUGUGGAAAAUUAUCAAUCUACCCCUAGAAUGAUUUCCAUCUCAUCAUGAUAGCCGAUAUAAUAAUCGCGAUUACAGAGAACCUAUCAUGAUCGCCAGCUUUUAUUGAUUUGGACUAGCCAUGAUCACGACCCUCAGACCGCGAUCACGGUAACUGGAGGUCAGUUCUUGCUCCUGCUUUUUCAGCUUUUGAACUACUUCUUCACUUUUUGAUCUGUUUUAGCUUAUUUCAUUUCUUUGCUUCUUAUCACCUGUAUGCCUACAAAACAUCAUUCAAAUGAAAUUUUUUAAUCAUUAAAACCAUUAACUCAUAGUAGUGUGCACGGAUUUGGGCAACAAUGAGCGAUAAAUUUACCACUCAUCAAUCAGCCUUUGCAUGAUGUUACUUUCUAUCAGAAACUUGUUGAGAAGUUGUUGUAAGCUACCAUUACAAGACCAGACAUCUCUUAUGAAAUAAAUACUCUCAGUGUAACACCCUUAAAAUAUCAUCUAUUUCAUUUUUUUACCUUUCCGUGUUUGAAACAUUGAUUUUUGACCUGAGAUGUGCUUAAGGAUGUUAAAAGGGUAAUCCGGGUGAGUUUUAAAAUUUUUGAAGGAGGUUCGAGGUCAUUUUAGAGUUAUGAGGCAGUGAGCCUCCGUGAUAAUAUCAUGUCACGAAGGAUAAUCUUUGGAAUAAGCAGCGUGUCAUGGAGGAUAAUCUCUGUAGUAAGCAGCAUAGCAUGGAGGUUAGCCUCUGUGAUAAGCAGUGUGUCACGCUGCUUUGUAAAAUUUGGGUAGUCACUUUAGGGUGAAGGGUUUUUGGUUCUUUCUCCCCUUUUAAAACCCUCCCCUAUGACUUAAAUCAUCUAAUAAGAGUUAUUACCCAUUGUUAAUUAGUUUUAAAUACUCAUUAUUCUCUGCUCUCUCAAGAAAAAGAGAAUUAGGGUUUCUUUCAAUGCUGAUGCUUUUAAGACUAGAUUCAAGCUGUUUUGAAUUCUUAAUCAUCAAAAAGGUACGUAGAACUAUCCUAACAAUGAUGGGCCAAAAAUUUAUGUUUCCUUCAUGGACUUGAAAAUAUGUGGUAUAUGUGUAUGUAUGAUUUUUUAGAAUCAACUUAAGAGCAUGAUUAUGAUAUUACCUCUCUCAUGAUGAAAUUUACUUUUCUUAAUAUGUUAUAGGUUGUUCAAAUGUAUGAUUAAAAGAUUAAGUAAUAUGUUUUAUUAUCAAUGGCGAAUUGAUAUGGUUUUGAAUUCAAGAGAGGGUACUUUCCUUACUUUCGAUAUGCUCAUUCAUGUUAAAUGGAAAAAUUUCAUGUGAUCUAUGAGAUUUCCUUACUUUCCAGUUGAAAAGGGAAUGUUUUUGCAUGAAUUUUUCAUAUGCUAUUUUGAAUUAAGAACUCCCAUGUUAUGUUUAACUCUUUUGGUGGUAAUUAAUAAAUUUUGAAUAAAAAAGGCUAAGAAUAUGACAUGACAUGAUAUGGCUUGCAUGUCUAGGUAUGCUGAUACCUAUCACAACAUGUCCUUAACAUGAAAGAAAAGAAUGAUAUAAGCAUGAAGCAUGGUUUUAAGAGGUUAAAAUUAGGCUCAAAGAGAUUUAAAUGGUUACCUGAAGAAGGCAUAAGUUCAGAUAACUCAUCGCUAGAAACCGUAUUUUGGCGAUGCGGGUUUUAUGAAAUCUUAUUGGUUAAGUGGGAUAAUGUGAUGUAUCAUCAAGAAGGCAUACUUUUCAUAAAAUGGUAUGUCAUCAAUAAGGCAUACAUUUUCAUGACACUCCAAAUCCUUACGACAAACUCAGAAUGGGGGCUUGACUGUUGAGUUACUGGUGGAUUUCAUAUAACCCAUGGAAUUUAAGAAAUGUAAGGUGUACCAUCUAGCUCAGAAGUAAAAUAAAGAGUGUUGUCUACAUUUGUCCAAUAAUAAUUUGAAGCUAAAUUUAUUAUGUCCAUAUGUUUUGAUCUCUACUAUGUUGAAUUGAUUUUGGUAAGUUUUGAUUCUUUUAUAUGAAAUAUAUAUAUAUAUAUAUAUUGGUUUUUUGGAUUGUUCUACGUACAAAUAUAUUCAAAGUAUUGACCAUCCUUAUGGAGAUUGUAUUGUCUCAUAAUGUAGGAUCUAAGGCACAGUCCCACGGUCCAAUUCAACAGUAGUAGAUUGUUCCAAAAGUUUAGAGUCGGUGAGCCUCCCUUAUUUUGGAAGUCAUUUUUUUCAUAUGAUAGUUUCAUUCAUUUUUUUGGUCCUACCAGUGGACUUGACCCCGCUUAGAUAGAUAAGUAUUUCAGUAGAGACUUUGUAGGCUGCUUUAGAUUGGAUUUGGAUGUUUUGGAUGUAUUUAAAUUUGAUUACAAGCCUUUCCAUAUUUCAAUUUUAUUUUUUGUACCUUAUUCUUAUGAAUUAUGUUCAUGAUGGCAUGUUAUGGGGUAUCUCGGGACUUCAUGGUUCAAGAUGUCCGUUGUUUCCAGGGCCUCAGCUCAAGCCAUAGCAAGCUUAGUAUCAAAGCACGGUUUAGGGUUCUAGAUUGUCUACUAAGCCAUGUCGAGUAGAGUCAUUAUUAUAGGUGUGUAGCAUGCUACACUUAUAUGGGGGAAGAUAUAAGACAUUUAGAAAUGUUUCCCUUUUUUUUAUGAUUCUAGUUCGUGCUAUAGGGUCUGAAUAUUUCCUAACUCAUGACUUUCUAUGUUUUAGAUCAUACCUCCCCAUAGAUCUAAUGAGCAGAACAAUGUGUCUAUUGGGACAAAUGCAGAAGAUGUCUGCCCUACCAUGGGAUAUAGACCUGUUAUAGAGUAUGUACUCCAGAAUUUACUAUUCCUUCGACUGUCCCACCAGUUUAGACUAGCACUUCUUAGUCUUCUCUAUCCAGUAUCAACAACACUCAGUCCCCACACAGAGAGGUCUCAAAUGCUAAGUUUCAUUAGUCUAUCCAUAUGAUUUCUCAGCUUAUGGCUUCAGUCUAAUCGGUCUGGGGAUGUGAGUUCUUUCAUUGGUUCUUCUGAGGUAACUUGGGUUGGUUAGUUCAUGAGGUUGAACCCAUCCAUCUUCACGAGUACUAAAACUGAGGAGGACCCUCAAGGGUUUGUGGAUGAUAUGGAGAAGAUAUUUAGAUUCAUGUAUACCGGCGGUACUAGGGGUAGAGUUUGCAGCCUAUCAUCUAAAAGAUUAUAACGCCCUGAAUCUAGCACCUAAAAUGUUACAUGGUGCUCAUGACCCCGAAGGACCACAAGCUAACCCAUGACUGAUAUCUAUAACUGAGCACUAAAUAAUAUAUUGUAAAUAUGUGGAAUAUAAGCUGUAAGGCCAUAAGGCUCAAAACUGAACUAAUACUGAAUAUAAAACAAUGUCUGUAAUAGGGUAUAACAAUACCCAAAAAUUAAAAUAAACUAUCUGAAACAUAUUGUUGUCUGAAAGCCUCUACACUAUCUAAAAUAUGUGGAGUUGAUAGGACAUAUCGUGCUUCUAAACCUAUGGUACAAAACACCAUAGUGCAAAUGUGCCAGUACAAUUGAAUGAACUGGUAUACAAGUGAGGUAGGCUGAAUGCAAGGGUUCAUAUGUAUGAACAAUAAUAACUGACUGAUGACAUAAACAUGAACGUGUGAAAAAUACAUGUAUGAAUACAUAAACUGGGGCUGGGGUCAUGAUAAUACUAAAUACUGAUGUACUAAUAUCUGAGUUUACUAAUACUAGGAUACUGAAUAACUGAGUCUAUUAAUGAUAGGAAUUACGGAGUUUACAGGUAACCGAUAUCUGAGGUUACUGGUACUAUAUAACUGAUAACUGAUAACUGUGUAUACUGAUACUGAAAAACUAUUUGAGUUUUUUACUGGACUGGGUGAUUGUAUCUGACAGUCCUAAAUCUGAAGAACUAUUUAAGUUCUAGAUUGAGCUGGAUGACUGUAUUUGACAGUCCUAAUUCUGAUAGAACCAGUUGAGUUCCAUACUGAACUGAGCUACUGUAUCUGACAAUCCUAAUAUCUGUAGAACAGAACUGAGUUCUAUUACUGAGACUAAAUCUAAAACUAAGACUGUGGGAGGUAAUCAUCUAACCGAUAUGCCUCAAAUCUGAACUGGUGGGGUCCAACCUAUAACCCCAGUUGGAAGGGUGCUAGUACCGUACCAUAGGUAAAGACAAGCUGUAGGUAAACACUCUUUGAUAAGGAGCUCUUCUAUCAACCCCUCCUAUAAGGAAAAACUCAAAGUAGAUGUAUAGUCCCUAGACUCGUAGGGGUACAUCUCGAACUAAACUGGCUAUAUAGUUUUGGAAUGCAAGGAUUACUUAUAAGGGUCACACCCUCUACUGACUGAUAGGUGAGCCCUCCUCCUUGGGUUCACUGGUGCUGAAUCCUACUCCCAACUGAAAAGACACUGAACUAAUUUAAUUGAACUGAACUGUUACUGAUCAUAUUGUAUAACUAAUUUGAACUGGAUUCACUAAAUUCUAUUGACUGACAGAAUACUACUAAGAUCUGAUAACUAACUGGGAUUGCUGAGAUUAUGAAGAUUACAGAGAUUACUGAUAUUAUUUAGAUUACUGAGGUUAUUGAGAUUACUGAGGUUAUUGAGUAGGACUAGACUGAUACUGAAUUCAUUGAAUUUUCCUGAGUCAUGAGACUGACUAAAUUCUAAUGAUUAUGGCUUGACUGAGAGUAUUAUGAAAACUAACACUGGCUCUAGGCACAUAGCUAAAUUGUUGUGUACAAGAACCCCCAGGACUCAGUAGCAUAAAAAUGACAAGUCUUGACACUCUUGAACACAUGACCAAUAUCAACAAUUUAUCAUACAAUAAGUUGGGGAUUUCAUGAAGCACAUGGUUAUCAUAAUUUUGUACGUGGAUAGGAAUGCAUAUAAUCAUGUCAUAAUUUCAUACUCUAACAUCAUGAGCAUUCCAACAAACAUCUACAAUGCACAUCAAUAACAUAGUAGUCAUUUGAACAUAAGGGUAAAACAUGUAUUUAUCGUUUGGGUCACAAUUAAGAUAUAAUGCAUAAUUUCUAUUCUCUUAGGCAUUUUAUCAAACACCUUACAUGCACCACUUAGGGUAUAAUCAUAAUCAUCAAAUUAACACCCCAUAACCAACUAAGUUCAUAGUUUUCGACAUGCAUGCUAACAUAGUUUGAUAAAACAAAUGAAGAUUCCAACUUAGGAAUCAUACAACAACAACCACAUGAACAUAAUCAAUCCAUAACAUGAAUAUCAGAAUUCAUAGUUUAAAACUUGAUUCUUGGGAUUCAUGGACUAAAGAAAUCCAUUAAUGAACACUAUGCAUACCUUAGUUCUUGAUUAUACGAAGAUUGACAGAGAGAUUCUUGAAUUUGGGUAUUGAAUUUGAAUCCUUAAUUAAAAACCUUAACUUGUUCUUGAGAGAAACUUGAGAGAGACUAUAUUUUGGUUGAAUUGGGGCUAAAUCCCAUGUUUUAGACUUAUAUAGAGGUGGGAAAUUGACCCUUUUGACUUUAAAAAUAUGGACAUUUAAUGACUGAAAUUGGGCAUCGAUGCUAUUAUCAAGCGAUAGUCGACGUGUCACGCCAUCAUCACAUCGAGUCUCAGUACUUUGACCCUGGUAACCUGCAAUAAUAUCAACCAACGCGAUUGGUAAUGCGGCACGCCAAAAUCGUAUUGGUCCACUAUUUUGAGCUUCCGAACGUUGUCUAAAUGAGUUCCGAAAAUUUCAAAACUUGAUCGAAAACACUUAUUGACCUUCCUGGUCAUGAAUUAGCAAGAAUACAGACUAUUAAAGGACAUUAAAGUCACGAAAUGAGACUGCAAACUUUCAAAGGCUAAAAUAAAUUAAGUCUAGAAACUUAGCUAGAACCUUCUAAGUAUGGGACCCCCCUAACAAGCAUAAAUGGACUGAAUUAAGCUUAGAAUUUUGUGGGGUCUUACAAAAAUAUGACUUAUCAGUGGUAUGAUGAGUGGAAAGAGCUAAGGGGUGAGGAUGUUGAACUUGCAGUAUAGGAAGAGUUUUUGUGUACUUUUAUGGAUCACUUCUUUCCUUAGGAAUUGGGGAAGGCUAAGGCUGAGGAAUUUAUGAACCUGAAGCAGUGGAAGAUGAGAGUCAAAAAAUAUAUAUUGAAAUUCACACAGUUAUCCUGUUAUGCUCUAGAGCUCAUAUGCAAGAUGAGGUCCCGUAUGAGGAAGUGCGCAUUUGGUCUUUCAAAUAAUUUAGUGUUAGAAUGUAAGGAAGCAAUGCUGAAUAAUGAUAUGGAUAUCUCCAAGUUAGUAGUGUAUAUGCAAAAAGUAGAGGAGCAAAAGAAGAGGCAAAUAAAGACAAAGGAGAUACAAGUUAAGAAAGCUAAGUCUACAGAUCAGGAUACCAGCCAGCAGCAGGGUGGAAUAUGGGGUAAAAUACAGUCUAAGAAAAAAAUUUAGAGCAAUUUUCAAUCUUAAGUUGGUGCCCCUACACCCAGACCAAUAGGCGACCAACGUCUGUAGUCUUAUGGUGGACAAAGGGUGCAAGGCAUCCAAUCCCAGGAAAGUGUGACUUGGGCCAUUAGAUCGCACCCCUAUUGUAAUUCAUAUGGAAAGAAUCACCCGAUGAGGUGUUAUUUUAGGAGUAAUGUGUGCUAUAAUUAUGUCUAUAGAGUCCAUGUCCAGAGAGAUUAUCCCUUGACUAGAGGAAACCUCAAAGGUCCAAACUACUUCAGCAACCCUUUCAUCUAAGGGUACUACUUUUGCUACUAGAGGUGGUCGUAAUAUCUUAUAUGCCCUAUCUACACACUAGGACUCAGAGUUUUCACUAGAUAUUGUUACGGAUAUGUUACAAAUCAUAUCUCAAGAUCUUUUUAUGUUGCUUGAUCCUGGUUCUACCCUAUCUUAUAUGACUCCUUAUAUGGCAGUAAGUUUUAGUUUUGAGCCCAAAAGUAUUUCUGAACCCUUAUCUGUGUCCACCCCUGUUGGUGACUCUUUUAUUACUAGACGAGUUUAUACAAAUUAUGUAGUGUCUAUUUUCUAUUGGGAUACUGUGGUAGACCUUGUAGAGCUAUUUAGUAGAUUUCGAUGCUAUUCUAGGGAUGGAUUGGAUCCAUUCAUGUUAUCUUAGGUUGUAGAACCAGAAGGGUCACCUUCUAUUUCCCUAAUGAGCCAAUUAUUGAAUGGGAAGGGUGUUCUCUUUCACCUAGAGGAAAGUUCAUAUCUUAUCUUAGAGACUGUAAGAUCAUAUCUAAGGGUUGCUUGAAUCAUUUUGUUUGGGUCAAAGACUCUAGUACUGGAAGUUAGUCUCUUCAAUCAAUUUCAAUAGUUAAUGGAUUCUAAAGAGUUUUUCCUGAUGAUCUCUCUUAAAUACCCCUAGAUAGGGAGAUAGAUUUUGGUAUUGACCUAUUUCCAGAUUCUCUGCCUAUUUCAAUUCUGCUAAAUAGAAUGGCUCAUGUGGAAAUGAAAGAAUUAAAAGAGUAGUUAAAAAAUCUUCUUGAUAAAGGCUCUAUUCGUCCUAGUGUCUCUCCAUGGGGUACUCCUAUACUAUUUGUGCAUACGAAAGAUGGCUUCCUCUCUCUCUCUCUAUAUAUAAUACUGCCAUUUAGAUAAAAUCACUAUCAAUAAUAAGUACCCUCUCCCCAAAAUUGAUGAUCUUUCUGACCUACUUUAGGGUGAUAAAUAUUUCUCUAAUAUUAACCUCUUUUUGGUUUAUCAUUAGUUGAACGUUAGAGGGGAUGACAUUUCCAAAAUAGCUUUCCAAACUCGGUACAGUCACUAUGAAUUCCUGGUCAUGUCCUUCGGAUUGACUGAUGCCCCUAUAGUAUUUAUGAACCUCAUGAAUAGGGUGAUUUUUAGUUUUUUUUUACCUAGUUAUUAUAGUUUUCAUUAAUGAUACUUUGAUUUACUCUAAGAGUGAGGAAGAUCAUGCUAAUCACCUCUAAAUCUUCCUUCAAACCCUUAAGGAUCACGAGUUGUAUGUCAAAUUCUUUAAGUAUGAGUUCUGGAUCAGUGUCAUAGCUUUUCUAGGGCAUAUUAUUUCUAGUGAGGGAAUUAAGGUUGGUCCCCAAACCCAUGACUCCAACUUAUAUUUGGAGCUUCUUGGGUUUGGUAGGAUAUUAUAGAAAAUUUGUAGAGAUUUUCUCAUCCAUAGCAGCUCUACUUACCAGGUUGACGCAGAAGAAGGUCAAGUUUCUGUAGUCUAAUGCUUAUAAGAAUAGUUUUGAGAGAUUGAAACAAGCUGACUACUGUUCCUAUUUUGACCCUUCUUGAGGAUUCAAAGGGUUUUGUAGUUUAUUGUGAUGCAUUACAGGUGGGACUUGGGUGUGUGUUGAUGCAGCAUGGGAAGGUGGUGGCAUAUGCAUCCAGGCAGUUAAAAGUCCAUGAGAAAAACUAUCCCACCCAUGAUUUAGAGUUGGUGGAGGUGGUUUUGCGCUCAAAAUUUGGUGUCAUUAUCUUUAUGGUGUGCAUGUUGACAUCUUUACUGAUCAUAAAAGUUUACGGUAUGUAUUCUCCUAGAAGGAGUUGAAUCUCAGGCAGAAGCGGUGGUUGGAACUGUUGAAGGAUUAUGACAUGAGCUGACACUAUCAUCUAGAUAAAUCUAAUAUGGUUGCUGAUGCUCUUAGCGGGUUGUUCAAGGGAAGUCUUUCUCAUGUUAAGGGAGGAAAGAGGGAUUUGGUCACAUAUAUUCAUCAGCUUGCUAAUUUAGGAGUUCAAAUCUUAGAAUCCGAGGAUGGAGAGUUAUCCAUUCAAGAGGUAGCUAAAUCAUCCCUAUGUGCUUAAGUUAAGGAAAAGUAGACCUAAGAUCCGACCAAAGAUCCCUUAUUGAUGAAGAUCAAGGAGGAUCUUGGUUAGCAAAAGGUUAUGGCAUUUGAAAUUGGAGGAGAUGGUAUUUGAGAUACCAAGGUAGGUUAUGUGUGCUGAAUAUGGAUAGGUUGCAAUAAAGGAUUCUUAAUGAAGAUCAUACUUCCAGUACGUGGUUCAUCUUGGCUCCACCAAGAUGUAUCAUGACGUAAAGGAGAUUUAUUGGUGGAAUAAUAUGAAAAGAGAUUUUCUAACUUUGUGGCUAAGUGUUUGCAUUGCCAACAAGUUAAGGUGGAACACUUGAGGCUAGGUGGUAUAUCCCAGGACAUAGCAUUGACUUUAUGGAAAUGGGAGAUGAUCAACAUGGACUUUGUUACUAGACUUCCGCGAUCCCGAAACCAGUACGAUUCAAUUUGGGUUAUUGUUGAUAGAUUGACCAAGUUUUCCUACUUUUUUCCUGUGAGGACCAAUUAUUCGAGAGAUGAUUAUGUAAAGCUGUACAUUUAGAAAAUAGUUCAAUUGCAUGGAGCUUCGGUAUUUAUUAUAUCCAACCAAGGUACGAAAUUCUCUUCUUAGUUUUGACGAUAUUUUUAGAAAGGUUUGGGUACCUAGGUGAACCUUAGCACUAAUUUCUAGCCUCAGACAGAUGGGCAAGCGGGAGCGUACCAUUAGACUUUAGAGGAUAUGUUAAGGGCUUGCGUGAUUGACUUUAAAGGUAGUUGGGUAGAUCACUUUCCUUUAAUAGAAUUCUCUUAUAAUAAUAGUUAUCAUUCUAGCAUCUAGAUGGCUCCUUUUGAGGUUCUCUAUAGUAGGAGGUGUUGGUCACCAAUUGGUUGGUAUGAGGUAGGUAAAACUUGGAGGUUUGGACUUGAUCUUGUUCAUCAGGUAAUGGAAAAGGUAAAGGUCAUUAGAGAAAAACUUAAGACCGCCCAAAGUGACCAAAAGUCCAACGCCAAUAUAAGAAGAAGGGAGUUAGAGUUUGAGGUUGAUGAUUGGGUGUUUCUAAAAGCCUCCCCUAUGAAGGUGGUCAUGAGAUUCGGGAAAAAAAGUAAAGCUUAGUCCUCGUUUAUAGGUCCUUAUCAGAUUAUAAGGAAGAUUGAUAGAGUUACAUAUGAAUUAGAUUUGCCUGCAAGCUUAGCUUCAAUUCACCCGGUCUUUCAUGUGUCAUUACUUAAGAAAUGUAUUAGAGAUCAUUCACUUGCGUUUCCUAUUAAGGAGACUGGUGUGAGAGAUUCCUUAUUAUACGAAGAAGUACCUACAACAAUAGUGGAUCGCCAAGUUUGAAAUUUGAGGAGCAAGGAGAAUGCUUCGAUUAAAGAGUUAUGGAGGAACCGAAAGAUAGAGGAAGAUACUUGGGAAUCCAAGGAAGACAUGAAAGCUAAAUAUCCUUCCUUAUUUUCAUCAUUAGAUGAGGUGGUUUGAGGUAUGAACCCUAUGCUUAUCCUUAAUCUACUUGAUUUCGUGUUUGAGUUCCUUUUAUGUUCAUCAUUGUAUCAUGAUAAGAAUGUCCAAAGUCUUCAUUUGGGGACGAAUGAUCCCAAGAGGGGGAUAAGUAACACCCUUAAAAUUUUGAUAUUUUAUUUUUGAUCUUACCAUGUAUGAAACAUCAAUUUUUCACCUGAUAUGUGCUUAGGGAUGUUAAAAGGGUAAUUCGGGUGAGUUUUGGAAUUUUCCAAAGAGGUUCAGGGUCAUUUUGGAGUUCCGAGGUAGUGAACCUCCAUGAUAACGCUGUGUUAUAGAGGAUAAUCUUUGCGAUAAGAAGCGUGUCACGGAGGAUAAUCUUCAUGAUAAGUAGUAUGGAAUGGAGGUUAGCCUCCGCAAUAAGCAGCAUACAACGCUGCUUUGUAAAAUUUGGGCAGUCACUUUAGGGUGUAGGGGUUUGGGUCUUUCUCCACUUUUAAACUCCUCCCCCAUGACUUUAAAUCACCUAAUAAGAGUUAUUACUCAUUGUUAAUCAGUUUUAAAUGCUCAAAACUCUCUCUCUUCUCAAGAAAAAGAGAAUUAGGGGUUCUUCCAAGGCUCAUACUUUCAAGACUAGAUUCGAAUUGUUUCGAAUUCUUGCUCAUAAGAAAGGUAUGUUAGAACUAUCCUAACAAUCAUGGGCUAAAAUUUAUGUUUCCUUCAUGAACUUCAAAGUAUGUGGUAUAUGCGUAUGUAUGAUUUUUUAGAAUUAACUUAAGAGCAUGAUUAUGGUAUUCCCUCUCAUGAUGAAAUUUACUUGUCUUAAUAUGUUAUGGGUUGUUCAAAUAUAUGAUUAAAAGCUUGAGUAAUAUGAUUUAUUAUCAAUGACGAAUUGAUAUGGUUUUGAAUUCAAGAGGGUGUUUUUCUUACUUUCUAUAUGCUCAUUCAUGUUAAACGGAAAGAUUUCAUAUAAUCUAUGCACAAGAUGGCCACCAGUUGUUAGAGUCUUGAAAAGGGAAUGUAUUUCAUGAAUUUUUCAUAUGCUAUUUUGAAUUAAGAACUCCAUGUGAUGUUUAACUCUUUUGGUGGUCAUUAAUAUAUUUUGAAUAAAAAGGCUAAGAAUAUGACAUGAUAUGGCUUGCAAGUCUAGGUAUGCUGAUACCUAUCAUGAAAUGCCCUUAACAUGAAGGAAAAGAAUGAUAUAAGCAUGAAUCAUGGUUUUAAGAGGUUAAAAUUGGGCUCAAAGAGAUCUAAAUGGUUACCCGAAGAAGACACGAGUUCAGAUAACUCAUCGCAGGAAACUAUAUUUUGCCAAUGCGAGUUUUAUGAAAUGUUAUUUGCCAAGUGAGAUAAUGCAGUAUGUCAGCAAAGAGGCAUACUUUUCAUAACAUGGUGUGUCAGCAAGGAGGCAUACUUUUUCAUGAUACUCCAAAUCCUUGCGGCAAACUUGGAUUGGGAGCUUGACGGCCGAGUUAAGGGCGGAUUUCAUAUAACCCGUAGAAUUUAAGAAAUGUAGGGUGUACCAUCUAGUGUAGAAGUAAAAUAAAGAGUGUUGUCUACAUUUGUACAAGAGUAAUUUGAAGCUACAUUAAUUAUGCCUAUGUGUUUUGAUCUCUACUAUAUUGAAUUGAUUUUCGUAAGCUCUUGAUUCUUUUAUAUGAAAUAUAUAUAUAUUGUUUUUUCUAAUUGUUCUACGUACAAAUACAUUCCAAGUCCUCAUGGCGGAUGCAUUGUCUCAUAAUAUAGGAUUUGAGGCACAGUCCCUCGGGUCCAGUUCAGCAACAAUAUAUUGUUCCAGAAGUUUAGAGUCGAUGAGCCUCCCUUACUUCGAAAGACAUUUUCUCUAUAUGAUAAUUUUAGUCAAUUUUAUAAUCCAACCAAGGACCUUGUACCGGCUUAUCCAGACAAGUAUUUCAAUAGAGGCUUCGUAGGUUGGUUUAGAUUGGAUUUGAAUGUAUUUAAAUUUGAUUUUAAGCCUUUCCACAUUUCAGUUUUAUAUUCCGCACCUUGUUCUUAUGAAUUAUUUUCAUGACAGUACGUUAUGGGGUCUCUCAGGCCUUCGUGGAUCGGGAUUCCCGUCAUGGCUAGGGCCUCAGAUCGUGACACUUAGUCAAUUUAUGCAGGCUCCUAAGAAUCCUCAUUGGGAAGUAGCUACCAGAGUGGUUAGGUAUUUGAAGAGUAUAAUUGGUCAAGGCAUCUAGCUACAGGCUACACCUACAUCUAUCUUGACUUGUUGGUGUGACUCUAACUGGGGCUGCUUGUCUAACAUCAGGAGGUCUAUCACAGGCUAUGUGAUUAAGUUUGGAGAAUUUCUAUUUUUUUUUAAAUCCAAGAAACAACACACAGUCUCUAGAAGUUCAGUUGAAGCUGAAUAUAGAAGCAUGGCUUCUGCUGCAGCAGAAAUCACUUGGCUUCUUGGUUUGUUCAUUGAGUUAGGAGUACCAAAUCAACUACCUAUUUCUCUCAUGAGUGAUAGUAAAUCACCCAUUCAGCUGGCAGCCAACCUUGUUUUUCAAGAGGGAAAUAAACAUAUAGAGAUAGAUUACCAUUUUAUAAGGCACAAAAUUAAGGUUGGAAUGCUUGAAGCUAAGUAUGUGCACACUUAACUCCAGGUUGCUGAUCUACUGACCAAAGGAUUGAGUCAAGCUCAAUAUUUGCAUCUGUUAGGAAAACUUGGUGUGCUUAAUAUCCUUUACCCUGCAACUUAAGGGGGCGUGUUGUUGAGGACUAUAUUUCAUUAUGUCAUUUUACUUCUCCAUUCAUUCAUUUUUUUUAUUAAUCCACUGCAACACUACUAAGCUGACUAGCCAGAUAAGUUUGUUUCUCAGUUAGUUAGAUGAGAUGGUUGAUUGAUAGUUAGUCUUUUAUUAGUGAAGUUUGAGUGUAUAGUGAGAUGGCACACAAAAAUUUUCUUGAACAAGUUAGUUAUUCCUACAAUUCAGUCUAUAAAAUGCCGAAUAUGCUCCUCAUUGUAAAGUCUGGAAGCAGUUAUAAAAUUCUCUCUUUUUCUUCCUCUUCUUUCUUCUAAGCUCCAUUAAUGGAGUCCUAGCUGAUUGAGAUAGUUUUCAUUAAAAACACAAUUUACAUAAUACAUUUAUAAAAUUAGUUUUUUCUUUAAUAUCUUGCCAAUACUCUAUUUAUUAGUAACUUAUUGAAUUCCAUAUUCAUUGAUUUUUAAAUCCCAUGAACCAUCGAGUUUUUGAAUGCAUGUUGCACCCGAAGCUAUUAGGCUAAGGGCAUGUCUGCCUGGGCUUCACACAUUGCGUAAAACAAAAAGAAGAUAAAUUGCAAAGACAAAUUCAACAUACUAGAAUAACAACAUACCCAGUAUAUUCCAAUAACAUGGGGUCUGAAAAAGGUAAAGUGUAUGCAGUCCGAAUCACUACCUCAGAGGUGAGAUAAAGAGGUUGUUUUUGAAAGACUACCUAUUCAAGACAAAAAUAUUUUAGAGAAAUACCGAAUAAAGGAACAAAAAAUAGUAGGUAGAAACAAACAACAUUUAACUGAUACGAAUAAAAUAUAACUUAUACUAAGGUGUUCUGAUAUGUGUCUGAUUUGUGCUUAUUAUUAACAAGAAGAAUUAAUCUUCAAAAACACACAUGAACUAUCGAUGUUUUGCAAGUUCCACAUCGCGUAACAAUCAGUUGUCCCCUUUUCCUAUCCGAGCUAUCACCAUCAGGCAGGAAAAGGGAACAACUUGUAGUUGAGGUGUGUUUUUGUUGAAAAUAUGUCUGAGAAAUAAAGUAGGAAUAAAUAUUUUUUAGUAGUUUUUAAUUAUUAGAGUCCUAUGUGACUUAGGAAUUAGUUUUCACUUUAUUAUUUGAAUAGGAAUUAGUUAUCCCAAUUUAAAUUAGAGUGUAGUUAGAAAUUUAUCUAUAAAUAUAUGUUUUGAGUUAUUAACAAAAUAAUUUCCUUUGACAAUACUAUUGCCGUAUUUUAUUUUUCUCCAACUCUUUCUCUGUUAUUUCUCCUAUUUCAAGGAUAAAAACAAUAAUUGGUAUCAGAGCCAAUUUUUUGAGGGAUCUGUGAGAAUUACCAACUUUGGGUAGUAAGAAUGGAGACUUAUCUUGAGGUUUUAGAUCUUUGGGAAGCCAUGGAGGAAGAUUAUGAUGUUGUUCCGCUGCCCGAUAAUUCCAUGGUGGCCCAGAUCAAAAGCCAAAAGGAAAAGAAAAUCAGAAAAUCAAAAGCAAAAACAACUUUGUUUGCUAGUGUUUCUCCAACAAUUUUCAAGAGAAUUAUGGCCUUUACAUCAGUAAAAGAAAUUUGGGAUUAUCUGAAGGAAGAAUAUACAGGAGAUGAAAGAAUACGAGGCAUGAAGGUCUUGAAUCUAAUAAUGGAAUUAGAAUUGCAAAUGAUGAAGGAAUCUGAGAGCAUCAAAGAGUACUCAGACCGUCUUCUUGGCAUUGUUAACAAGGUAAGAUUGCUUGGCACAAAAUUUAAAGAUUCAAGAAUUGUUGAAAAAAUUCUUGUUACAGUGCUUGAAAGAUACGAAGUAUCAAUAACUACCUUGGAAAACACAAAAGACCUGUCCAAGAUUACCUUGGCAGAAUUGUUAAUACGUUGCAGGCAUAAGAGCAAAGGAGGCUUAUGAGGCAGGAUGGUAUGGUUGAAGGAGCUUUGGAAACCAACCACAAGACUCAAAGCAAGGGUAAUACUUCAAGAAAAAAUUACUCACCUUGCCAGUACUGUGGUAAAAUAGGUCAUCUUCUGUUUAAAUGUUGGAAGAGACCACAUGCACAAUGCAAGAUUUGCAAUCAACUUGGCCAUGAAACUGUGAUUUACAAAAACAAAUCUAAAAAAUAUGAAGCAUAAUCCCAAGUCACUAGAGAAAAAGAAGAAGACCACUUAUUUGUAGCAGCAUAUUGUUCAACCAAGAAAUCUGAUUUUUGGAUGAUUGACAGUAGUUGUACAAACCACAUGACAUAUGACAAAACUCUUUUUAAAGAGUUUUUGCCUUUGAAAAAAUAGAAAAUCAGAAUUCGUCUUCUCAGCUGCCACAUGUUAGAAAUCGGACAUAAUAAGCAAACCACAAGCAAAAGUAAAAACAAGAACACACAGAUUUAAAUGAAAAUCCUUGCAGAAAAACCACGGGCAGAGGCAGAAGAAUUCACUAUAAUGGAGAGAGAGUACAAUGGUAGAGACGAUAGUCUCAAUUUCAUGUGUAUAAGAAUGAUCCAAAACAACCCACUAAAUCACACUUAUAUAAUACAUCGGUCCGAUCCCUAUGCUACCACCACGGACCCCAUUGAAAAUCACAAAACCGCAAAACUUUCAGGGCCAGAUCAACAAAAUUUGGGUCACAAGUCUAACACCACCAUUAUGUCUUGACCAUAUUCUUCAACUUUUUCCUACAAUGAUAUAUAAAAAGAAAGAAGAAAAAUCAACUUAGAUAGCCACACAUCGAACCUCUUAUACUAAAUAUAGCUUGCGGAUGUAUAAUAUGUGCAUAAUCGAUAUUUAACAUGUGUAUAACCAUGUAUAAUUUGUGUAUAUAGGCAAGGAACGAUAAACGGUGAAUCCAGCCAACUAUUUAUGUAAAGAUCCCUAAAAAGAAUGAAAACAGAUAUACACCGAUUCUACUUCUAGUGACAUACAUAGUUCAGCUAAUUUCAAUUAACAAGUGAAAGCUAUUAAUUCUGCAAUAAUGUACUGCAAUAUGAACAUAUUGCUAACAAAUUAUUUAUAAACAAAGUAGUAUUAGAAUGACUGGCCCGAAUGACAUAGAAUGGUUACAGAUUUGUCUAACUGAUCUCAACUUAAUUGUCUUAUAUCGAGGUGGUUAAUUGAUAGACUAAUACUUACCGAAGCUGAAAUCUUAUUGAAGGCUAUAAUAUCUGCCAAGGAUCGGACUCGAGUGUAGACUAACUUUUUAAGAUAUGCAUUUAGGUUCAUCUUGAAUUCAGCAGAAAGUGCUAUGCCUUGAGCAACAACAAGAGCAUCUCGGACCAAGUCGAUGUUAGGUAUUUCCAGGUUGUAAACUAAUACUGCUCCUUUUUGCCUUCAAAUAUUUCCAAGAAAAAAAUAUCCAUAUCUUGUAGUAUUAACAUAAUAAAAUCAAAAUCAAACAUGAUAGGUUCUGUGUUAGGAUUGAGAAUUCUGAAUAAUACAGAAUCAAUCAAAGUAAUCAAUUAAAGACAAUAACAUAGACGAUAAUAACGAUAAGUUGAGAAAAUAAACGAGGCACAAAUUUAAUGUGGUUCGGUCAACUUGACCUACGUCCACAACCAAAAGGAGGAGCAACUUUACUAAACACCAACGGAACAAAAGAGAGUGCAAAAGUACAAAAGAGAGUACAAAAUUAGAGUAAUUAAAUACUCUAAUAUCCCAAAUACCCAAAAGAAUAACCUUACAAAUAUCACUCCAAAAAAGAAAGAGGCUCUCUCAAAGUAUUUUCCAACACAACUCUCUCACAAAUACUCUCUACAAAGAAAAAAACAAACACAACUAAAUACUUCUCAAAUGUUGGUGUUCUUCUCUAUUGAUGUGUUCACCAAAAUGAAAGAACUUUCCUCUAUUUAUAGAGAUGAAAAUAGGCUUGCUAAUGUCAUCCAUGAUGUUAAUGGAUGAUGUAAAUUUCAACAUUUGCAUGUGAAUGGGAGAAAUUUACAACAAAAUCUUUGGUAGCAACUUUGUUUGACAAAUCCAAAAAUAAUCUUUCAAAAAAAGUCAUUGGUAGCAACUUUGUUUGACUAAUCCAAAAAUAAUCUUCCAAUAAUCUUUGGUAGCAACUUUCUUUGACAAAGCAAGUGUGAAUCAAAGAAUAAACAAAGGCCACAUUACAAAUCUCCACCUUGGCCUGAGUUUGGUUAAUAUAGUAAAUUUGCUUCACCUUCUUCACAAAGCCUCAAAGGGCUUUCAAAAUUCCAUGAUGUCAGAAUCAGAUGAGUCUCCAUCUGAAAUUGAAAUGGUAGCAACACCUGUAAUAGUAGAUCCCGACAGUGCAUACAACGUCCCAGACUUGCAUGCCUUCAUAACCACAAGACCACCUCGAGAGACUUCAAGAACUCCACCUUCACAUGUGUAUUUGCAUCCAUGAGAUUCUAGAGUGCCCAAAGAGAUGAGAUUUUUCUUCAACUUAGGAACACAUCUAACAUUUCUGAGAGUUCUUACAAUACCAUCAUGCAUUUUAAUUCGGACACAUUUUUCAAUAAUUUGGCAAGCAACACUGUUUCCUACCAAGAUAACUCCACUUUUAACAGGAUCAUAUAUAGAAAACAAGUCUUUGUUAGGACACAUAUGAAAUGAACAAGCUGAAUCUAAAAUCUACUCAUUGUUAGAACAAGAAAUAUUUUCGGUUACUAAAAAUAUUUCUCCUUCAAUCUCAUCAGGAGCAACACUUGCUUCAGCGGUGUCAGAAUCCUUGUGCUCAUUUUUCUUUAAUUUUCCCUUGUUUUGCAACUUAGGACAAUCAAACCUGAUGUGACCUUUUUUAUGACAAUAAUAACACAUUGAAUUGCUAAAAUUUGGACUUUGCAUUAGAUCUACUCCUGACAAAUAAAUCGGAUGCUUGCUUUUCACUACCUUUCCCGAUAAUAUCUCUAUCUAUCUGAUCUUUAGAUUUCAACAUAGAUUUGAUUUUUCUAUAAGAGAUAGUUUCUUUUUCAUAAAGUAUAGCAUCUCUAAAAUACUUAAAGGAAUGGGGUAGGGAACAUAUUAGUAGAACAACUUGAGCUUAUUCCUCAAUCUUGACAUCUAUAUUACUUAAAUGCAUAAGAAUGGAAUCAAAGACAUCAAGAUGUGAGAGUAUGGAAGUAUUUUCAUCCAUACAAAAUGUAUAAAGUUUUUUCUUCAAGUAAGUCUAUUCUCUACCGUUCUUUUCAUAUACAGACUUUUCAACUUUUCCCAUAUACCUUUGGUAGUGGUUUUUGAAGCUACUUCAUGUAAUACAUCAUCAGAGAGAUUUAGUAUAAAACUAGAUCUCGCCUUUUUAUCAAGGCUAUCAAACUCCUCGUCUGUCAUUUUUUCUGAAAUUUUCUCCUUUUCUUGCAGUGUGAUAUCUGAACAAUCCUAAACUAGGAUAACUUUCAUUUUCAACUGCCACAUACCAAAGUUUAAACUUCGGUCAAAUUUCUCAACAUAAAUCUUUGUAAUUGUCAUGGUGACUACUAGGACAAAAUCGAGAUUAACCUCAUUCUGAUACCAAUUUGUUAGGAUCGAGAAUCCUAAAUAGUGCAGAAUCAAUCAAAGUAAUCAAUUAAAGACAAUAACAAAGAUGAUAAUAAUGAUAAGUUGAGAAAAUAAAGGAGGCACAAAUCUAACGUGGUUCAAUCAACUUGACCUACGUCCACAACCAAAAGGUGGAGCAACUUUACUAAACACCAACGGAACAAAAGAGAGUGCGAAAGUACAAAAGAGAGUGUGAAAGUACAAAAGAGAGUACAAAAUUAGAGUAAUUAAAUACUCUAAUAUCCCAAAUACCCAAGAGAAUAAACUCACAAAUAUCACUCAAAAAAAGAGGUUCUCUCAAAGUAUUUUGCAUCACAACUCUCUCACAAAAAUACUCUCCACAAAUAAGAAAACAAACACAACUAAAUUGUUCUCAAAUGUUGGUGUUCUUCUCAAGUGGUGUGUUCAUCAAAAUGAAAAAACUCUCCCCUAUUUAUAGAGAUGAAAAUGGGCUUGUUGAUGUCAUCCACGAUGUUAAUGGAAGAUGUAAAUUUCAACAUUUGCAUGUGAAUGGGAGAAAUUUACAACAAAAUCUUUGGUAGCAACUUUGUUUGACAACUCUAAAAAUAAUCUUUCAAAAAAGUCAUUGUUAGCAACUUUGUUUGACUAAUCCAAAAAUAAUCUUCCAAUAAUAUUUGAUAGCAACUUUAUUUGAAAAAGCAAGUGUGAAUCAAAGAAUAAACAAAGGCCACAUUACAUACUGUUUGAGCCAAUUGCUGCGUCAAUGAGAUUGCAACAACACACAAAAGGUUAUGAAUAACUCUGACAAUGUGUCUGUAUAAGGCAUAAUACAUAGGUGGCAUGCACUCAAACUUGGCCUCAACUAACAAAUAAAUACUCAAAACUUUGAGAGUGCCUAGGUCUUAACUGGAAACUAAAAUUCUAACUUGUCCACACUGUGUUUUGUGGACACUAGACACUAACGUGACACAUUUGGAGGUGUUUAUCAUUUUGUAAGUUAAGAGUGUUCAACUGACACAAUAGAGAGACGAGUUGAGGUCAAGUAAGUGUUGAUAUAUGUAUUAUGCUUUCAUACAAGGUCUAGAGAGAGGACCUAUCUGCAACUAGUGAAAUCAUUAUGGCCCUCCCAUUACGCCUAUCAAGUUGAGCCUACAUGCACUGCUAUACUGGACCACCAAGCACAUAAAGUGCACGACCUAAUAAUUGCUAGAAAUGUAAGUACAAAUGAAAAGGAUUACCUACAAAUGAAAAGGAUUACCUUAAGGUGUUAAAAUGUUGUCGAUAAGUCUUGAUUUCGUUGGAAACAAAAAGGUCCUUUAAAAUACCUAGUCUUUUAACUUUAAGCCCAUCAGCCUUAAGAAAUUGCCGGUAUCCACCAUGAGGAAUGUAAGUGGAAGCCCUUUUAGUUGCUAGAAAAUCAUCUCGAUAAAAGCCAACAAUGGCAGCAAGAACCUUAACAGUAUCAGAUACUGUCCUGCAGAUUGGCCUGUUCUACAACAAAAAAGCAUUGUAUGAAAACAUUUUCGACGUCGUCUAUGUUCAUGUUUGUUACCAAGUACUUUGCAUUUUUGCUUCUCUAAUAAAGCUUACAUCGUUUAAAUUCUGGAUCUAAUACUAAAACCAAGUAUUCCUAUUUUGCAGGUGUUCAAAACUCUGGCAUUAAAUAGUUCAACAAAGAGGAAAAAGGAUACUCCAUCCAUCCAAAAAGAAUUACACAUUUCCAUAUCUAAAAUUUUACUCUAAAUUUCUCGUUUAACCUUUAAAAAGAUGUUUCUAUAGCCACAUUAAUGCUAUAAAAAAUACAAGUUUCAACUUUCAAAAGCCAACACAAAAAAUGAGUCUUCUAGCAAAGGUAACGUAUUCUUUUAAGAGGAAGAAACUUAUAACAUUGUAGCCGCUAAUGGUUAUUUUUGCCGAAUGGUCUUCCUAUGUGCUAGUUUCAAAGACUCUCUUUUGUUACACGUCUUCCUUGCUGCUUGACAUAUAGUAGGUAUCUGGUUUACUGCUUUAGGUAUCAACUCUAUGGCUUUCAAUCUAAAUAGUUUCAAUUUCAACCAAUCAACAGUUGAUAGUCAAGGCUUUUCCUUUCUUUCUUAAAGUACGUGCCGAGUCAAACUAUGUCACAGAGAUUAUUGAUUUUUACUUACGCAACAGUGUCUUACCUAUGUGAAAUUGGGAUUACACCUGCCUUGCUAGUGAGGCCAACUGUUGAUUUGAUUCCAAUAACUGAAUUAGCAUUGGCUGGACAUAGAAUGGAGCCUGCUAUUUCUGUCCCUAAUGCUACUGCUGCAAGGUUUGCCGCUACUGAUAUUGCAGAACCAGUGCUUGAUCCUGAUGGAUUAGCACUUGCUACAUAAGGAUUCUGUAAUAACAUGAGUAAAAACAGUAAAUUAUUACACGUUUUAGUCAAAUUGUUCUUAAAAAAAGGAAAGAACUUAACUAACACCAACUAUGCCUCAAAUCCCAAAUAAGUUGCGGUCGGCUAUAUGAGUCAUGAUCACUUCUCCAACUAAGCAAGAACUUAGCCAACAAUUAAGAGGGGAAACCACUAGCCUACAUAUUUUUAGGAGAGAAAGUAGAGAAAGUUAGAUUAUGUGAGGCGGAUUAGUUUAUGACCCGUUAUUUUGCUCAUCAUGACCUGUUUGAGUGGCUCCAAUUUGACCCAACCUGCACAUUUACCACCCAUGACGAAUCAAAACUAUAUCUAUUAGUAAUAACAUAUGACUCACCAGAGCUUGUCCAAGUCUUCCAUUCCAACCAUGAGGCAUCUUUGAAGAUCUAGAACCAGCCCACUCAGUCAUAGUUGCCUUGCCAAGUAUGAUACACCAGCAUUCCUCAACUUCUUGACCAUACCAGCAUCUUGAGGCACAAUAGAUCCAACAAUUGCUAAUGAUCCUGCUGUUGUGUUAAGUUUAUCUUUUGUUGCAAUCUUGUCCUUGACAAGAAAUGGAUUAUCUUUCUGGAUUUCACUUAGAUACAACUCAACAAGUUGUCUUGAGGUAAGUUUGUUUUACUUGAAAGCUAUGUGAAUGUCAUCUAUAGUUGAUUCCUUAAAUGAGAAUGUUUUUGCCUCAGUAAUGUUACUGUAGUUGGAUAAUAACAUGCACAGAGAAAUGAAGGGAGUGGAAAGAACAAACAUUUUUGUUUGUCAAAGUGAUUGAAGAUAUUUACUUCAAAAUUAGUCACAUAAAAGUAGAUAGUGUGGGGUCCUUCCCUAUAAAUACAUAGAAAAAUUGAUGGCAUUUUGGGUGUGUUCCCAAAGGCUCACACUAGGCCGCUUCCCAGCCUACCCGGGGCAGCUGAUACAAGAGAGACCAAGAAAGACACAAAAACCACACACCAAAACAGUUCGCUAGUCAAGAAACCGUGGACCUCUUUGAUGACCACACUCGGAUUCAAGAACAACGACAAGAACACAAGAAAAUAAGGUGUUUAACACCUAUUGGCAACCAACAAUCCCAAACUAUAUUAGCAAUAAUAAGAUGAAGAACAACAACAUUAUAACAACAAGAAUAAUACGGGUUACAAUACAAGACACUACCAAUAGUUACAAAAAAAUAAAGAUAGAAAGAUAGACAAAUGGAUGGUAUAAUCCUAAGAACCCAAGAGCUUAUUCCACUCUUGAACCCUUAACACUACACAAAACUAUCAUCUAUCUCUUCCAAUUGACACAAGAGAGGUGUACACCACCCAAGCACCAACGUAUCAAGAAAAAUGCAACACACAAAUGAUUCCACACUUUUGCAAUGCCCUAGUUUCGGUUGGACUCUCUCUCACUCUAAGAGAAGUGUUCUUUCAAUAAUAAUAAUCAACUAAAGAACUAGAAACCCUAUAAUGUUCUAUUUAUAUUACAUUACAAAAUAAGAGACAAAAGACUAAAGAGCCCUUUCAUUAAUGGGCUCCAAAUCGCCCAUUGAGUGCGCUUUAGGGGCGGUUUUGGGCCUUCUUCACACUUGGGCUUGUGCACCAUUUUAGGUGAUCUUCAAAAUACUCAAAUAGUGUCCAAGUUCAUGAUCGUACUCGUAUCAUCCUCUCCAUCUUGAGAAGAAUUUUCCCACAAAUUCACGACCUCGCCUUUUUUAUAAUGGCACUUCAUAAUCUCCUUCACACGGCCACACAUUUUCUAGAUCUUCCUCGCUUCGCAUUUUAAACUUUUAUUGCUCUCCAUCUUGAGGCUUGCCAUCAACCUUAUCCGUUUUAAUUACUACUUCUUCCCUAAGAUAGUAUAAUUUUCCCUCCCUUAGGAUCACGUUCCGCCGGUUUGGGCACUCACUAGCCUUGUGCCACCACCCUUGUCAUUUGAAGCAUUAAAAUCCCUUGAAAUUAGAAGUGGAAAUUGGUUUACCUUCAUACCUAGUGUAUUGUUUUGAGGCAGCCUUGGUGCUCUCGGUUUGGACAACCAUGAAUGAGCUCUCUUUGAGCUCCCUUUCAACCUCCAAUGCUUUUUGAAAUAUGCCAUCAAUGGUGUUGAACUUAUGAAGUGUCAUGCGAGUGUAGAUGUCCUUGUUCAACCCUAAUUUGAAGCGCACGAUGUCAUGACUCACUUGUUCUCCCCGAUGAUCUAGUUUCAACAUUAAUUGUUAAAAUUCAUCAUAGUAAGCCAUGACACUCUUGCUCCCUUGCCUCAAAUUGUACAAUUUGUCAAGGAGCUCAUGUCUAUAAGUCUCGGGCAAGUAUCUUUGCUACAUAAGGUUCUUCAACUGAAACCAAGGAGGAGGUUUUCCCCCAAUCAUCUCAUUCCUAAACCGUUUAACAUACUCCCACCAUGUAUUAGCAUAUCCUUCGAAGUGAGCUAUAGCAUAACAACUUUUCUUUUCUUUGGUGAGAUCAUUAAGUUGGAAGAUCUUGUCAUAAGACAACUCCCAUGCAAGGUAGGAUUCAGGAUCACUCUCACCUUUGAAAAUGAGAAGGCUCACUUUAAUGGAAUUGAGACCUACAUCUCAGUUUAGAUGGCCAUCUCUCACCUCUCGGCCUAACUCCCCAAGUCUACCUCUUAUUCUUUCUUCCUUAAGUAAACAUCAUCAUACGGCCUUAACCAUUAUGUUGUCCUCCCCUAUCAUAGCCCUCAACAUGGAUGGGUUUAUUUGGGUUAAUGGAGCUUGUAGUGGUGGGAUUGUAUUUAGAUAGUGAGGUCUUUGGUUAAGUGGAGUUUGGAUGAGAGGGUUCGGGUUUAGUGGUGGUAUUUGGGUUCCAAGCCCUUCUUGUUGGACUUGGUAAAGUGGAGGAUGGUUUGGUCUAUCUUAUUCUCGGCUUCAGGAGUUAAGAUUGGUUGGAUUUGUGGAAAUUGGUGGAUAUAACAUUUGGUGCAAGGUCUCGGGAGUAUUAGUUGGGAAAUUAUUUUGAGGGGUAGAAGGUCGACUCAUUUGGCUUUCCACAUAUUCUAAUCUCCCACUCUUUGAUUCGAAAUCCAUAUCUAAUUUUUCAGGACCCAUAUUCAACCUAGCCACAUCCUGGAACAUAGUUUCCAGGCAAGGUAAAAUGAGAUUGAUGGCAUUAUUGUCCACUAUUUUAGCAUUUAAAGCCUCGGGUUCCAUUGUGGUUGUACCAAAAAUAACCCUUCAAGUUAUGAUCCAACAAGACACCCAAUCAGUUCCCAACAUCACACACAACAAUACAAUACAAAUCCUACAAAACAAAACACACGUUAGUUCAAAACAACCUCCCACAAUGAGAUCCCACCUUCAAGUUUCUUCAAACUCAAGUUCAACAAUGGUGGAUGACUCAAAUCUCAAAUUCAAACCCUAUACUCCUAUAGUGUUAGAGAACACAAAUCUAAAACUAAAAAUACAAUAAAAACAUAAAAUCAAAAACUCAAAAUUUGACCUAGGGUCAAAAAUGGGUUUAGUAUUUUUUUUAAGGAGAUUUUCGAUUUUAACACUUUUUUUGGUUGGGAUUUUCAAUUUCUAGACUCUAAUAGUGUUAGGGAAUAAGGAUAUAGAACUACAAACACACAAAACACACAAAAAUCAAGUUUUUUGAAAGACCCUAAAAACAUGAACAAUAACUUUUUUCUUUUUUAUUCUUUUUCACUUUUUUUUUUACUUUCAAGAUAACAAUCCCAAAAUUGAUUUUGUUGGAACAAAAUUAAACCUUGAUUUGAUACCAAAUGAUACAAGAGAUACCAAUAAAGAUACAAAAACCACACACCAAAAUAGUCCACUAGUCAAGAAACCAUGGACCUCUUUGAUGACCACACUCGGAUUCAAGAACAACAACAAGAACACAAGAGAAUAAGGUGUUUAACACCUAUUGGCAGCCAACAAUCCCAAACUAUAUUAACAAUAAUAGGAUGAAGAACAACAACAUUAUAGCAACAAGAACAAUAACGGUUACAAUACAAGACACUACCAACAGUUACACAAAAUAAAGAUAGAAAGAUAGACAAAUGGAUGGUACAAUCCUAAGAACCCAAGAGCUUAUUCCACUCUUGAACCCUUAACACUACACACAACUAUCAUCUAUCUCUUACAAUUGACACAAGAGAGGCAUCCACCACCCAAGAACCAACGUAUCAAGCAAAAUACAACACACAAAUGAUUCCACACUUGUGCAAUGCCCUAGUUUCAGUUGGACUCUCUCUCACUCUAAGAGAAGUGUUCUUUCAAUAAUAAUAAUAAUCAACUAAAGAACUAGAAAUCCUAUAAUAUUCUAUUUAUAUUACAUUAUAAAAUAAGAGAUAAAAGACUAAAGGGUCCUUUCAUUAAUGGGCUCCAAACCACCGAUUGAGUGCACUUUAGGGGCGGGUUUGAUCCUUCUUCACACUUGGGCUUGUGUACCCUUUUAGAUGAUCUUCAAAAUACUCAAAAAGUGUCCAAGGUCAUGAUCGUACUCGUAUCAGCAGCCCAGUUAAUUUUUGGCCAAUAUCACGUCCGGUCCCCGAGCCCACCCCAAAAGCAGUGGGUUAUAGAUAGACAAUAUCAGUCAGCCACAGACCCCCAGUUACUGAUCUAAUCCUCCACGAAAAGUAAGAAAAUCUGCAUAAGAAAAUAUUUUCCUAGUUUUUACUUGUUUUCUUAUGUUUGGUUGGUGGAUGGAAAAUAUUUUCUAUUGUUUGGUUGGUGAAUGAAAUAUUUUUCAGAAAAUACAUUUUAGUGUUUUGGAAAAGAGUAAAAAUAUAUUUUAGAAAAAUAAUUUUUGACCCUAAAAUUACUUUUUUUAGGGUGUGUUCAAUAUGAAGGAGGAAAAAUAUUUUCUAGAAAAAUAAGUUAUUUUUUACGUAUAUUCUUGUGUUCGUUAUGCAAAUUGGGUAAGUAUAUAUUUUCUAAAAGUAUUUGUAUAUAUUUAAAAAAAAUAAUGAGAAUGAAUAAGAUAAGAAGGGUGGGAUAAAAAAAAGUUUUGGAUUUUUUUUUUAAAAAAACAAAUUUAAAAAGUUUUUUUUUUUGGGGAAGAGGAUUGGUAGGUAGGGGUUGAGAUUGUCAAAAUAGACAGUAAGGGUGGGAUAAGAAAGAAAUUUUAAUUUUCUUUUAAAUAAAUAAUUUUUUUAGGGAGGGAGGNNNNNNNNNNNNNNNNNNNNNNNNNNNNNNNNNNNNNNNNNNNNNNNNNNNNNNNNNNNNNNNNNNNNNNNNNNNNNNNNNNNNNNNNNNNNNNNNNNNNNNNNNNNNNNNNNNNNNNNNNNNNNNNNNNNNNNNNNNNNNNNNNNNNNNNNNNNNNNNNNNNNNNNNNNNNNNNNNNNNNNNNNNNNNNNNNNNNNNNNNNNNNNNNNNNNNNNNNNNNNNNNNNNNNNNNNNNNNNNNNNNNNNNNNNNNNNNNNNNNNNNNNNNNNNNNNNNNNNNNNNNNNNNNNNAGUUAAGAAAAAAAUUGAAUUUUUUUUAAUAGGGGUGGUAGGGGGUGGGCUGGGGGUAGGGGAUUUGGGGCCGGAGUAGGGGUGGAUGAUUUUGAGGAUUGUAUGAAUAUUUUAACUUAAGAGUGGGGUUGAAAGAGAGUUUUAGAAAAUAUUUUCCUUACUUUUUGAAGGGAAGUCAUUUUUCUUAGAUUUGAGAAAAAUAAGUUGAUUUGGAAAAUAUUUUCCAAAACCUUUAAGCCAACCAAUUAUGAGAAAAUUGAAAAACGUCUUCCAGAAAAUGUUUUCCUUCAUACCAAACAUGCCUUUCAUUAUAUAGGAAAGCGAAAAUAGUCUAUUACCCCCACUUGUAGUCGAAAUCUCCAUUACACACUCAACCUUCACGGGAGUCCCAUUACCGCCCCCCUCCCCCAAAUAUUUUUUUAAUUAUAUUUAGUAACCCCCAAUUGCUAACCUAUCAUGGGAAGUGAGAACACCCCAGUAGGCACGUCAAUUGAAGCAUUAACACUUCAAAAUCAUUAUUUUAAGUGCCGUAUUUAUAAUAUAAGUUAUUAAUUUUAAUUAUUAAAUAAUAUUGUUUUCUCUAACUAAUAAAAGCCCCAACAGUAAUCCUUCAUCUCCAAACGCCAUCUUCCUCAUGAAAACUUUCAUCUCCUCCAUUUUUUUUUGAUUUCUCUCAAAAGAACUUAGAGUUUAGUUGUUAUCCCAAUUUCUUGUUCAACUCUUGAAUUUGUGAUUUGUAAUCUUAUCCAACUUUAAUUUAGGGUUCGUAAUUUGUUGAUUGAUUUUGUCGGAAUUCUUCAAAUGACAAAUGCGGAAUUGGAUAAGCUUUGUAUGGAUGAAUCAGACCCAAUGCUCAAUGUUGUAGUGAGAUGCAAACAUGAAAUUUUGCUGACCUUGCAAACUUCAUGGUCGAAAUCAAAUCCGGGAAGAAGAUUUUGGUCUUGCCCCUACUAUGGUGUAUGUAUUUAUUUUCAUUGCAUUUUGCUUCACUUUAGAUUCAAUUGAUGCCAAUGUACUGAUUUUUUAUUUUUUUAUAGGAUCAAAAUUAUAAUUUUUUUCUAUGGAGGGAUAAAGAAAAAGUAGAUCCAAGAUCAAGUUUUAUCCUCCCAAGAUUAGUGAACAAAAUCAAAGAGUUGGAACAAGAAGUGUGGCUUAAACAGGUCCAAAUUGACAAGUUGACUUUAAAGAGGAGGCUCAAUGAAAGAGAAAAAUGGUGUAAGUUCAAUAAGAAAAUACUUUUUGUAUUUUGAUUUGUGUUGCUGCCAUGUUCAUCGGCAAUAAAUCUGUUGAAAGUAGUUAAUUGAUUGUUUAUGGUGUAAAUUUUGUAUGUGUAUAUCGGAUUAUGGUGUGUUAUAGUGUUUUAGUUAAUUGUUCAAUUGUGUCUUGUGUAAUUCAAUUGUGUCUUCGUUAAAUCGUUUACUCUGACAUCUUGUUAUUACAAUAUUGUGUCAACACAACUAUAUAACCAACAUCCCCCACCAUUUUUUAAAUACAACUGUUGUGACAACAAACUUUACAACACCACAACACCAUCAUUUGAACAUAACAAAAUGUGAUAAUUCAUUACAACUUCAAUACCUAACAUAAGGAAAAAUUUCAUCAAUAAACUGUUUUCACUAACUAAAAAAACACAACAUUCAUAAUGCCUAACAUAAGGCAACAUUCAUCAACCUAAGUCACAGUCAUAAUGCCUAAUAUAAGGGAACAUUCAAUAGUAGGCAAAAUAAAAAAUAGCAACCCGUAAGUAGUUCACCAUCACCAUUCUCAAAUACAAAAUAAUGUCAACUGGACUAACUUAAAAUAGUGCUUACAAUAAUCAACAUCAUUACAAUUUUCAUGGCAUCUUUGACUUUGCAGAGGUGCUGUUUGGACUUGGAUUAUUUGAAUUGCUUCCCACUGUCUGCUUUCUUUUCUCCUUCUUAAGCUCUUGUAGUUUUUUUUUGUUGAUAUUUCUUCUUUGCUAUUUCAUUUUAGCUUACUGGUAGUACUUGGUGUAUAACUAAUGUUACCAGUUACAUCAGUUGGUCUUGUCACCUUUGCUUGACCAGUAGAGUAGAUCUUACUGCUAGGCAUGUCAGACUGCAAUGAAGGAUAAAAAUAUUUAUUUCUCAUAUAUUAAAGACUCAUAAUUUAUAAGAUUAAUAAUUUACAUAAGAUAUAAAAAAGUAAGAGACUUACAUUUAAGACUUUGAAGUCAUUUUCAGCUUGAAACACACCCAUUCUCAUUACUCUUGACCUUUUCAAUGGAGUUGUGUUUUCUCUAUCACUACUCAUUACUCUUUUAGUAGUACCAACUAUUUAAGAUGAUGCACAAUAAUCAUAAGGUGCAAAACAGGAUGCUGGAAAAAUAAUAGGUGCAGAAGGUGCUUUAGGUAGAGGAGGUGUAGUAGGUGCUACUGAUGUUGUCUUUUUUGGUCUCUUUCUUCCUUUUUUUCUUUGGGAGGUGCACUAAUGAAUUCUGAUGGAGUUUUCUAUACAUAUAAAAAGAAGAGAGUUAUAAAAAUUAUUGAGCUAAUUAGUACUAAAUUCAAGUGUAAUAUUACCUUUGGUCUACCUCUUUUCCUGCCUUAACUAACACCUUUUCCUUGAGGAGGUGCAUUUGGUGUUUUUAGUGGAGUUUUAUACAUAUAAAACAAAUGUUAAAAAUUUUGAAAAGUAAUAAAAUAAUAUACUAAAGUAAGUUUAAAUAUUACCUUUGGUCUGCCUCUCUCCUUGCUUGAACUAGUAGGUGUUGUUGCUAAUGGUGCACUUGGUUCUGCUGAUUGUGCACUUUGAGCGCACCCUCUUUGGUUGUGGCCUCUAUAUUGACAUAAAUUACAUGUCAUUGAUAGUCCAGUUCUAGACAAUUUUCCUGAUUUCUUUAUUUCUCCAGCUUCCUUCCUCCUAGCCUUAGAUAGCCUGCCAGACAAGGUUGUGAUUUUAGGUGGUGCAACAGUAAUGUUUGAUGAAACCGGCCACAUUUCUAUGUUUGUUAAUGGUUCAAGAACAUUGUCAUAAGUCAUAAGUAUGUUUCCUUACUGUAGCAGCUGUUAAUAUAGUCAUACAAAUGGUACUUCUUAAACAACAAUGCAGCAACAACAUGUGCACAUGGUAUUCCCUUUAAUUGCCACUCCCUACAAAUACAAGUCCUCUUAACAAUAUCCACUUUGUGUUGACAAAGCCCUUCUUUCACUUUAAAACCAACCAGUCCAUUAAACUCAAUAGUAUAAUCUAUAGACCUGUUAAUGUUCUCCUCUAAAAUCUUCAAACGCAUUGGAAAGUAAUUACUACACCAAAUACUUGGAAACUCUCUUAGAGUGCCUAUUCUUGUCAUCAUCUUUACUCUGAUUUUUCAAGCAUGGUAAUGAUGGUCUUGUGCUUCGCUGCCAAGAUCCAUGCAUUAAAACACUCACUCAUGUUGUUAUUCUCAAAAUCACACUUGACUUCAGUUUUGAAGUAAAGCUUGUACCAGUAGUUAAUGUUGUAGUACAUUAACUCAUCUAUCAUUUUUUCGAGACCAAGAAACUUCAUCUUCUAUAUGUUAUUCCUCAGUUGAGACUCAAAUAUACUUUUGUCUAUCUUCCAAAACUGUUGUCUUCUUUGAAGACCUCUCCAGUCCUUAGCCCAAUUAGCUAAGAUAUGUCUUGCACAUCUUCUAUGUUCAGAUUGAGGUAACACCUCCUUAAUUGCUACAAACAGUCCCUACGGUACACAUAUAUACCAAAAAAAAGUGAAAUUAGGACAUGAUUAUAUAUACUAAGUUAAACUAAAAAUAAGUUUACAUGUCCCUAAACUUAACCCUAUGAAAUAUAUAUCUUCUAAACAUAUUACAACCCUAUUUUCAUCUCAAAGAUCAUCAUCCAAGAGAACUAAAGAAGAAAAACAACUAGGGUUGCAUAAUUAAGCUUGAAGAUCCGAUUUCAAGGAAAUUCUUCCGUCAAUCAUCAAGAAUCUUCCUUCUAAGGUAUGCGUAGUGUUCAUCCACAGAUUCCUUUCGUUCGUGGAGUUCAAUAAUCAAUAUUUAAAAUACAAAAGCUUGGUUGAUUGUGGUGAUAUGAUCAUACCCAUGUUGAUGCUUGUUUGUUUUCCUCUUUUUCAUUAUAAAGUAUGAUUUCUAUAUUGUUAGGUGUUGAUGAUCAUGUUGUUGAUAUUGGGUGAUUCCCAAGAUGGAAUCUUUAUAUGUUUUUGUGAAUACAUGAUAUCAUAUGAGUUGGAAACAUGUAAAAUUGGAUUGUUCAUGAUUUAUAAUUUGAUGAAUUCACCUAUGCUUAAGAUGUGCAUGUAAGGUGUUUGAUAAAAUGCCUAAGGAACUAGAAAUCAUGCAAUAUAGCUAAAUUAUGACUAAGUGAAGGAUUCAUGAUAUGCCCUUACGUUCCAAUGACUUCUAUGNNNNNNNNNNNNNNNNNNNNNNNNNNNNNNNNNNNNNNNNNNNNNNNNNNNNNNNNNNNNNNNNNNNNNNNNNNNNNNNNNNNNNNNNNNNNNNNNNNNNNNNNNNNNNNNNNNNNNNNNNNNNNNNNNNNNNNNNNNNNNNNNNNNNNNNNNNNNNNNNNNNNNNNNNNNNNNNNNNNNNNNNNNNNNNNNNNNNNNNNNNNNNNNNNNNNNNNNNNNNNNNNNNNNNNNNNNNNNNNNNNNNNNNNNNNNNNNNNNNNNNNNNNNNNNNNNNNNNNNNNNNNNNNNNNNNNNNNNNNNNNNNNNNNNNNNNNNNNNNNNNNNNNNNNNNNNNNNNNNNNNNNNNNNNNNNNNNNNNNNNNNNNNNNNNNNNNNNNNNNNNNNNNNNNNNNNNNNNNNNNNNNNNNNNNNNNNNNNNNNNNNNNNNNNNNNNNNNNNNNNNNNNNNNNNNNNNNNNNNNNNNNNNNNNNNNNNNNNNNNNNNNNNNNNNNNNNNNNNNNNNNNNNNNNNNNNNNNNNNNNNNNNNNNNNNNNNNNNNNNNNNNNNNNNNNNNNNNNNNNNNNNNNNNNNNNNNNNNNNNNNNNNNNNNNNNNNNNNNNNNNNNNNNNNNNNNNNNNNNNNNNNNNNNNNNNNNNNNNNNNNNNNNNNNNNNNNNNNNNNNNNNNNNNNNNNNNNNNNNNNNNNNNNNNNNNNNNNNNNNNNNNNNNNNNNNNNNNNNNNNNNNNNNNNNNNNNNNNNNNNNNNNNNNNNNNNNNNNNNNNNNNNNNNNNNNNNNNNNNNNNNNNNNNNNNNNNNNNNNNNNNNNNNNNNNNNNNNNNNNNNNNNNNNNNNNNNNNNNNNNNNNNNNNNNNNNNNNNNNNNNNNNNNNNNNNNNNNNNNNNNNNNNNNNNNNNNNNNNNNNNNNNNNNNNNNNNNNNNNNNNNNNNNNNNNNNNNNNNNNNNNNNNNNNNNNNNNNNNNNNNNNNNNNNNNNNNNNNNNNNNNNNNNNNNNNNNNNNNNNNNNNNNNNNNNNNNNNNNNNNNNNNNNNNNNNNNNNNNNNNNNNNNNNNNNNNNNNNNNNNNNNNNNNNNNNNNNNNNNNNNNNNNNNNNNNNNNNNNNNNNNNNNNNNNNNNNNNNNNNNNNNNNNNNNNNNNNNNNNNNNNNNNNNNNNNNNNNNNNNNNNNNNNNNNNNNNNNNNNNNNNNNNNNNNNNNNNNNNNNNNNNNNNNNNNNNNNNNNNNNNNNNNNNNNNNNNNNNNNNNNNNNNNNNNAAACCCUUUAUGUUCAGCCUACCUUCCUUGUAUACUCAGUACUCCAGUUGUACUGACGCAUUUGCGCUAUGGUGCUUUCUUUUCAUGUUACACUAUAGGUUCCUAGACACGAGCUCCAGCCCAGCAGUAGCGGUAGCAUUCCAGUCGCAGAGACACAGUGAGUCCUUAUUGAUUCAAGGACAAUAUGUUUUGAUUUGUUUAAUUAUUCUUCAGUUUAGUUUUAUGGAGUUAGUUGGAGACAUGUUCCUUCAACUCCUUAUUCAGACAGUUUAGAGGCUUUUGGAUUUACUUUCAGAUUUACGUUUAGAUUGAGUUGUUUUGGGUAUUUUCACCCACAUGGUUUUAUUCAGUUGAACCUUAUGGCCUUACAGUUCCAUGUAUUCCGCACUAUUAUAUCAUGAUUUGUAGUAUACAGGUACAAAUAUCAGUCAUGGAUUAGCUUGUGGUCCCUCGGAGUCAUGAGCAUCGUGUAGCAUUUCGGUUCAUCAAAUUGGGGUGUUACACAAUACUAGGUGCAGUAGCACUUAGUGCAGCAACACUUGGUGCAGCAGCCCUAGGUGCAACAAUACUUGAUGCAGCAAUACUUGAUGUAGCAACACUAUCUGUAGUAGUGAAAAGAGGUGUGGUAUUGAAAGGAGAUAUGGUUAGAAAAGAAGAAACAAGGUCCUCCAGAUUUAAAUGGUCCUCACCGACCCUAAAUUUAGGCCUAGUAUUGAAAGAUGGACCAGAUUCCUCCAUAUUCCCAUGACUAACAUUUUCUAAUAACAUGGGGUCCAAAAUUGGAUCAUCAACUAAAUGGUUGACAAAUACCUCCACUUCAUCCUCAUCUUCCGAGGAACACAACAUGUCUAAAAUAUCCAUAUCAUCAUCAACAUCUACCAAAAUGCCACUGUUAGGUGGUUUAAUACUAAAGGUACAAUUUGUGCUACAUCCCAAUUUUCUAAUAUAGUUUCUCAACUCAAAAUAUGACACCUUAUCUACAUCAACAUCUAAAAAUUCUGUAAUUUGUCUACCAUUUUAAACCGGUUCCCUGCUACUUAAAUCUAAUAACCCACCAAGGUACCAUCUUAGAAUAAUCAAAGUAAAACCAUUCAUGUCUUACCUGAUAACAAUAAAGAAUCAAAUAAGACAUAGUAGCAUCGUAGAAAUAUUAUCAAAAAGAAAAAAAUUGAUUUCAUGAAAAAUAGUUGUAAUAUGGUACAAAUUGAAUACCUAUACAACAAAAUAUUAACAUGAACAUGCUAUUACACAUAAUUGAUUUCUUAAAUUUUUAGAUUAACAGUAAAUCGUAGAAAAACUCUAAUUUUAAUCACCCGACUUAAACAAUCAACAAAAAUCCUUAUUAGACGUAAUAUGGUGUUAAUUCAACACUUAAACAACAUAAUAGCAAGACACACAACUUAAUUUCUCUCAAUUAAUUUCUUAAUUUUGGGGGUUAGCAGUAAACCCUAAUUAACAUUAAACUAGUUUAGGAAAAAAACACUCACCUUAACAAAAUAGAAACAUGCACAUGCUAUUACACACAAUUGAUUUCUUUAUUUUUCAAAUUAACGAUAAAUCCUAUAAAAGCCCUAAUUUUUAAUCACCCGACUUUAACAAUCAACAAAAAUUCUAACUAGAUGUAAUUACAAACGUAAUAUGCUAUUAAUCAGACAUUUAGACGACAUAAUAGGAAAACGCACAAUUUAAUUUAACUCAAUUAAUUUCUUAAUUUUGGGGUUAGCAAUAAAUCCUAAUUAACUUUAAAUUAGUUUAGGGAAAAAAACUUACCUUACUAAAUUAAAACAACAACAAGAUGAUUUAUCUUUGAAAAUCCACAACCAGAAGAUUAGAUUACCACAAAAAAGGAGGAAAUCAUGAAGUGAGGAGAGAGGAGAGAGGAGAGAGGAGAGAGGAAGAUGAAAAGAUUCUUUCAAAAGGUUUUUUUUUUUUAGAAAAUGGCCUAUUUCAUUUAGGAGGGAACUGAAAAAGUAGAAAUGGGCCCAAGCGUGUGUAAUACACGGAUGUCUUAUUGGUUAGUUUAUAUUAACAGGUCAGCAAUUGAGGGGGUACUAAAUACAGUAAAAAAAUAUUUAGGAGGUAAUGAGACUCUCGUGAAAGUUGAGUGUGUAGUUGAAUUUUUCGACUAAAGGUUGGGGGGGAGGGGUAAUAGACCAUUUUCUCUAUAAGAAAAAACGAUUUCUUCCCUAUGGCUAAUCUUUCAAACUUUUGGCAGAGAGCAAAUCAGUAAAUUAUAUCUGUAGUUGUAAAUGUUGACAUUGCGACUUUUAGUUAUGUAAGCAAUGACUUACGCAUGGUCUUUUUUUCUCUAUAAAUUAAGAACUUCAGCUCAUUUGAAAGACAAAUUAAAAUAAAGAGAAAAAUAACAUAGAGAGAGCACUAAGGUAUUCCACAGACUGUGAUAAAAAAUACUCUGUGACAAAAAAAUUAGAGUGAGUGAUAUUUUAGUAAGGUAGGAGUCAAAAGAGGGUUAUCUCUUUUAUAGUAGUCCUUCGAGUAUUGUACUUGUGACUAUGGAGUAAAAAUUCCUUACUAUAGUAAUAUCAGUUGCUCCUCUUGGACUUUAUUUUCUUUUCUUAUUUAAAAGGAUUUUCACAUAAAAUUUUUGGUCCUAUUAUUUUGCCACAAAUACUUUGUUGUUAUUUUGUGUUUUACCCAACAAACUAGUAUCAUAGCCCACGGUUUGUAAUAUCUGUAUUUUUGGUAAACAAUGAAAGCCAACACAAAAUUUUCAUACCAUUUAUAAGUAAAAAAUAGAAGAUCUUCUCUACAUCAAGAAUUUUCAUCAACCAGUCUUUGACACCACAAAAUUUGAAAAUAAAACCCACGAAGAAUGGAACUUGUUGCAUAGACAAGUUUGCGAAUUUAUUAGACAGAAGGUUGACAAUAAUGUGUUGAACUAUAUUUCUGGGUAGACACAUGCUCGAUCCCUAUGAGAGAAUCUUGAAAGUUUAUAUGCUCGAAAGACUGAAAAUAAUAAGAUGUUCUUGAUAAAACAAAUGUUAGAGUUAAAAUAUUAUGAUGGUUCUCUGAUGACAGAUUACCUGAAUAACUUUCAGGGAAUCAUGAUCUAGUUAAUUUAUUUAGGAAUUAAGUUUGAUGAAGAAAUUCAAGUCUUAGUUCUACUUGGUUCCCUACCAGACUCUUGAAAAACAUUUAGAACUUCAUUGUCAAAUUUUGCUUCUAAUGACAUGAUCUCUAUAGAUUUUGCCAAGAGCAACAUUCUUAAUAAAGAGAUGAGACAAAAGUCUCAAGGUUACUCUUCAUCCGAUGUCUUGGUGACUGGCACUAGGGGAGAAGAAGGAAUCGUAGUUCUCAAAAUAGAGAACAUUAUAGAAUCAAAUCUAGAGGCAAAAUUAAAGAUAUUGAGUGUUAUUAUUGUAGGUUUAAAGAGCUCAUAAAGAAAUUUUGUCGAAAGUUGAAAAUUGCAUAGCCAUCGUCACCAUUGAAGAUCUUGCUACUUUCCUUGAUGCAAAUCUAAUAAACAUUGCUUGUGAUGAGUCAAAUUGGGGUGUGGAUUCUAGUGCCACAUCUCAUGUGACAUCAAGGAAGAAUUUUUUUCUCAUCUUAUACUCCAGGUGACUUUGAAACUUUGAGUGUGGGCAAUGAGACUAUUUUUAAAGUGGUUGGUAUUGGUAAAAUUUAUUAGGAACUAAUACUGGAUCUAAACUAGUUUUAAAUAAUAUAAAGCAUGCACCUGAUGUUUGUCUGCACUUGAUUUCUGUUGGUAUGAUGGAUGAUGAGCUAUUUGAUAGUACCAAUGGUGGUGGAAAAUAAAAACUCAUCAAGGGUUCUUUGAUUAUGGCUCGUGGAGACAAGCAUUGUGGUUUAUAUUGGACUACAUCUUUUACUUGUGCUAAUAUGGUGAAUGUAGUUAAAAGAAAGCGCUAGCUCUUUAACAUUAUGUCAUAAGAGGCUUAGCCACAUUAGUAAGAAAGGACUUAAUGUUAUUGCUAAGAAGAAAUUACUAUAAGAUUUCGAAAGUGCUAAAUUACAAAGUUGUGAGCAGUGCUUGACUGGAAAAAAAAAUAAAUUUUCAUAUCUAUGUGGUCCAGUAAAGACAAGGACUUUGGAUGGUGCACUUUACUUUAUCACUUUUAUUGAUAAUUGCUCAAGAAAACUUUGGGUCUAGUUCUUAAAGACUAAAGACCAAGUGUUGGGUGUCUUUAAGCAGUUUCAGGCUUCCGUUGAAAGAGAAAAGGGAAGAAAGCUGAAGUAUAUUCACACUGAUAAUGAAGACUCUUCCAAAGACUCCCCAACUUAAUGGUUUGGCGAAAAAUAUGAACAGUACCUUGAUGGAAAGAGUCAGAUGUUUGUUUUUUGAAGCAAAGUUGUCAAACUCCUUUUGGGGUGAGGCUUUAUUGACCACUGCACAUGUUAUUAGCCUAUCUCAUGUUGUUGCUUUGCAAAGUGAUGUACUAUAUAAAGUUUGGUAUAUAAAAGAUAUUUUUGAUGACCAUUUAAGAGUUUUGGUUGCAAAGUUCUUGUACAUGUGCCCAAAAAUGAGAGGGGAAAGUUAGAUGCCAAGACAAGGUAGUGCAUCUUCAUUGGCUAUGAACCUAAUGAGUUUGGUUACAGUCUAUAUGAUCAGUUGAGAAGAAGCUUGUAAGAAGUCGUGAAUUGUAUUCAUGGAGAAUCAAAUCAUUGAAGAUAUUGACAAAGCGAAGAAGCUAGAAUCUUCAUGUUCUGAUGGUAUGGUUAGUCUUAAUCAAUUCUUGCAAACAAGUGUGCAUGACGUUGGUGGGCUAGAUAAUUAUGGUGACUCCCAUAACCAUGUUUCAAAUCAGCAUGUUGAUGUUGAUAAAGACAACGAUGUUGUUGUCGACUAUGUACCAGUUCAAGAAACUGUGGAUGAGUCAAAUGCUCCACUUAGAAAGUCUACAAGACAACAUAUUCUUUCUUCUUGUUAUUCUCCUAAUGAGUAUGUGUUACUCACUGACGGGGGAGAACCCGAAUGUUAUGAGGAGACCAUGAAAGAUGAACAUAAGGUUCAAUGGAUUUAAGCCAUGUAAGAUGAGAUGAAAUCUCUACAUGAGAACCACACAUAUGAGUUGAUAAAAUUGCCUAAGAGCAUGAGAGCUUUGAAGAAUAAGAAGGUGUUCAAAAUAAAAUUUGAAGAAUAUGGUUUAAAUGCCAGAUACAAAGCCACAUUGGUUAUCAAAGGAUUUGGUCAAAGGAAGGGUAUUGACUUUGACUAUAUAUUUUCUCCCGUUGUCAAAUAGCCUCUAUUCGUACAGUUCUUGGCUUGGCUGCUAGUCUUGAAUUAGAGAUUGAGCAGAUGAAUGUGAUGACAACUUUUCUUCAUGGUGACCUCGAAGAGGAGAUCUAUAUGGAACAAUGAGGGCUUCAAGGUAAAAGUUAAAGAAAAUUAUUUGUUCAAACUUAAGAAGAGUAUCUAUGGCUUGAAGCAAGCUCCCAGUGGUAUAAGAAGUUUGAAUCCGACAUGAGAGAGCAAGGCUACAAGAAAACUUCUUCAGAUCACUAGUAUUUGGACAAAUUUUUUCUAAUGAUGAUUUUAUCAUCCUCUUGCUAUAUGUGGAUGAUAUGUUGAUUGUGGGCAAGAAUGCUUCCAGAAUUGAUGAGUUGAAGAAACAGUUAUGCAAGUCUUUUGCUAUGAAAAACUUGAGUCAUGCUAAGUAGAUUUUGGGCAUAAGAAUUACUUAUCUCAAAGAUGAAAGGAAGCUUUACUUGCAUAGGAAAAGUACACUAAACGUGUACUGGAGCGCUUCAAUAUGAAGAAUACUAAGGUUGUUAACACACUCAUUGCUGGUCAUAUAAAGUUGAGCAAGAAAAUGUGUCCUAUAAUGAAUGAGAAGAAAAAGAGCGUCCCUAAAGUUCCAUAUUCCUCUAUUGUCAGAAGCUUAAUAUGUGCAAUGGUAUGUACCAGAACCAAUAUUGUUCACGUAAUUAGUGUUGUCAUCAAGUUUCUUGAAAAUCUAGGAAAAGAGCACUAGAAAGCAGUCAAAUGGAUACUGAGGUACCUAAAAGGAACCUUAGCUGAUUGUUUGUGUUUCGGGGGAUCUGAUCCUGAAAAGCUAUACAGAUCUUGAUAUGGCAGGUGACAUUGAUAACAAAAAUUCACUACUAGAUUUUCUUUUUACAUGUUCAGGGGAGCUAUAUCAUGGAAGUCAAAGUUGGAUAAGUGUAUCGCACUGUCUACAACUGAAAUAGAGUAUAUUGCGGACACUAAAACUGGCAAAGAAAUGAUGUGGCGCAAGCGAUUCCUUCAAGAACUUGGAUUGAAAGAAAUUAAGUAUGUUGUGUAUUGUGACAGCCAAAGUGAAAUAGAUUUGAGCAAGAUUUCAUGUACCAUGCAAGAACAAAACACAUUGAAGUGAGGCAUCAUUGGAUUCGUGAACAAGUGGAGAACAAAUUGUUCCACGUUAAGAAGAUUCACAAGACUGAAAAUCCUACAAAUAUACUAACAAAGGUGGUGCCAAAAGACAAGUUCGAAUUGUGCAAAGAACUUGUCGGCAUAAGUUCUCUCUAAGAAGACGAGAAUACCUCUUUCGGGCGUAUGGGACUGGAGGAGGAGAUUUGUGGGGUCCAACCCCAUAAAUGCCAUUGAAAAAUUAAUGCCAUUUCAUGAUAUAGGAAAAAUGUUUUCUUCCUGGCUAAUCUUUUCAAACUUUUGGGAGAGAGAAAAUCAGACAAUUAUAUUUAUAGUUGCAAAUGUUGACAUUGCAACUUUUAUUUAUGUAGACAAAGACCUACGCACGGUCUUUUUUUCUCUAUAAAUUGAGAGUUUCGGAUAAUUUGAAAGACACACAAAAAAACAAAGAGAAAAUAAUAUAGAGAGAACAGUGAGGUAUUGUAAAGACCGUGACAAAAAAAUUAGAGUGAGCGAUAUAUUAAUAAGGUGGGAAUCAAAAAAGGGGUAUUUCUUUUGAGUAUGUAGUAGUCACUUUGAGUAUUGCACUUGUGACUAUAGUGUAAAAAUUUCUUAUUAUAGUAAUAUUAUUUGCUUCUCUUGGUCUGUGGGUUUUUCCCUUAUUUAAAAGAAUUUUCACGUAAAAAUUUUUGUGUUAUUAUUUUUAGUUUUUUUCAAUUCUUUUGUCACAAAUACUUUACUGUUAUUCCGCAUUUACCCAAUAGAUUGGGAAUAAAGAGUCUUGGAGCAAUGAUAGAUUUAUCUUUGUAUAAGUCACGUGUUCGGUGGAAUCAGUCAUUAAUAUUUGUGAGGGGACAGACUACCUACCUUACACCCUUUGGGGGUGUGGGCCCUUUCUAAAUUCUAUUGAUACGGAGAUGCUUCAUCCAUCGAGCUGCAUUUGUUUUGUAAUAGUGGAGAUGCAUGAUUAGAGCUGACCAUAAAGGUAUAUUCCUUUCGGUCCCAAAUAUUAAUCGUUUUGACAAAGUAAACCUUUUCGAACUAUCUGAUGUUUUAGAAAAUAAGAAGUCAUUAACUUUCGAUUUUUUUUUUUCAAGUUCACCAUCAAUACCUCAAUUCAAUUAUUGGAGUGUUAAGCAAGUGAGAUGUUUAAGAGAGUAAAGGUUAAUCUAACAAAUAUUGGGUUAGUUACAAAUAUUUUAUGAGUGAAGUUAUUAAAUAUUUUUUAAGGAGCUUACAAAAACUGUCAGAUAAUAUGACUUGUACACACGUGAUUUUUGAUCCUCCCUCAAUGUUAAAUAUUUAAUAAUAUAUUAUUUAUUAUUAUUAUUUUUAUUUUUAAUAAAUUUUUAGUUAAAAAUAAAUAAUUAAGUAAAGUUAAUUUUGAGAUACUAAAACUAAUAAUAAAAUAAAAUAUAUAUUUUUAUUUUCUAAAUUUUAAUAAAUUAAUUUUGGUAUUAUUUUAUUUAUUUUAACUAUUUGUAAAUUUUAUUAUAUUUUUCUUAAACAUAAAAUUAAUAUAAUGUUACUAUUAUAAUUAUUGUUAUUAUUUUAUUAUGUCUUCUAUUUUAUAUUUUUCUUAAACAUAAAAUUAAUUAAAUGUUACUAUUAUAGUUAUUAUUAUUUUUAUAAUCUUCUAUUUAAGAUAAUAAUAAUAUAAGAAUUUAUUUCAAAAUUUAAAAACACAUUCCUAUCCUAAGUAACUGUUCCCUCCCCUAUUCCCCCCCUCCCCCCCAAUAAUUUCCUAUUUAUAGGACUCUCACCCCCCACUCUCUCAGGAUUCUACGUAUUUUUUUUAUCAGAAAAACCAGAGAGAGACAUCAGACAUUUUAACAGAGUGAAAAACAAAGAAAAUUUAACAGAGUGAAAAACAAAGAAAAUUUAAUAGAGAGAGUGAAAAACAAAGAAAAAUUAACAGAGAGAAAACACAGUAAAAAGAAAAAAAACUUUGAAGAAGAUCAGACAAAAGAGAGAAAAGAAGAAAGUUGAGUUUGGGUUUCCGUUCGAGUUAUCGGUGAUGAUGUUCUUGCUUCUAUAUUUAGUCUAGUUCAUCAUACAGGUUCUUAUUUAAACCCUGUUUAUUUAUUUUUGUUAUAAUUAUGUCACUGAAAUAUGAACGAAGUUAUUUUUAUUUUUUCAUGUGCCAUUCGGUGUGUAAAGAUUGAUCGUCUGUCAAAAAUUUAAUUUUGCCUCUACUUUAAUCUAUUUAAUGUUAUUUAGUAGUUGUUGAGUUUGUAGUUGAUCCAUUUUGCGCGACAACGAAUACAUAUAAGUUGAGAAAGUGGUAAUUGUUUCAUAUUAUUUAGAAACAAGGAUCCUGAUCAUCUAUUAAAUGUCUAUUAAUGUUAGAGUAAUGAAUUUACGUGAAGUUGAACAUGCUAAAUUUACUUAGUUAUAGGAGUGUAAGUAUGACUGUAUUUUUAUAUUUUUCUUUUUCUUGGUCACAUGCAGUUUGUUUGUUUUAAUAUUUGUAAUGUGUUUUAGUUUUUUUUAUUAUUCCUAAAUUUUAAGCAUUUCAAAGUCAUGAAAACCAGUAGCUUAAAUGUAGUUUCCAUGUAUAUAUAUUGAAUUGAUAGGAAUUAAAAAUUUAGUGGUUAAAGAAAUAUUUCAACGUGAAUCAUUCUUAAUUUAGUCAUUAAUAUGUUAAUUAAUAUGAUAACUACUGCAUUAGGUAUUUUCUUAGAUUACUACUAGACUUCUUAUCUUAUUCCAUAUCUCUUUAAUGAUUUAUCCACUCAAUUAUAUGGAUUUUCUUGAGUAUUAUUAUCCGUAAUUAUCAUUUAGUCAUGCGACAAGGAUGAAAACAAGUUUUUAUUUUUAAAAAUAAAUUAAGUUUCAACAUAGAAAUAAAAUUGUUUAGCGAAAUAUCUUUUGGACAAUUUUUGAAAAAUGAAUGAGAUAGAUUAUAAAUUUUUUCAGACUUAUCACAAAUAACAAAAGAAGAGGGAGUGAAAAAUAUUGUGAGGGAGCAAACAAGUUGCGGAUUAGUCCAAGGUUUGAAAGAAAAGAACAAAAAAUGAGCAAGUUUAGCUACUUGAAUUUAUGAGAGACAAACCAACGCCUUUAACGCUAGAAAUUUUUUUAAGUAUUUUUAAACAUUUGUCUUAAUAAAUAAUGCGGCGUAUGCAUCUUUUCGAGAUAUUUUAAAAUUCAAGGAUGCAAAAAUGCACUUUGGUAAAUAUUUUUCUAAAAUUAAUUUUCACACGAUUUAUUCAAUAUAAGAUAACAGACAAAUUUUAGUAUAAUUAAAAAUAAGCGAACUACGGCCUACUAACAUAAUAUGUCAAAAUAGUUUAAGUUAAGAUAAGUCAAGAAAAGCAACCGUGCUAGAACCACGGGACUCGAGGGGUGCCUCACACCUUCCCAUCGGUCAACAGAAUUCCUUACCCGGUCUUCUGUUUUCGCAGACCAACAAAGAGUCAUGUCCUUUUGAUUAGGGAUUCAAAAAAGGUGACUUGGAACACCAUAGCUCAAUUCCAAGUGGAGACUCUGUAAUAAAUUAUUCCCUAUUCAAUACCGUCACUUUAAUUGGAAAAACCCUUUGAACUCGAUCCCCUCAGACGAAAAAAAGGGUGUGACAUCUCUGACGACUCUGCUGGGGAUUAACUAGAAUUCGAUCUUUUGGUAUUGACUUAUACUUGUUUUAAUUAUUGUUGAUAUUGUGAUUGUUGGUGUUAUGUGCUACUUGUCUCUCAUUUACUGCUUUGAUAUUAUUUGAAUUGUAUUAUAUAUUGUCCUCUCUCGCGUACCCCCUCUGAUUCUCUGAAAUAGGAUAGAGGGAAUGCAGCAUAUGCAUCCCACCUUCUUUUAUUAGAUAGCCGGAGUGUCAAGACACCUGGUGAAAGAUAUAGUCACACAUGUUAGGCGGGGUUUGGAUUGAUAACGAAGUCGGUGUUUCCCUGCUACCGACCAAGUUGUCCCUCCCCGGCUCAAGUGUUUGCUCGAGUAAGCCAAUAUAGACACCUAUCCCUAUUAGGCUUAAAACUUAGAAGAACUGAAAACUCAGAAUCUGGUUAUCCCUAUUAGGUGCCGCUUUAUUUGCAUCAUAUGCAUUUGACUUAGCGGGACUCAGCAUAGGGGUCGGGUUUGUCUAGGACAGGUGACCUAAUUUAUAAAGACCAACAUAUGCAUCCUACGUGCUCUUUAACAUUUGCUUGGAAGGCUAUUUAUUUGUUGAUCGGCUUUAGGCAAUUUUAAAAUGCGAGAGAUUAAGUUAUCCUCAAAUUUAGUAAAUCAUUUUUGAAAGAAAAUUUUUAUUUUUAAAUAAGGAAUUUUUAAAAAUAUACAACAACAUAGUUUUUACAAUCUUCAUGAACUAUGAGGGUCUGAUUCUCACUUUUUAGCGAGAUACAUAUGAAGUCUUACCCAGGAUACGACCAUUUAUUUAAAAAAUAAUAAUAUAUUUAUUCACAAAUUUAUUGAACGAUAUUUUUGAAAAAUAAUAAUAAUAAGAAAAAUGAUUAGUUUCAUGAAUAUUAUUAUCUUUAUUUUACUUUCCUUUUUAUUUUUCAAAAUUAAUCUUAACAUAAAAAUCAUAAUAGCCUGAACCUUUAGGGGUCGUGAGACUAGAAAUUUUAUAAAACUUCAUACAUAAAACGAUCAUUCUAUUUCUGAGUCAUUUUUUGUUCUCUUAAGGGUAUUUAGGGGGUAUUGUCUCCAAAUAUAUAGUUAAAAUUGUCUAGAGGUCUGUUAUUACAAAAUUUUUUUAUAAGAGUCAACUUAAAUAAAUGUUUUUUCUAAAUAUAUUAUCAGUCAUAGUUCUCAAGUCAAGUUAAAAAAUUCUUUUCAAAAAUUAAUGAAUUAAUUUCAGCCUAAAUCUAGACAUUUAUUAAUUUCAUGUCCUUGUCAAUAGGUAUAAAAUGUCUCCCCCUGUUCAUGGAAAGCGUCCAAAGAGAAAGAGAGAUGGGAGUGUACCGCUUCAUGUUAUGAAUUGGACCCCUUUGGAGCUUUGGUUGUGGUGGAACAAAAUGGAUACAUUUAAUUAUGACAAGAUACAUAAGUAUUUGGGUUUUUUGACGAGUAUUAUGACAAUAAAACCUAAUAGUGAGGUGAUUGAUCUGCAAACUCAUGAACAUAAGGAAUUCAAAAGAAGAAUCGAUGAAAAAAGGUUGGGUUUCCUUACAGUUUUUGUACGAUAGAUACGGAAGGCAAGAGGGGUUCAAAAAGUAUGGUAAGCAGCUCUGUAAUAAGCGGAAUUUUGAGGCCUGGAAGGUUCACAGACGAUUUGCAUUCAUGGUAGCCUUUUUAGGCACUAUGGUCUUCCUAAGGAGAGAACAAAAAAUUAACAUUCGUUUAGCAGGAGUGGUAAAAAUACUGAUUAAGAAAGAUUAUACUAUGGUGCCAAUGAUCCUGGCAGAUAUCUAUCGUGCUUUGACUGUUUGUCAGAAAGGAAAGAGUUUUUUCGAGGGAUGUAAUAUCUUAUUGUAGUUGUGGAUUGUGGAGCAUCUAUACCGACGUCCUACAAUGGCAAGGUUUAAUUCAAAAAUAUUCAAUCGCACUACAGAUUACGAAGAGAGGUUAGAGAAAUAUAAAUGCCCAGAAGGAUUUAGAGAUUGGGAUAAGUUUUUUCGUUCUCUGACAGCAAAUAAAAUCACUUGGAAUCUCCCUUGGAUCCCUUGGAGGCAAGUAAUACACAGUUCUGUCAUUCGGCCAUUCAUAUUAUUAAUGGGUAUUAGGGGUGUUCAACCGUAUGUUCCAUUGAGAGUUUUACGUCAGCUUGGAAGAUGUCAAAUAAUUCCCAUUACAAAAAAUAUGACUGAGUUUGUAUUUGAGGUCAAACCAGAGAUCCCACUGCCAGAGGAAUUGGCCCAGCAGAUUUGGGAAGGUUACCGUAUCAUGGGGAUUGAAACGAUGGUCAUAGAGCGUGAGAAAGGAGAAGUACACCCAGAUUACCGUGAAUGGUUUGAAGAACAGUUGAGUCCGCCAGUUAGACCAGAAAUAUCGGUUAGGGGACCUAUAGAUCAAGAAGCUGCAAUCAGGAUAGUAAUUGAGAGAGCCAUGCGAGAACAUCAUGAGCCCAACUAAGCUUUGAGAGAAGAAUUAGAGCAUGCCAAGGAAAAAAUAGACGAAUAACAAAGGGAAUUUACUGAAGAGAAAGCUAAAUCAGCAGCUAUUGACGUUGUACUUUGGGGAAAAAUCAAAAUGGCUACCACUAGAGGGUCACAUGCUGCAGAAAUUGCCUCAUCUCGCUGACAGCAACUGCAAGAAGUUUAAAAGAACAUGCAAGAAGAAUUUGAUCCAGAGAGAUCUCAGUGAAUCCGUGAAAGAGGAAUAUUGCGAGAAUAGUUGGAGGUUGCUUUUGCUCGUGAACAGCAUGCAAGAGAGAUGGUUGAUUUUCAAGAUCGACAGGCCCAGGAAUGGGAUCAGGCCUUUAGUUCCCUUCGAGGGAAGGUCCGCCGUGUAGAACAAGAUACUACCAGAAUGGGUUUGGAUUAUCAGUAGUUGGAUCGUGAGGACUUUUUGGCACAAGUACCAUCUUUCGCACAGCGUCUCACUACUUCAUUGGAGGACAUAUAUUUGAGUUUGGGAGGACAUAUUAAGCCGAAGUCUCCUUGAAUGGAUAGUUGUUUUCUUUUUCAUAGUUUUUCAUUUUUAGUUUUAAAACUUCUUGUUUAGAUAUUAUCUCUUUUAAUUUUCAGAUGUCAGUCAGUAGGUUUUAUUUUAGGAGUUGGAUCAGUUAUUUUGUCGUAUUUAUAUUAUAGAAUGUAGUGAAGUUGACUGUUUAUUUUUAUAUAUAUUACAUAUGUUUUACUUGACUUACUUUAUUUAUUUUCUUCAAUAAAAAAGAAAAGACAAAACAAUUUUUGUUAAAUUCCUCCCGAACUACACAAGAUCUGAUUCAUGUCCUGACAUGAUACGUAGGCAACCCUCCAAAGGGUUCGAUCAUAAUUUUUGAAAAAGUAUGCCUAGAAAAGCUGGGAUGAAACACAGCCUUCCAUGAUAGGUUGGAAAAUGCAUAUAGAAGCAUGAUAUAUAACGUGACAUUAUAAUGUGUUAAAUAUAUAACACUCACCCGUUUGCUACUUGGUCACAGAAAGAUAAAGUAAUUGGUGGUUGGUUUGUGGUUUAAACUGGUAUCAUAUCCGUAUAACACCAGAUACAAGGGUAAAAGAAGAAUGACCCCCAAAGAAGGUAGAGGGUCUGAUAGUAAGGAUGAUCAGAAUCAGUUGAUUUCGCAGAAAUUAGCAUCAAUGGAAGGAAUAAAGUCAUUAAAACAACAGAUGACAGAGAUGUACCAAGCUUGGUUGAAUGGACAAGCCCCGCCUUCUUCAAUCCCUGGACUUUCGACUUCAAAUGAUCCAAAUUCUGACCCAGCUCAAACUAGUGAUCCAUUUUACCCACCAGGAUUUGGUCUAUUUGCUAAUAUGUCUAGAAUUACUGGUACUUCUACCAUGCACCCACCAAAUCCGUCUGUCACAAAUAACCCACUUUUUACUUCUGUAGCACCAGCUACUGCGGGUACUCAAUCGACAGUACCAAAGAAUAUAGGGAAACCAAGUCAUGAUAUGUUGUAUCCUUCUAAAAUGACUUUCAAAUCUCAAAAUCCACAUUAUCAUGUUCAUCAAUGUGAUACUCCUAUCAUGAUUGAGAAAAUUGCCAAGAAUGAGGAACAUGAAGAGAUGGCUAGAAAAGUUAGAAGCCUGGGGUAGAGUAUGAGAAAUAUACAAGGAUUAAAUGGACCAAAAAGUGUUUCAUACAAGGAUUUGUGUAUGUUUCCUGAUGUCCAUUUGCCGAUAGGGUUCAAAAUGCCAAAGUUUGACAAAUAUCAAGGACACGACGAUCCUGUAGCUCAUUUGAAAAAGUUUAACAAUCAAUUAAGGAUAGCAGGAGGAAAAGAAGAAUUAUUGAUGGCUUACUUUGGAGAAAUCCUUACAGGGAUAGCUUCUGAAUGGUUCAUUGACCAAGACAUUUCCCGUUGUUACGUAUGGGAUGACAUGGCUCGAGAUUUCGUUCAACAAUUUCAAUAUAACAUUGAGAUAGUGCCAGAUCACACUACGCUUGCUAACAUAAGAAAAAAGAUGACUGAAAGUUUCUGAGAAUAUGCUAUCAGAUGGAGAGAGCAGGCUUCAAGAGUCAGACCAUCGAUAAAGGAAUCUAAAAUAAUUGAUAUAUUUUUGCAAGCACAAGAACCUGAUUAUUUCCAUCACUUACUUUCUACAAUUAGAAGCACAUUUACUGAAGUUAUUAAAGUUGGAGAAAUGGUAGAGAAGGUAAUAAAAUUAGGAAAGAUCAUCAGCCAGGUUGCUUUGAAAGAAACAACACAGGCAAUUCAAAGUGGUGCAGGGAGUUUUGGGGGAAAGAAAAGAAAAAAGGAUGUAGCAACUGUCGUUCCAAGUCCAUGAUAAAAUUGGAAGGGUGAGUGUCAACCAUACACACAAAAUCCAUUAUGUUUGGUUCCUUCACCUCAAUAUCCUAUUUAUAAUGCACAACCAUAUGCUCGGGAUCCUUCUUACCCGCAAUGGCAUGCACCAGCCAUCCAAAAUCGUCUACCGGUCCUGUAAGUUCAAAGAGGCCCUCCCAGGUCUAAUUUCUGGCCUAGAGCGGACUUUAAAAGGGAUAACAUGGUAAAAGAUAAUUUCACUCCUAUUGAAAUAUCUUACACUAGUUUAUUCGAUAGGCUGAGAAAAAUGAAUGUUCUAAACCUAAUUGAGAAAAGGAUCUCAAAUCCUCCUCCGAAGAACUUGGACUAUUAUAGAAGAUGUGAAUACUGUUCUGAUGCCCUAGGGCAUGAUACAGAGAAAUGUUGGUAUCUGAAAAGAGCCAUUCAAGAGUUGAUUAAUACCCAACAGAUCAUGGUGGAAAGUCCAGACGCUUCAAAUAUCAAUCAAAAUCCGCUGCCAAUUCAUAAUGAAACAAACAUGCUCGAAGUGAUAUUCAGUGGUAAAGAUGCUAUGAUUUCCUUUAAGCCGAUCAUUAAAAUUAAAAUUGAUUUUGAAAAAUCAGCAAAUACUGUGGAUUUGACAAAAGAGAAGCCUGUAGAAGCGGAGGUGGUGAUAAUAAAAACCGAAUCAUCGAAUAUUCCCUUGGUAGUGGGGAAAGAGAUUUUAGAAAAUAUUAGGUUAAGUCAAAUAAAGUUGAAACUCAUUAUUCCUGGAAGAUCCAAUAAGCCUCUUUUAAUCAUAAAAAGGAGCUCUUAUAUCUCCUAUUAUUAUUAAACCAGUGUCACAAUUGCCUAUGGUUGAUACCAAGGUAGUCCCUUGAAAUUAUGAUUGCGUUGUGGUGAUGCACAAGGGGAAAGAAGUGACUGAAGAUGUAGAUGAACUAGGGAGAUUAACUCGAUCUGAAAGAUGUAUGCUCCUGUAGAGUUAAGAAAGAAUAAACAAGGCGGUGAAGAAUGAAUAACAGUCAAGAAGCCUGUUACUGAUGAAGAAGCUGAAGAAUUCUUAAAGAAAAUGAAAUUUCCAAAACAUUCUAUUGUAGAGCAGUUGAAGAAGACACCAGUACAGAUUUCUUUGUUGUCUUUAUUGAUACAUUCAGAGGAACACCGCAAGGUUAUAAUGAAGAUUCUUAAUGAAGCAUGUGUUCCCAAUGAUAUUAGAGUAAAUCAGCUGGAAAAAGUUGUUGGAAGGAUCCUUGAAGCAAAUAAAAUUACUUUCUCAGACGAUGAAUUGCCUAUGAAAGGUACUGAGCAUAACAAAGGUUUGUACAUUUCUGUGAAAUAUGAAAAUUCUAUCGUCACUCGAGUGUUAAUUAAUGGAGGAUUAGACGCUAAAAUUUGUCCUAUGUCAACUUUUCAAAAGUUGAAUGUUAAUGUGGAAAGGAUCCGACCUAAUAAUGUAUGUGUCAAAGGUUUUGAUGGAUCAAAAACUGAUGCCAUUGGUGAAAUAGAGUUUAUAUUGACAAUUGGACCUGUGGAGUUUGCUAUGGAUUUCCAAGUGCUGAACAUUGAAACUUCAUUUAAUAUGUUAUUGGGAAGGCCAUGGAUUCAUAGGGCUAAAGCAGUCGCAUCAACAUUGCAUCAAAUGGUCAAAUUUGAACACGACAGGCAAGAAAUAAUUGUUCAUGGUGAAGGAGAUUUAUCCAUGUAUAAAAAAUACUUUAUUUCCUCCAUAAAAAAAGAUACUGCGGAUAAUGUGUUAAUUCAUCAAGCUUCUGAGGUAGUGGCUGUUGAUCAUAUCCUCGAAGAGAAUCUCAUCGUAAGACCACAAUUGUCCUCUGCAUCUGUUAUGGUAGUGAAUGAAAUGUUGAAGCAUGGUUUCAAACCAAGAAAAGGUCUAGGGAUAUUUUUGCAAGGCAUAGUUCAUCCGGUAAACCUCUAUGAGAACUUUGGUACUUUUGGUUUGGGAUACGAGCCUACUUCUGAAGAUAUAAAGAAGGCUAAAAAUCAUAAGAAAGAGUCAUGGUCACUUACCAAGAUGAUACCUCCACUUCACGAGUCUUUCAUCAAAUUCAGUGUUGUUGGAUCCUCCAAGUUACUUGCUGCAGAAUCAAUGAAUGAUGAUGAUACAGAGUUGAUUGGCUUUUUUCAGAAUAUGUUCAUUGAAGCUGAUAUGGCUGAAAUUGGGGAAGGUACUAGCAAUGCAGAUGUGCAUUUUAUCGGCCCUGAUAUUCAGCUUAACAAUUGGGAGGCCACUUAUCUCCCUAUUAUAAAAGAGUCUUGGUAGUUUGUUUUUCUUACAGUCUUAGUAGUUUGUUUGUUUAUUUUUACUCCUAUAAUUUGAAUCAUUCUAGGAUUGUAAUUCAGAACUUUAAACUUGGUAUUUUAGGUUAAAACUCUUUAUAUCUAUGUUUUUAACAAAGCGUAGUUUCCCUUCGUUUUAUUUUGAGUCUGAUUUUUAUUUAUUUAUUUUCUAUCAUACAGUUCUUUCUAUGCCGAUUCUAAUGAUAUGACAUGCAUGAAGAAUUGUCAACCAGAUUUAAAAACCCAAUCUAAUUAUGAAAUAAUGAAUAAGAAGUUGAAUACGAUAAAGGAGAAAUAUUUGAGGAUAUAAGCAAAGAUUUCAAACAGCUUGAGAAUAAGACAAAUCCCAAUUUGGAAGAAACUGAGGCAAUCAAUUUAGGAGAUCAUGAAAAUAUUAGGUAGACUAAGAUAAGUGUAAAUAUUCAACCACAACAAAAGAAAUCUAUAAUUGAAGCUUUGCAUGAGUAUAAAGAUAUUUUUGUGUGGUCUUAUGAUGAUAUGCCCGGUUCGAGCACUGAUUUGGUAGUUCAUAAGUUACCAAUUGAUCCUGCUUUUUCUCCUAUCAAGCAAAAGCUAAGAAAGCUUAAAACUGAUAUGAGUGUAAAAAUUAAAGAGGAAAUCACGAAGAAACUUGAGGCUAAAGUCAUUCGAGUGGUCCAGUAUCCUAUUUGGUUGGUAAAUAUUGUCCCUGUUCCAAAGAAGGAAGGAAAAGUUUGGAUGUGUGUUGAUUAUCGUGAUCUAAAUAAGGCAAGUCCGAAAGAUAAUUUUCCACUUCCCAAUAUCCAUAUUUUGUUGGACAAUUAUGCCAAAUAUGAUCUUGCGUCUUUUAUGGAUUGUUAUGCGGGGUAUCACCAGAUCAUUAUGGAUCUAGAAGAUGCGGAAAAGACAUCAUUUAUUACGCCAAGGGGGACAUAUUAUUAUUGAGUCAUGCCUUUUGGACUAAAGAAUGCUGGGGCAACUUACAUGAGGGCAAUGACCACAAUGUUUCAUGACAUGAUGCACAAAGAGAUUAAAGUUUAUGUGGAUGACGUGAUCAUUAAGUCGAGAGAGCAAUCUGAUCAUGUCAAAGAUUUGAGAAAAUUCUUUGAAAGGCUUCGGAGGUAUGAUCUCAAACUUAACCUAGCAAAAUAUGUAUUUGGAGUUCCAUCAGGAAAACUCUUGGGUAUUAUAGUUAGUCGACGUGGCAUUGAGUUAGAUCCUUCAAAAAUAAAAGCUAUUCAAGAUCUGCCUCCACCAAAAAAUAAAAUGGAGGUGAUGAGCUUACUUGGAAGGUUGAAUUAUAUCAAUAGAUUUAUUGCUCAACUUACGACAACCUGCGAGCCAAUAUUCAAAUUGUUAAAGAAGAAUGCUAAAGUUGAAUGGACUGAAGAAUGUCAAGAGGCAUUUGACAGAAUUAAGAGAUACUUGUCGAAUCCACCUAUUUUGGUUCCUCCAGAGCCAGGUAGACCUUUGAUAUUGUACAUGUCUGUUUUAGACAAUUCUUUUGGCUAUGUAUUAGGUCAACAUGAUAUUACAGGUAGAAAAGAACAAGCCAUCUACUACCUCAGCAAAAAGUUUACCACUUAUGAGGCUAAGUACACUCUUCUUGAGAAGACGUGCUGCACCUUAACUUGGGUAGCCCAAAAGCUGAAACAUUGCUUAUCAUCUUAUACUACUUACCUCAUAUCUCAUAUGGAUCCUUUAAAGUACAUUUUUCAGAAGCCUAUGCCCACAGGUAGACUCGUGAAAUGGCAGAUAUUGCUCACAGAGUUUGAUAUUAUUUAUGUGACACGAACUACAAUGAAAUCUCAAGCCUUGACGGAUUAUUUGGCUGAAAAUCCUAUUGAUGAGGAGUAUGAGCCAUUGAAGACUUAUUUUCCAGAUGAAGAGGUAUUGUAUGUUGAUGAAGUUAUUUCUGAUGAUUGUCAUUCAGGAUGGAAGUUGUUCUUUGAUGGAGCUGCUAAUGUAACAGGAGUGGGGAUAAGAGCGGUUCUUAUUUCUAAAUCAGGACAAUAUUAUCCUAUAACAGGCCAACUUCGAUUCUACUGUACCAAUAAUAUGGCAGAAUACGAAGCUUGCAUUUUGGGAUUGAGAUUAGCCAUUGACAUGGGGAUCCAAGAACUGUUGGUAUUAGGAGAUUCAGAUUUAUUAGUCCACCAAAUCCAAGGAGAUUGGGAAACACUUGAUUCAAAACUCCUACCAUAUAGAGGUUGUUUGCAAGAUCUCUGUCAACGAUUUAUAUCAAUAAAGUUCAAACACAUUCCCAGAGCUCAUAAUGAGAUUGCUAAUGCUUUGGCGACCUUAUCUUCGAUGCUUCAACAACCCGACAAAACUUAUAUUGAUCCUUUGCAUAUGAAGAUUCAUGAUCAACAUGCAUAUUGUAAUAUGGUUGAGGACGGACUUGAUGGGGAGCCGUGGUUCCAUGAUAUCAAAGAAUAUAUUUAGGCUAGAAAAUAUCCUAUACAUUUCGAUGGUAACCAAAAGAGAAUCAUUCGACAUUUUUCUAGUGGAUUUUUCCUAAGUGGAGGAAUCUUGUAUAAGAGGACUCCUAAUUUAGAACUUUUGAGGUGUGUAGAUGCUAAAGAAGCUUCAAAAAUCACGACUGAAGGCCUCGAAUGGACAUAGUUUCAUCUUGGUAGCCAUUGAUUAUUUCACGAAGUGGGUGGAAGCAACGACUUUCAAGUUAGUGGACAAGAAAAUGGUGGUUGAUUUUAUUCACUCCAACAUCAGUUGUCGAUUUGGCAUUCCAAAGAUAAUUAUCACCGAUAAUGCUGCAAAUCUCAACAGUCAUUUGAUGCAAGAAGUAUGCCAACAAUUUAAGAUUAUGCAUCGAAAUUCUACUCCUUAUCGCCUAAAGACAAAUGGGGCUGUAGAAGCUGCCAACAAGAACUUAAAGAAAAUACUUCGCAACAUGGUGUAGGGUUCCAACAAUGACAUGAAAAGUUACAUUUUGCUUUGUUGGGUUAUCGUACUACAGUUCGGACUUCAAUUGGUGUAACUCCUUACUUUUUAGUGUAUGGAACUAAAGCAGUUAUACCUGUAGAGAUUGAGAUUCCAUCUCUUCGAGUAGUUGUGGAAGCUGAAAUUGAUGAAGACCAAUGGGUCAAGACUCAUUUGGAGCAAUAAAGCUUGAUUGAUGAAAAAAAAUUGACGUCAGUAUGUCAUGGACAACUAUACCAGAAGAGAAUGGCACAAGCAUAUAACAAAAAGGUGCGUCACAGAUAUUUUGAAGUUGUUCAGUUGGUAUGAAGACACAUUCUACCUCAUCAGAUUGAAGCCAAAGGCAAAUUUUCUCCUAAUUAGCAUGGACCAUUCAUGGUGAAGAAAGUGUUACCUAGUGGCGCGUUAUAUCUCACUGAUGUUAAAGGAAAAAUAGAAGAAAUGUCGGUCAAUGCUGAUGCAGUUAAAAAAUAUUAUGUAUGAUAUUCAUGUACAAUUAUGUUAUUAAUGUUUUGUACUUACAUUUUUAAAGAUUUGAAAUGAUGAAGGCAUUUUGUUCUACUAUCCGAAUAAUAUAUCAACCUUUGUUACCCCUUUUUUCAGCCUUAGUGUUAUUUUCUUUCGUACCCCUCUUUUGGAAUCAAAAUAGAGUUUGAGAACUUGAAAAAAAAAUAUCAAGAAAAAUGGAGUAAAAAAAAAGAGUUGAAAAAAAAAGAAGAGAAAAAAUCAAUCAAAAAUCCAAAUUCGAGCAAAAGAAAUUUCCUGAACUACGUUUGACCUGAUUCUUGCUAUGACAAGAUACGUAGGUAGCCCUACUUCGGGGUUUGGUCUAACCAGAAGAAAAUUCAAAUUACCCAGAAUGAAAUGAAACUGGGGUAAAGAUUUAUUUUCUUAAAAGAAUCGAUUCGAAAAGUUGUAUGUUUCACCCAAUGUUAAUUUUUGAGCCUAAUGCCGACCUUUCUUUCUAAGCCUAUCCAAAAGCCAAGUUACAACCAAAAAAAGACCUUCGGAUCAAUCUUUGAGAAUGUCAAGGCUAAACAUGUUAUGAAUGAGUGCAUGACAUUUCAUAUUUUAGGUGUUUAUUAAAAAAAAUGAAAUGAAAAAAAAUGAAAAUGAGAGAGUCUUAUUGGUGAAAACCCUUUCGGGCACCAUAAGACGACUGUGAGCUGAGACAGAAAUGAAAAGGAGAUAGGCUCGUUGGCAAAAACCCAUUGAGGUGCCACUAGCUGAAGAAAGGUUGUUAUCUAGAAGGAACAAGUUCAAGAUUGGCUUAAUUUCAAGCUCAAUAAGUGGACAAAAGUUGUAAUGAUUGGUGUGGGUAGAUCUGGUUGUUUGAUUCAAAAUGCAUGGAAUAAUCACCAAAAUCGAUUUCCACAUUCAGAUAAGUUUUCUCUUUGUUUUAAAAAAGAGAUGCCUAUUGUCAUUUUCUUUUUGUUUUAUUUUAAUUUUAGAUUUUUUGUGUCCUUGUCAUCAAACGAAAAUUUUUUGUUGUCUUUUGAGUCAAAUUCACGUCAGGUCGAGUGAGAAAGGACUCCAAACUCGCUACCAACUCCUUUGAGGGUACAAAGAAAGACAAAGGGUCGAUGCAAAGAGACAACAUUUCAAAGUAAAAGUAAGGUACUCAAGAUGAUUGUGAUUUGACCAUUUUAAACUCGUGAAAAUCUAAGGGAUGUAUUGGAAGCUAAACUCAGAAGCAUCAUACAACAGAAAUAUGAUUUAAGUUAAGGAUCUCAGUAGUCAGAAUUCUGAGUCAGAAAUAUGACAAUUCAAUGAAUAUUAUCAUGGAUUGGAAAAGAGUUGAGCAUGGCAAGUACGAGAGUGGCUACUUCAAAAGCUAAAUGCCACAAACAAACCACCACAUGUUUUAAAACUCACAAUUUUUCUUUGUUUGGAACUGAGAUGAAAUAAUUGUUUUCAGAUAAAGGAUGCGAUUUCACACUUCUCAAUGCAAGAAGCAUGGUUACGACAUUCGAUACUGGAUCUCGGUCGUGAUAAAAUUUAUUAUUUGCGAGAUAUAUCAAGAUUCAGUGACACAUAAAUUUUUCCAGUACAAACUGGGACAAAAAUUUUAUGUGUGUUGUAUGGAAUUUAUAUUUUGCUCAAGACCCUCCUGAUGAAGGGGAAUUUAUUUUUUGCUCAGGACCCUCCUGAAGAAUGGGAAUUUAUUUUUUGCUCAAGACCCUCUUGAAGAAUGGGAAUUUAUUUUAUAUCCAGGACCCUCCUAAAGAAUGGGAUGUUAUUUUUCUGUUUCACUAUUUUCUUUAAGUUCAGGAACCCGCUUGAAGAACAGGGUGAAGAAGUUGUAAGUCCAGGAGCCUGGCUGAAGAACAUGGUGAAGAAAUUAAAAGUCCAGGAACCCACCUGAAGAACAGGGUGAAGAAAUUAUAAGUCCAGGAGCCCACCUAAAGAACAUGGUGAAGAAAUUGGAAGUCCAGGGGCCCGCCUGAAGAACAGGGUGAAGGAAUUGGAAAUCCAGGAGACCGUAUGAAGAACAGGGUGAAAAAGUUAUAAAUAUAGGAGCCCGCCUGAAGAAUAGGGUGAAGAAGAUGUAAGUCCAGGAGCCCGCCUGAAGAAUAGGGUGAAUUUUUAAAUUCAAGUCGCGAAGGCUUGAAUCAAGAUUCUAGAGAUUGCAAUUUUUUGUAUUUUUCAUUUUUGAUAUUUAUUAGUCAAUUGAAUGUCAAGGCAAAAGUCGUCAACCGGAAACUCGACGGAAUCCCACUCGACUUUAACUUUUGCUCUUACCAAAUUACUUUUAAACUACUCGUGACCUGAUUUCCUUAUAACCCGAGAUAGGUAGGCUGUCCAAAAACAGGACUCGGUCACAAUGUUUUCUUUUAUUUUAAUUUUAUUUUAUCCUUACCUUUCAAAUAAUUGGAGGGUCAAAAAUCAUGUCUUGUCUACUUCUUAAAUAUUUAAUCAUAUAUUAUUUUUUGAUUAUUAUUUUUAUUUUUAAUAAAUUUUUAGUUAAAAAUUAAAAUUAAGUAAAGUUAAUUUUGAGAUAUUAAAACUAAUAAUAAAAUAAAAUAUAUGAUUUUAUUUUCUAAAUUUUAAUAAAUUAAUAAUUUUGGUAUUAUUUUAUUUAUUUUAACUAUUUGUAAAUUUUAUUAUAUUUUUCUUAAACAUAAAAUUAAUUAAAUGUUACUAUUAUAGUUAUUAUUAUUUUUAUAAUCUUCUAUUUAAGAUAAUAAUAAUAUAAGAAUUUAUUUCAAAAUUUAAAAACACAUUCCUAUCCUAAGUAACUGUUCCCUCCCCUAUUCCCCCCCUCCCCCCCAAUAAUUUCCUAUUUAUAGGACUCUCACACCCCCUGGGAUUCUACAUAUUUUUUUUAUCAGUUAAACAUCAGACAUUUUAACAGAGUGAAAAACAAAGAAACAAAGAAAAAUUAACAGAGAGAAAAUACAGUAAAAAGAAAAAAAACUUUGAAAAAGAUCAGACAAAAGAGAGAAAAGAAGAAAGUUGAGUUUGAGUUUCCGUUUGAGUCAUCGGUGAUGAUGUUCUUGCUUCUAUAUUUAGUAUAGUUCAUCAAACAGGUUCUUAUUUAAACCCUGUUUAUUUAUUUUUGUUAUAAUUAUGUCAUUGAAAUAUGAACGAAGUAUUUUGAUGAUUUCGUGUGUCAUUUGGUGUGUAAAGAUUGAUCUUCUGUCAAAAGUUCAAUUUUGCCUCUCCUUUAAUCUAUUUAAUGUUAUUUAGUAGUUGUUGAGUUUGUAGUUGAUCUAUUUUGCACGACAACGAAUACAUAUAAGUUGGGAAAGUGGUAAUUGUUUCAUAUCAAUUAGAAAUAAGGAUCCUGAUCAUCUAUUAAAUGUUUAUUAAUGUUAGAGUAAUGAAUUUAUGUGAAGUUGAACAUGCUAAAUUUACUUAGUUAUAGGAGUGUAAGUAUGACUGUAUUUUUGUAUUUUUCUUUUUCUUGGUCACAUGCAGUUUGUUUGUUUUAAUAUUUGUAAUGUGUUUUAGUUUGUUUUAUUAUUCCUAAAUUUUAAGCAUUUCAAAGUCAUGAAAAUCAGUGGCUUAAAUGCAGUUUCCAUGUAUAUAUAUUGAAUUGACAGGAAUUAAAAAUUUAGUGGUUAAAGAAAUAUUUCAACGUGAAUCAUUCUUAAUUUAGUCAUUAAUAUGUUAAUUAAUAUGAUAACUACUGCAUUAGGUAUUUUCUUAGAUUACUACUAGACUUCUUAUCUUAUUCCAUAUCUCUUUAAUGAUUUAUCCACUCAAUUAUAUGGAUUUUCUUGAGUAUUAUUAUCCGUAAUUAUCAUUUAGUCAUGCGACAAGGAUGAAAACAAGUUUUUAUUUUUAAAAAUAAAUUAAGUUUCAACAUAGAAAUAAAAUUGUUUAGAGAAAUAUCUUUUGGACAAUUUUUGAAAAAUGAAUGAGAUAGAUUAUAAAUUUUUUUUAGACUUAUCACAAAUAACAAAAGAAGAGGGAGUGAAAAAUAUUGUGAGGGAGCAAACAAGUUGCGGAUUAGUCCAAGGUUUGAAAGAAAAGAAUAAAAAAUGAGUAAGUUAAGUUUAGCUACUCGGAUUUAUGAGAGACAAACCAACGCCUUUAACGCUAGCAAAUUUUUUAAGUAUUUUUAAAUAUUUGUAUUAAUAAAUAAUGCGGUGUAUGCAUCUUUUCGAGAUAUUUUAAAAUUCAAGGAUGCAAAAAUGCACUUUGGUAAAUAUUUUUCUAAAAUUAAUUUUCACACGAUUUAUUUAAUAUAAGAUAACAGACAAGUUUUAGUAUAAUUAAAAAUGAGCGAACCAAGGCCUACUAACAUAAUAUGUCAAAAUAGUUUAUGUUAAGAUAAGUCAAUAAAAGCAACAGUGCUAGAACCACGAGACUCGAGGGGUGCCUCACACCUUCCCCUCUGUCAACAGAAUUUCUUACCCGGUCUUCUGUUUUUACCGACUAACAAAGAUUCAUUUCCUUUUGAUUAGGGAUUCAAAAAAGGUGACUUGGAACACCAUAACUCAAUUUCAAGUGGUGACUCUGUAAUAAAUUAAUCCAUAUUCAAUACCAUCACUUUAAUUGGAAAAACCCUUUGAACUCGAUCCCCUCAGACGAAAAAGGGGUGUGACAUGACUCAAAUAUAUUUACAAUUGUUAAUAAGUGUGAAGAAGUAUGCAGCUCUUCAUCAAUGUAUCUGUUUCUUCACCUGCUUCGUGAUUUAUUAUAUUAUCUCUAAUUAAUUAUUAUGUCAUUUAAAUAUAAAAAGAAGUUAAUAAUAUUUAAUUAAAAAAUAAAAUAAACACUUAUGACAUGUCUGUUUCAGCUGCUUCAAUCAUAGUUUUAUUAUAUCACCUCUAAUUAAUUAUUAUAAGUGAUUUAGGUAUUAAAAAAUCAAUAAUAUUUAAUAAAUAAUAAAAUAGACGUAAAUGAUAAAUCAAUUCUUGAUGUUUUAAAUUAAUGGGACAUCUUAUAUGAGACUCAUUUAAGUUUUUUCCACAAGAAUGUUUGCUCCGUGAUUUUAUAUAUUACCCCUAAUCCCUAAUUAAUUAUUUUAAGUCAUUUACAUAUAAUAAAAUUAAUAAUAUUUAAUUAAAAAAGAUAAAAUAGACAUUUAUGACAUAUCUGUUUCAGCUGCUUCAAUCGUAGUUUUAUUAUAUCACCUCUAAAUAAAAUAGAUAUAAAUGAUAAAUCAAUUCUUGAUGUUUUAAAUUAAUAGAACAUCUUAUAUGAGACUUAUUUAAAAAAUUUCACAAGUAUAUUUGCUCCAUGAUUUUACUAUAUUACCCCUAAUUAAUUAUUGUAAGACAUUUACAUAUAAGAAAAUUAAUAAUAUUUAAUAAAAAAGAUAAAAUAGACAUUUAUGACAUCUAUUUCAGCUAUUUCAACCGUAGUUUUACUAUAUCAACCCUAAUUAAUUAUUAUAAAUCAUUUAGGUAUUAAAAGUUUAAUAAUAUUUAAUAAAACUAAUAUUGACAUAAAAUGAUAAAUUGAUUAUUGAUGUUUUAAAUUAACAUGACAUCUUAUAUGAGACUCAUUUAAUUUUUUUUCACAAAUUUUUUCUCAUAGUAAUUUUGCUAUAUCGCUUUUAAUUAGAUAUUAUAAGUCAUUUAGGACAUAUCCACUUCACUGCUUCAAUCAUAAAAUUUGGUUGAUUUGGUUGAGUAUCGAAUUUAUUCCAAUGCUACUUAAAUUGUAAUAGAAGAAAAGGUAUUAUAAAUUAUAAUAAUUAAAAAAUUUAAAUUAUUUUAAGAAUAAAAAUGGAAUAUCAAUGCCACAAAAUUUUCGAUAAGGAAAGUAACAAAUAUUAUUUGAAAAUUACAUAAAAAUAAAAUAUUAUAAAUUACAAUAGCUAAUAAUUUAAAAUAUUUAAAACAUAUUAAGAUUCAGAUUGAUUAUCUAAAUUAUAUUUGUGUCACAUAAAUUCGGGAUAGUUUUGACAUUUUAUAAUUUGUAUGUUUUAUUGUUUUAAUUUAGUAAUUUAUUGAUCCAAAUGAUGUUUUCGAAUUUAACAUGUUUUAAAAAUUUAGUACUUUGUUUAUUUUGAUUUAUUUAUUUUAUUUCAUAAAAUAUUAUAUAUUUAAAAAUUAUGCAAAAAAAAAUAAUUAUAAGUCAUAACUAUUAAUAUCUUAUAAUAUUUUAAAAACAUAUAGUACAAAAUAUUAUUGACUUUUGAAAUUCUAAUAGUGUCACAUAAGUUGCGAUAAAGAAACAUAAAUUAUUUAAAAUUACAUUAAAAGAUACUAUAAAUCACAACGAUUAACAACUUGAAAUAUUUAAAAUAUAUUAGUAAAAAUUUGAUUGACUCUCUAAAUUCUAAAAUUGGGACAAAGCGAGUAACAUAAAUUAUUUGAUAAUUACGUAAAAGGUACUAUAGAUUACAAUGAUUAACAACUUAAAUUACUUAAAAAUUUAUACUAAUAAAAAUUUGAUUGACACUCCAAAUGCUAUUUGUUCUACAUAAAUAACAUAUGUUGGGUCCGUGCUAGCAUGGGCUAAAGUAUCUAGUAGGAGUAUAUAGAUAGAGAGAGGAUGGUCUGUUGAAAGAUAAGAUGUUUUUGAUGUGAUUUGAGUAGGGGUGGACAUUCGGUUUGUUCGGUUUGAUUGUUGAAUAUCAGUUCGAUUUUUUAAUUUUUGAAUUGACGAAAAUGACAACCAUAACCAAACCCAAAUUAUUUCGGUUUGAUUUGAUUUUACGAAUUCGGUUCGGUUUGAUUUGGUUUUACGAAUUCAGUUCGGUUAUUUCAGAUUUUUAUUUCGGUUUUAAAGAUUAAAGUAGUAACAUUUAAAAUUGGUGAUUUUUUUAGAAAAAUAAUCUUUUUUUCAAACCUAUUUUCAUUCCCAAAUAUAAUUAAUUCAACUGGGAUGAAAUAACCAUAAAUAUCGACUUCGCUGAGUCAUCACCAUUGGCGUGAUGAUAGUGGUCGCACUCGACAUCGACUGUCGACGGCAGUGACGAACUGAGCAAACGACUGUCGACUGCCAUUGACGAUGUUGAAAUUUCAAAUGAAUUAACUAACUGAGGAUGGAUUAAAUGACUUACAACAACUAAUUAGAAGUAAUAUAGCAAAAUCUAUAUCUAUAAUCUAUAAUCUAUAAUAUAUUAAAAGUGUGAAAACACUUAGAAAAGUGAUUUGAACUUUUUGACCUUCAUUAAAAACUUUCGCAAUAGACAAAAUCAUCUUUUUACUUAUUUUUUUUAUUAUUAUAUUAUUAUAUUUAAUAUUAACUAGAAUCCUAAAAUAUAUAAGGAAAAAAAAUAAUUGUAUUUCCAUGUUUUCAAUUUAAAAAGGAAAGAUUUAAUUAGAAUGAAAAACAAAUCCUAAAAUAGGAGAAUUAGCAAAAGAGACGAAGAAAUAAUGUGAAGAGUAUUUUAUUUUUAUUUUUGGAUAAAUAGAAGGGUCGUGCAUCUUUCGAAAGCAUAAACGUUAUUUUUGGAAAAUUACAAAAACUUUCAAAUUCCCUUAUUUUCCCAACAUAGUUUUUCUUAGAAAAAAAAUUAAUGUUGCAACAUUCAGUUGUAUCCUAAUAUAAUAUAAAUAAUUUAUAUGUAGUAUCAAUGUGUCCUAAAUCAAAUUCGUUUUGAUUUAUGAAUAUAUUUUUAUGAAAAUAGUUGUUUUGAAAACAAAAAGUCUGAACUCUCUAUAAGAAAAUUCACCAUUAAUUUCAGUGUCAUUCCGGUAUUUUUUUUCAUUCGUUAUUUAUCAGUAUUUUCUUAAAAGAGUUUGGAUGAAGUUCUAUGUAUUAUUAUAUGGAGUUGUGUGAUAAUGUUAAUUUUCUAAAAUUUAAUAUCUUAGUUGUUUAUUGCUAUUGAAUUUAUGUUCAUUGAAAUAUGACAAGGUGAUUUGUCACACUUCUUUUGUGCCUAAAAAUUCCUAAAUUGUUUAAUGUUUAUGAGGUUUUAACCUUUUUUUUUUUAAUUUUAUUUUGAUUUUGAUUUAAGUAGUCUUCAAAAAUGGAGAGUUGAUAAACUCUUCACCAACAAUCUCCCUGUCAUUGAGGUACUUUCUUCUCAUUCUUUGUUCAUUAUUAUUUUUUAAAAAGAGUUUCGAUGAAAUUUUUUAUAUCGUUAUGUGGAGUUGUAUGAUAAUGUGAAUUUUCUGAUCAUUUAUUUUUAGUUGUUUAUUGCUAUAUGAGUUUUUUUUAUUUUAAUUUUGAUUUAAGUUGUUUGCAUAAACAAAAAAUCGAUGAAGUCUUCACCAACAGUGUCAGGGUCAUUGAGGUACUUUUUUCUCAUUCUUUGUUCAUUAAUUUUUUUAAAAAAAUAUUUGGAUGGAAUUUAAUAUGUUGUUAUGUGAAGUUGUAUGAUAAUGUGAAUUUUCAGAUCAUUUAUGUCUUAAUUGUUUAUUGCUAUAUGAGUUUAUGAUUUUUGAAAGAUGACUAGGUCAAUAUAUUAUACUUUUUAGCCUAAAUUCGUAAAUUAUCUAAUGUUUAUGGUAUUUUAAUGGUUUUUUCCUUUAGAUUGUGAUUUAAAUCAUCUUCGCAUGAUCAAAUCUAUAUUUGACUACACAUAUGAGAGAAUGUGAGUGUGGCGUGUUAACGAACAAGUCUAAAGGAAAAGGAAAAAAUUAAAUUAAAUUAAUGAAAGUAAAUUUUAUGUAAGAAGGAGAUCAAUUAACAAAGUACUUUAAAUAAGAUGUGAUGAGUAAAAAUUGCUGGCUAUAAAAGUGGUUAUGCAAUUCUGAGGCGGUAUUAUCUCUAAUCUCUAAUAUGUGUGUUUAAUCUCUAAUAUAUAGUAUACAACAACAACAAACCCAGUAUAUUCCCACAUAGUGGGGUUUAGGGAGGGUAGAAUGUACGCAAUACAUACCACUACCUCUAAAGAAGUAGAGAGGCUGUUUCCGAUAGACCCCCGACUUAAGACAAAGGACAAUAUACUGGAACAUCAAAAGCAUGAAACAUGAUAAAAAUAACAUAGGUACGACAUCCACAAAAACCUUGUAUAUUACCAAACAAAGGACACCAACGCCCUCCUAACUACUAACUAUGAUACAACCACACACCUUAGCCCUCUAUCCUAGUGUUUUUCAUCCACUAAUCUAUAUACAUAUAUAAUCUCUAAUCUAAAAGUGGAAAGAGCCUUAGAAAAGUGAUUCGAACUUUUUGUCCAUUAAAAGUUUCUCCUUUAGACAAAAUAUUUUUUCACUAUUUUUCUCAAUUAUUGUCAAUAAGACUCUGAAAUUAAUUAAAGUUCUUAUUUAAGUUAGGAAAGAAAUCAUAAUAUUUAAUAGUUCUAAAUCAAUUAAAAUUUUACCUUACAUAUAAUUUGUUAAAUUAAAUAAAUGUAAAGAAUAUUUUGAAUUAAAAAAGGAUACCAAAAAAAGAAAAAAAAACUACACCUAAAAAUAAAAAAUACCACAAGGGAUAAUUUAUUAAAUCAAAUAAAUACAAAUUUAAAUCGACAAAGGAAAUUAAAAAUAUCGGGAGAAAGAAAAUAAAAUUAAACCUAACGUUACUUUUAAAUUGAGAAUCCUUCUUUUCUACAAUAAUACGUCCACAAUGUAGUUCUCAAAUUAGAUUUUUCUUUGCUAUCGUUGUUCACAAAUUUACUUAUGAUUUGAGGUAAACUUUCUAAAAUUUUAGUUCUUGAUGUUUACAGUCUUGAUACUAUCCGUGAAUAAAAAAAUAAAUUUGCUUCUAAUUUUAUGUAAGUUUUCUAAAAUUUUAGUAUAUUCUUGAAGUUUAUAAUAAUAAAUUAUCACGUAUUCAUGAUAGACAAUUGUUGAAUAAGAAAUUUUUAGUGAAAUAAUCACAGUAUUUACGAUUGCAGAGAUAAUUUUUUUUAUGAUUUGAUAUAAGUUUUCUAAAAUUUUAGUACGUUUAAAAAAAUAAAUUAUCAUAUAUAUUUUUUUAUAGACAAUUACUAAUUAAGAUAUCAAAGUAAUUUUAUAAAACUGAACUCUUUGAAGUAAGGUACACGCACGAGGCGCGUAUGAUCUGACUAGUGUAUAUAUAUAUAUAUAUAUAACUUAUGAUAUAUUAUUUAUAUAAUUUUGGUUUUUCGGUUGAUCCGAUUUUAUUUUUUUUGAAAAUCCGAAAACCAAACUUUUAAACCAAAUUUCUAAAAUUUGAAAUCAAAACCAAUCCGAAAAAUCUAAAGCCAAACCAAAAUUAAAUUUUGGGUCGAUUUUUUGGUUUUUUCGAUUCAAACCAAAAUAUGCCUAGCCCUAGAUUUGACAGAUUCUUUUCCAAAUGCCUUUGUGGGUCCACGAAUCACUAUCAAACUUUUUUUUUUCUAUAAUCCUCAUUUAGGAAAAAAAUGUGUUGCACAUGAAAAAUAAUUCAAAAAAAAAAAAUGACAAAUAAUUCAAAAUUUAUAAUUGUCAUAGUUGGUGACUUUAAUCUCCUAGUUAAUUGACGAUGUUAUAUGAGGGUUUGGGCCACAGAUGACAAAAGAGUUCUAAAAUGAGGUGUAGGUGAUACAAGUCUUAAUUAUUAGUUGGAGGUGACAAUUACUUUAUUAUGUAUUAAGAAAGUUGGGGAAGUUUUAAAAUAACCCACAAGUUUUUAAAUUUACACUUUGAUCCCAAUGUAUACCUAAGAUCAUGGAAAACGGAGGGAAAAAAAGGUGUCUUUCUCUCUCUUCUCAUCCAUUGUUGUUUUCUCUCUCUUAGCGAUUUUUGUUGUUAAUUAUUUCUGUUUCUGCUGCUUUAUUCAUCAUCUUCUGCUUCAUCUUCUUCUUGUUGGCCAUUUGUUGUUGUUGUUGUUGUUGGUACAGCGUUACUGCUGCGUUCUGACCAAUUUCUUUGGUCAAAUUUUGUUUACUACAUCACUUUCCACUUUGGCAUUACUUCAUAGGUUACUUUGGUAAGUAAAAUUAUGAUUUUUAUUCGUAUUUGUCAUUUGGGUACACUUCUGUUUUCCCAACAAUGGGUGAUUAUGAAUCCAACACAAGUGCCCACAAUUUAAACAGAUCAAUCAUUUGGUGCAUCAGAUGAGUAAUCUGUUGUAUCAGACUAUUUAUCUGUUACAUCAUCAUAUUAUCUGUUGCACCAAACUAAUUAUCUGUUGUAUCAGGAUAUUUAUCUAUUACACCAGACUAAUUAUCUGUUACAUCAGAAUGUUUAUCUAUUGCACCAGACUAAUUAUCUGAUACAAGGAAUGAUUAAUCUAUUUGAAACAACACAAAUCAACCCCUGCCACAAACCCAAUAGAUAAAUCUUGCUAUUGCUACUAGAUUCUAAAUUAUUCCUUUUUAUGUUCUUAUUAUUAUUAUUAUUAUUAUGAUUAUUAUUAUUAUUAUUAUUAUUAUUAUUAUUAUUAUUAUCAGCAUCAUCAUUGUCAGCCGGUCAAUCUUCAUCUGAAAGUAGCAAGGCCCUCCUCAGCCUGCGUAACUCGCGGAGCAUUCUUGAUCUAACUCCUCCCAAUUUCCAUUGCAAAUCACGAAGUUGAUUUUGAAGUUCAUUCACGGCGUCUUGCAGAAAAGCAAUGUCCCACACUGGGUCAGCCAUAAUCUUAUCUUCAAGAGUGUAAUAUAAAAGACGAGAUGCAAUAAAUAAAUAGAGUGUGUAUUUGAAUGAACGAUUUAGUAAGGACGGACCUAUUUAUAGAGGAUUGAAUUUGAAUGAGAGGCAAAAAGGCGCGACUAUUCACCUCCAUACAUUAAUUAAAUUUUUGAUUAAAUUAAGAAAAUAAAUAUUGUGAUAUAAGUCAUGACUUUUCAGAUUAUUAUUAUUAAUUAGUCUUUCGAAGAAUCAUUUUUAUUGAGUUGUGGCAACAGAUUCUAUAUCUGUUGCAUCAAAUAACACAUCUGUGACAACAGAUAUAUUAUCUGUUGCAACAAAUAUAAAAUAUGUUGCAUCGAAUAACAUAUCUGUUGCAACAUAUAAUCUAACUGUUCACCUUCAUUUAUUAAUUAUAUUUUUUAUUAAUGUGAAAAGUAAUGAAUUAAUUAAAUUAAGAAAUAUUGAGAUAAGUCAUGGCUUUUCAGAUUAUUAUUAUUAUUAAUUAGUUCUUUCCAAGAACUGCUUUUAUUGAGUUGUGACUCGAUAUAGCUUGCAUCAAAUAAAUCAUCUAUGACAACAGAUACAUUAUCUGUUGCAACCAUAGUGAACCUGUUGCAUCAAAUAAUUUAACUGUUGCAACAUAUAAUCUACAUUUUUUAAAAAAAAAAUAAUAUCAUCAUAUCAUUAAUCCAAAUUUUCUUACUUUUUAUUUUAUAAAUAAAAAAAAUAUCUUUUCAAAUUCCUUAAUAAAAUAAUAUUUUUUUUUUUAAAAUAACUAUAUCAUCAUAUCAUUAAUCCAAAUUUGCUUACUUUUUUAUUUUAUAAAUUAAAAAAAUACCUUUUCAAAUUCCUUAAUAAAAUAAUAAUCAUUUUAUUAUAUAAUAAAUAAUUUUAAAAAUAAAUUUAAAAAUAAAAAUGCUGAAAAGUCACGAUCAGUUAUUAAAAUUGUGGUUAUAAAUUGUGUUUAUUAUUUAUUUCCUUAUUAUUUAUUUACAAAAUAUUUUUCAUAUUGAUUAAUCGAAACUCCGAGUCAUGUCUUUCUCUUUUCACCCUCUCAAUAACAAAAAUAGCCCCUUUUUUUAUUAAUAACCGCCAGGUGCAACAUAUGAUCGAUCUAUCGUAGCAGAUUAACCUCUAACUGUUGACACAAAUUGCUGAUCCCUACCACCAACCGUCGACAUGUUGAGAACAAGGAAUAAACAGAAUGAUUAUUAUUAAAUACUAAAUAAGAAUUAAAAAUUCAAAGUUGACAACAAAAUGAAAUGAAUGUUCAUAGAUUUUUGAAUCCCUUGGGUAGAUUUGAUAUACAAAAGGAGGAAAAUAAUCGCAAAAAUAAAAAAUAUUACCUAAUUAUUAUUACUACUAUUAUUAAUAUUGUCAAUCAGACAUCUUUCUUUCAUCCGGCAGCCUUUCUCCGAAGUCAGCCAAAUAUCUCUCUGGAGUUCAUCAAUCAAACUGCCUUUGAAGUUCACGCAAAGACUCGAUGUGAAUAUUCUUGUACGAAUCUGAAUCAUCCAUAUUUGUAAGGAAGGACCUAUUUAUAAAUUAUUGUAUCUCUAAAAGAAAAGAAAAUUGCUUUAAAAUAAUCUAAUAGAUGGGUAAUUUGUUAUAAAAUAUAUUCUUUCAAUUAGAUAACUUACAACAUACUGGCAAUCUUUUUGCAACAGAUGUAUAUAUCUGUUUCAUUUCUGCAACAGGUUGAUCACUGUCGUAACAGAUGUCUCUAAUUGAUUGACAAUAUAAAUAGAUGUGUCAUCUGUUGCAACAAGCUAGUCAUCUAUUUAUUCAAUUUAAGCCAAUAAGGUGCGUGCAAAUAGAUCCACUAUCAUAUGUGUGGGAGUUAAGUAUGUAUUACUGAUAAGGUUACUGGGAUAACACACACAAAGUACAAUGUUUUUGUGAAUGCAGUUUUUAAUCGAUUCGGCAUUGAUCAUUCAAACAAGAUCCUGCAUUGUACCGUUAAGUUUGAUGGGUUCGAAAUUGAUAAGGCUGAGGACCUCAUAAAGAUAGUGCAGAUACCCUAUUACGAAUUACUGAUGGUUGGUGCUCGUGUUUAUGCGUGUCAAGUUUUGAGAAGGGAUCAAUAUUUGUCGUCACUGCAGAGAACCAAUAGCGAUUGGACUUAACUUUAAGUGUGCAUUGGACCCUUAGAGGGCCCUCAAAGCCUCGCACUGCAUCAAACAAGAAUGGAAAACCAAUAUAGUUAUUGCCUUGGCCAAAAUUUAUAUAGUUGGGUUGCUCGCUCGGGUUGAUGAUUAUAUACCAGAAAGUACAGUAGGAGAAUGCUUUCGAGGGAAAAUGGGUUGUUGAUGGAAGACUAUAUUAUCUAAGAGCUAAUUGAAGAAGAGACACAGGGUAGAAAGUAACUUCUAACGAAUCUGGCCGAUGGAAUUAUCUUAACAAAUGCAAAAUCUAAAUCAAGUGCAAAUAUAAAAGUGUAUCCGGUAAUGUAAUUUCAUCUGUUGUGUCUCUGAAAGAAAAACAAUGCAGAUGGACACUUUUCUAGAGAGCUGCAUGGUCGGGAUUAUCACCUAGGUAGAAAAUAGGAGAAGAUCAAUAAAGCAGCCUCACGGGCAUCGAAGGUAGAAAUGAUGUUUAGCAAGUCUAGAAAACUUACGCCAACAACAACUACAGUGAAAAUAAGGAAACUAAGCGAUGAUGGCAAUUUUUGAAUUUUAAAUUUCAUCUUAUCUUCUUGUUUGUGUUUCCAAUUAGGUCCACUGCCGUUGACCUGAUCGAAACCACACACGAAAUUGAAAGGCAAAUAGAGUAUCAUUUAUUCCUUAGCAAUAUGGUUAUAAUUGAUUGUGUUUUCUUGCCUUGACAUGCUUUCAGCAUUCCUUGGAGAAGAUCAGAUGCUUGCUGUAAUAUGUGAAUCCUGAUAAUUUUCAAGAUUGCCUCCAGCUUGUUGAUUCUGUAUUCAAGCUGGUCAUUACCGUCUUCGAAGUUGGUAAGGAGUUUCUUGUCUCUUGUGAGCUCAAUCAAGAACACUACCUUCAAAGUUGUGGCAUUCUAGAAGCCCUUCAGAACACUUUCUCUUCAAAAGCUUUAAAGGAUACACGGAGGGUCGCUGUGUUUGUUUUAGGUCAAAAUGUGUUGAUACACGUUGAAGAUGUGGUCCCAACAGUUGAACAAAAGACUUUUAUCGAGUGUUGAUCCAUGCAUCUUUCUCAACCAAUUUGAUAAAUUAGUAAGCAUGGAGUUAUGUAGCAUGUGAUUUAAACCGGCUCUACCAAGCCUAUCAAACGUUACGUAACUCGAAGCUCAUUAUCCUAUCAAAACAAUAUGCCCGAGUUAGUGCACAUAGAAAAAAAACCUAAUCUGUCAGCCUUUCUGCUUAUCACUGUUCUCCAAUAUAGAUGACAAGAUAUCUGCUAUGCAAAAGUCUACACCAUCGCCAGACAUGAUUGCCUGGGAACAUGUCUGGUGAUAGUGUAGACUUUUGCAUAAUAGAUAUCUUGUCAUCUAUAUUGGAGAAGAGCAAUCAGCAGAAAGGCUGAGAGAUUGAGCUCGUUCGAUUUGUGCACUAACUCGGUCAUAUUUUUUUGAUAGAGUAAUGAACUUAGAGUUACGUAACAUUUGAUAGGCUUGGUAGAGCCAUUUUAGAUCACACGUUGCGUAACUCCAUGCUUACUAAUUUAUCAAAUUGGUUGAGCAAGAUGCAUGGAGCAACGCUAGAUAAAAAUGUUUUGUUCAACUUUUGAGACCAGAUCUUUAACGUGCAUCAAGAUNNNNNNNNNNNNNNNNNNNNNNNNNNNNNNNNNNNNNNNNNNNNNNNNNNNNNNNNNNNNNNNNNNNNNNNNNNNNNNNNNNNNNNNNNNNNNNNNNNNNNNNNNNNNNNNNNNNNNNNNNNNNNNNNNNNGGAUUCACAUACUACAGCAAGCAUCUGAUCUUCUCCAAGAAAUGUUGAAAGCAUGUCAAGGCAAGAAAACACAAUCAAUUAUAACCAUAUUACUAAGGAAGCAAUGAUACUCUAUUUUCCUUUCAAUCUCGUUUGUGGUUCCGAUCAGGUCAACGACAGUGGACUGAUCGAAAAAAUAUACAAGAAGGCAUGGGAUGAAAUUUAAAAUUCAGAAAUUUGUCGCCUUUGCUUAGAUUCCUUAUUUUAACAGCAGUUGCUGGUGGCAUAAGUUUUCUAGACUUGUUGUACAUCAUUUCUACCCUCGAUGCCCGUGAGGCUUCUUUGUUGGUCUUCUCUUAUUUAUUAUCUAGGUGAUAAUACCGACCACGUAGCUCCCUAGAAAAGUGUCCAUCUGCAUUGUUUUUCUUUCAGAGACACAAUAGAUGAAAUUAUAUUACCGGAUACACUUUCAUAUUUGCACUUGAUUCAGAUCUCGCAUCUGUUAAGAUAAUUCCACUGGCCAGAUUUGUUAGAAGUUACUUUCUACCCUAUGUAUCUUCUUCAAUUAGCUCUCAGAUGAUAUAGUCUUCCAUCAACCACCCAUUUUCCUUUGAAAGCAUUCUCCUACCACACAUUCUGACAUAAAAUAUCACCCCGAGCGAGCAAUCUAGCCAUAUAAAUUUUGGCCAGGGCAAUAAAUAUAUUGGUUUUCCGUUUUUAUUAGAUGCAGUGCUAAGCUUCGAAGGCCCUCUAAGGGUCCAAUGUACCCUAAAAGUUAGUCCAAUCGCUAUUGAAUCUCUUUAUAAUGACACAAAAAUUAGAUCCCUUCACAAUGCUUGACAAAUAAACAGGAGCAACAACCGAUAUUAAAUCUUAACAGGCUAUCAGAACCAUAUUCAUGGUCCCUCGGCCUUAUCAGUUUAGACCUACCAAACUUAACUGUAAAAUUGCAGACAUCUUAUUUGAACGAUCUAUGACUAAUCUGUAAAAACAUCAUUCAUAAAAUCAGUGCACUCCAUGUGUGUUUCCACGAUAACAUUAUUAUUCACAUAUGAAGUGGUUCCAUCUACAAGAAGCUUAUUCCUCCGAUCCCAUCUUUACUGUAGCCUCUUGAGAUAGUCCAUCAAAAGUCGAUCAACUGUCAGUUACUUAUAUCUACAAAGAAGAGGAAAAAUUGAUGUCACAAAAAGAACAUUGUCCAUCUGUUGCAUCAGAUAUGGAGUCUGUUACAACAGAUAUGGAGUCUGUUGCAAUAGAUGUGGAGUCUGUUGCAACAGAUGUGGAGUCUAUUGUAACAAAUAUGGAGUCUGAUGGAAUACAUCAAACCAGCCUUUCUGGUUGUUUUAUUUGUUCCAAUUUUAAACUUCUCCCAACAGAUGACUUGUUUCUCAUAUUGUAAUAAAAAUUCUCGAAUUGUUUAUUCAACACUUACAAGUUCCUUAAAAAAAAUUUAAUAAAUAUGAUAUGGGUAAAUAGUAAUUAAAUAAAAAAAAUAGAUGUAAAUAACAUGCAAAGAAGAAGAAAAGAAUGAAAGAGCAAUAAUGAACCAUACCUUAUAUCAAAAAGAGGAUCAAAAUAGAAAUUUAAGUUGAGAAAAGAUAUGGAUGGGUUUAGAUCCGAAAAGAUCUUUAUGAGAAGAGAAGAGAAAAGAGAAAAAAAAGGUUGUGACCCUAAAGAAGAGAGAGAAAAAGAUGAGAGUUGAAUAAAAUAAACUGCAGCUGAAGGAAGAGAUGAGAUAAUUUCUAUAGUUGUAUUGUGUACGUAGACGUGGUGGUUUUCAAUAUUCACUAAUUUCAUUAAUAAUUUGAGGGGCACGAGGAAUACUAAGACUACUGACAUUGAAAAGACAAGACAAGACUGCUUAAUGAACUCACUGUUGAGAUAUCUAAGAAAUAUUUUUUACCGCCUUCAAUAGUAAGUACUACUACUUGAUAUUAUCUACUCAGACUAGAAGCUUCUUGCUUUAAAAUUAAAAGAGAUAAAAAGAUUUUUAAACAGAUAUGUCAUCUGUUGCAAUAUAUAUAAAUAUCUGUUUAGAAAUUUGAACAACUCAGACAUCUGUUACAACAGAUAUAAAUAUUUAGUUAAAAAUCCUAAAAGCUCAGUCAUCUGUGCCAACAAAUGAAAAUGUUCAUUUGAUAAUUUAUAAAAUAAGAUAUAUCAUCUGUUACAACAGAUAUAAAUAUUUUUUAAAAAAUUGCCAACAGCUCAGUCAUUUGUCACAACAGAUGCAAAUAUCUAUAUGAUAAUUAAAUCAGAUAUGUCAUCUGUUGUAACAUAUAUGUACCUAUUUGAUAAUUUUCAACAGCUUAGUCGUUUGUUGCAACAGAUUUUAUAGCAAUUGAUUUAGGUGGAACUAGGGAUAAAUGAGUGAUCUCAUAGGGUCAACUACAAAUCUAAUCGAGUCUUUGCAAUUGCAUGGUACUAGUAUUGCGUUCAUUCCAACUUGAGUCGUCGAUCGAUCACUCUGAGUUGAAAUGAGUUCUCAUCAACUCAAUGUUAAGAUAGUGAUAGUAUCUAAGUUGAUUUAGGUGGAACUAGGGAUGAAUAAGUGAGAUCAAAGGGUCAACUACAAAUCCAAUCGAGUCUUCACAAUUGCAUGGCAUAGGUAUUGCGUUCAUCCCGACCCGAGUCGUCGAUCGAUCACUCUGAGUUGAAAUGAGUUCUUAUCAACUCAAUGUUAGGAUAGUGAUAGUACCUAAGUUGAUGUAGGUGGAACUAGGUAUGAAUGAAUGAGCUCGCAGGUUCAACUACAAAUCUAAUUGAGUCUUUGCAAUUGCAUGGCAUUGGUAUUGCGUUUAUCUCAAUCCGAGUCAUCGAUCGAUCACUCUGAGUUGAAAUGAGUUCUCAUCAACUCAAUGUUAGGAUAGUGAUAGUACCUAAGUUGAUUUAGGUAGAACUAGGGAUUAAUGAAUGAGCUCGUAGGGUCAACUAUAAAUCCAAUCGAGUCUUUGCAAUUGCAUGGCGCUGGUAUUGCGUUCAUCCCGACCCGAGUCAUCGAUCGAUCACUCUGAGUAGAAAUAAUUUCUCAUCAACUCAAUGUUUUUAAAACUAUAUCUUUUAAAAUUUUUAAAAUUAAUUAAGAUCAAUUCGGACCAAAUUAGCAAUUUUAAAACUUGUCAUUCUUUUCCAAAAUUACAAAUCAGCACAUACAAAUCAUCCAUUUGCGCGAAAAACUUUUCAUUUUAAAUCUUAAGUUCUCUCUCUUCUCUCUCUCUUUCUCUCUGGGUGUCCUUUUCCUCUGAAUAAUACAAAUAAUACAAAUAACAACUACUCAACAUAUUGCUUAACCCUUCAAAACAGGUUGAUUUUCUUNNNNNNNNNNNNNNNNNNNNNNNNNNNNNNNNNNNNNNNNNNNNNNNNNNNNNNNNNNNNNNNNNNNNNNNNNNNNNNNNNNNNNNNNNNNNNNNNNNNNNNNNNNNNNNNNNNNNNNNNNNNNNNNNNNNNNNNNNNNNNNNNNNNNNNNNNNNNNNNNNNNNNNNNNNNNNNNNNNGACUUUUAGUUGUAUUAUCUUUGAGAAUGGGUUAACAAUUUUGAGUUUUGAUGCUAAAAAAGUAGGAAGCACCCGAGAAAACCCUAGUUUUUCUCUCAGUAUUUAGUUGACUAUCGUGGUAUUGUUGGAUAGUGUUUGUGGUAUUGUUGGUGGUUGUUGUUGGUGGUAUCGGUAUUUGUGUUUUUUGGGGGUGGUAUCGGUGGUCUUGAUGUUGGUAUUGGUGGCAUUGGUGGUGGUCUUGGUGGCAUUGGUUGUGGUUGUGGUGGUCCAUCUAUUGCAACGGGUGGAAGAUCUGUUGGGAGAUAUUAAAUAGGUAUUCAAACAAAUUCCCCAUCUGUUUCGACUGAUGGGUUAUCUGGUGGAGUAUUUUCUUGUAAUGUGGCAGAGAAUAAUUUAUUGAAAUUUCUCCACCUGUUGCAACAGGUGGAAUAUCUGUGGGGAGAUAUUAAAUAGGUCUUCAAACAGAUUUGGGUUCGCCAUCUGUUCCAACUGAUGGGUUGUCCGUUGGAGUAUUUUUUUUGGUUAUGUGGUAAGAAUAAUUUAUUGAACUUUGUCUCACCUUUUUUAAAAAAAUUAUGCAGACGUCAAAUGCAAUGUAUUUUUUGUUUUUCUUUUAUUUGUAGUUAAAAGAUGUCUCCCAAAAGAAAAGAAAUAGAAAGUGGAUAAAGUGGAUCAACUUCCGAUCACCAAACAAAAAAGGCUAGAGUAUAGAUAGAUUCGGAGGAACUUCCAAAACAAUUUCAUUCAGGGAAAAAAAAAGCUGAGGAAAGUGAUAACUCCUUCUCACCAAAGGGGCGUGAAAUAAUAUUGAAAUUCCAGCAUGAUUCUGUCAAAACCAUUAGUAUUGAAAAGUUUUGAGUUGCGAUGUCGAUGAAUAACCCUAAUGCAGUAUUUUGGCGAUCUUAUACUUAAAUGUCAGUUAGGGAAAACUUUUAACGAACUUAGGAGUAUUAUGAAGAAGGAAAACAUAGAUGGACUUUUUAAGAAGAGCUGCUUUGCACACUUUCUUGAGCUUUCUGGGGCCCGCCCUCUCUGUUUCCCAAUGAUCAUGGUAUAUAGCCUUCUCAAGCACAGGAUUAUGUAUGCAGGGGAUGAUGGAGGUCCGAAGGAGGGCGUAAAUAAGAUGGAUGAAGUCUGGAUCAACUACUGUGGCAUGUUGGUUUAUUUUGGAUUGAAAGAGUUUGCCAUUGUGACGGGCUUGAGAUGCGAUCGUCCAGAAGAACCUGCCAUCAAGAAAACACCCCACAAAGGGUCCAACAAACGCAAGGUAAAAAAAUAUGGGUUAUUGGGCAUUGUUGGACCUAGCUACAAAGUGAAGGAUUUGAUAGCGGAUCUCAAGAAUAAAGACAUACCAAAGCACUACAGGGAAAAAUUGUGCUUAGUUUGGUUUGUCCAUUCUGUUUUAUUGGCAAGAGACGUCAAGAAAAUCAUAGAACGUGAUUUGUUGGCGCUUGCUGAUGAUUUUAGGAGAUUCAACAAUUAUCCCUGGGGCUACGACAACCACUACUUGACUGUCAAAUAUUUACUGAAAGAGCUAAAACCAAAGACGACCACAUUAUACGGCUUUUCUUAGGAUUUUAUGGUAAAAUUAUCACUAUUUUUACUCAUUCAUUAAUUUAUAUUGAAUAUACAUGUGACUUUUUUUUGCUUGCUUUCUAUUUAUAAUUUUUAGGCUUGGGCAUGUAAAGCCAUUACUCCCCUCUGAAAGCAUUUCACGGAUUACCCGGAUAAGGUUUCUCAUCUAAGGAUCCUAAGGUGGUUGGCUGCAGUAGAGAGAAACAAAAAAAAUAUUAACGAGGCUGAUCUCUUUAACCCUUUGGAUGAUGCAUACGUCUUCUUUCAAUUAAAAUAAUUUGCCUCAAAGAAAGAUAUUAAAACAGAUGUUCCAUCUGUCAUAAGAGAUUAUCCGUCAACUGCAACUGGUGCAAUGGGUAAUCUGUUGCAACAGUCAAUCCAUAUUUCGCAAUAGAUUAACCAUAUAUUGCUCUGUUCUCUGAACCCUAUCCAUCUACUGUAAAUUAUGCAACAGAUGGGUAUUCUGAUGCAACAUAUUAUCAAUCUAUUUUAAUAUACAGAUCAGCUGUUGCGGUAGCUCGAUCGUCUGUUGCAUAAGUUGGCUAUGUUAACAUAACCCGAGCCUCGUGUAACCCAACUGACUGCAAAUUAUUAUUAUAUGAUUUAAAUUCCUCCUAUCAUUUUUUGUAGGUUGUGCAUCCUUGGAUCGUGCUUACCAUUGAUGAGCUGGGGAUGACUUCUUUUCUUACUCUAGGUCUUGUUGAUACAAAAGAAAACCCAACGGUGCAUUUAAUAAAGAAGGAAUUGGAUAGAGCAACAUCCAUAAGAAGAGCAGUUAGGCAAGGUCAGUCUAAUGUUGAAGCUCUUCACGACCUAACUCAAACUGCAAUAGAUCCGGGUUCUUCUCCUGGGGGUGUUGCUGGUGGAGUUGUUUGUGCUGGUGGCAGCCAACCUGCUUCUGCUUCUGCUGCCAGUCGUGAUUAUGAGCAUGUUGGUGCUCAGCAAAAAAUAAAUAUAUUUGAAAACACCCCUUGCACAGGUCCUUCCUCUCACCCCUACACCAGUUUCUCCCACCCUUACAGUGGUCCCUCUCACCUCUCCCUACCCUUAUGUUCUCAUUGUAAAUGCAAAGUGUGCAAGGACAGAGAGGAUAAACUCUUUGACAAGCUAGAGGCUAUUACUGAAGCUACCAAGGAGUUGAAAUGCAGGAGGGGUAUCAUACCAUCCAAUGAGGUGAGGGAGCUAUGCACUGCUACAAUGGAGGUUAGGAGGAAGAGAAUAAAAAUUAGACAAAUUCUCUUCGUUCUGAAAUCAGCAAAAAAUGCAACUCCCCCCGCUCCAAUAGUUGUUGUAGUUCAGGGGCCGCCGAAGAAGGUGGACAUAUUUACGGUGCUUGGCAAGGAGAAGAAGAAGGAACUAGAAGAAUUCAUCAAUAUAAAAGUUCAAAAAGAAUACACCACCAAAGACUUCUCGAAUAUGACAAAUAUGUGUAUAUGGUACAAGGACAAGGUAAGUUUACUUUUGCUAACCUACCCUUCCAAUCUACUCCAUGAAGAAGAAUCUACGCAACAAAUGUGUAAUUUGUUGCAACAGCUUGGUAUUCUAUUGCAACAUAAUACACAUCGGUUGCAUAAGUUGCGUUGGCUGGGUAAUCUGUGAACUGAUUCAGUGAACCCUCGGCAUCGGAUUCUUUCCACUGUAUUUUUAUUCUUUACAAUUACUAACCUAUUUAAAACUUAUCUUCUUAUACCACAGUAUGUUGAUGAAAUUCUCUGCCUCAUGAGGGGCAGGCAAUUAGCGUACCCAGAUGCUUAUGAUGCUUCUGAUAGGAUAAUGGACCUCAACUUCUACAAUAAUUUCAAAGAUAGGUACACUGAUCUUCGUAAUCUAGCUGAAUUUGGUGGCCUGGUAUUUGAUUAGUUAUUUUCUACGUUCCAAUGGGAUGAAGAAACGAUUAAAUAUGUUAGAGGGAAGAGGCCAUAUCCACACGGUAAGAGCUGGACCAAGGCAAAGAAAAUCCUUACCGUCAUGAAUGUGGAUGUCACCCAUUUUCUCACUGUUGAGAUACUACUAUACGAGGGAAAGAUGACACCGUUGUGGGAAAGAUGCAAUGGGUCUGGGAAUAUGGGGUACUAACUAAAUGGUUGGAGCUCGUGUAUAAGAAAGAACAUGUACAAAGACAGAGACGAACACGAUAACAAAUUUUUAUUUCAAGCCAAUUCACUAUACAUAUAGGGGAAAUAAUUUUUAUGUCUGGCAAAGUUGAAUUUUUAUAAUGCAACAAAUUUUAUACCUGUCGUAACAGAUAUAGUACCUGUUAUGACAGAUUGAUUAUCUAUUGGAAUAGGUUGGUCAUCUGUUGCGUUAUGCAGAUGUUCCCCAUCUGCUUGUCGCAAUAGAUUUACGAUCUAUUGCAACAUAUAACUUAUCUGUUGUAACUGAUCAGUAAUCUGUUGGAGCAAAUGAAAAAAGUAGGAAUACCUGUUAUAUAAUUUCCAGCAGAUGACCUACGUGUUGCAUCUCAUUUUGCAACAUAUGUCUAAAUCUGUCUGAUAAGAUAUGUCAUCUAUUGCAGCAGAUGUAUUAUCUAUUGCGAUAUUUGAAUCUAGUACUCAUUUUUAAUUAACAAGUUCAAAAAUCAGAAUUAAUUAUAUUCAUAGAUAGAAUAAAAUAAAUCGAAGCCUUCAGAAAUUACAUGAAAUAAAAUAACUCAACAAAUAAAUGAAAUGUAAAAAAAUCAUUAUGAAUACAAACGAUCUACUCUACAAAUAAAUCAACAAGUUAAACCAACGAGGAUAGGUUAUUACAUUGACGGACUCGAGCUAUAAAGAUCUAAUCAAUAUGGACAAGUUGUUCUUCAUCCAGUGCUAUGGAAUUCGGCUUUGGUCGUCGUGGAUCUUUAACGUCGGUUGCGUACGGCUUCUGAGCUUUCGCUUCUCCAUAUUUCCAUAAAAGAGUAGCAUAUCUUUUGUAGAGUAAUCCGGCAUCAAGUCCAUCAUUUGGUACUUGUAAUCCAUCACUCAAAUAGUCGGCAUAGGCGGCAACAAAAGGACCGCAAUCCCUACGUUAUAAAAAAAUAGAUAAUCCAUAUCUUGCAGUUCAUGCAAGCGUUGUGAAAUUCGUGAAAUAAAACUAAAUCAUGACACCUAAACUUACAGGCUACCAAUGGUUUGUUGAGCAAUUCCGUUAACAUAUUGUACAUCAAAUGGAUUAGCCAUUUUAUUCUGGUAUGCUUUAAUUGUCGACCAAUCAGUACAAACCUUUUGAUCCAAAAAGCCACUCAUAUCAAGGUAAGUAGGCAAUAUUUUGGCCAACUUUUGUAUCUCAGUGGCCCGAAAUGUCUCCUUCGCGACAUCGAGUCAUAAACUCGAAUACACCUCUCUUUUAGAACGACGACAGCCAACACCCAAUGGAAUUCAUCACCACAAUUGAUUGGGAUGUACACUUCAUUGAUCAGCCAAGGUAAGCCAGUCGGAAUGCUAAAACCUUUGAUGAUGUUGAUUAAGCAUUCCUCAUUUCGGGAAACUUUCGGCUGUUAUUGACAAUAUCGAUCGUAGGCAUUAUUGAUGUAAACUUUGUACAAAUAAUUGGAUGUUGUGUAUCUAUAUUGUUCUUGUAUUUGCAACUUGGCCUUCUUUUAGAGGUAGUAAAAAAUGACAUCGAUAUGUUGCACAUAUUAUCAAACAUUCCAAAUUAUGUGAUAAAAAAUCAAUACGUAGAUGUAAUUAAUUAAUAGUAAUAUGUAUGGCCUCUAAACCUCAUCAUUCCAGCAAGUUUGGGGCUGUGACAUCAAAUAAAACCAAUUCUUCGUUCCGAGAUGUGCAACAACAAAGUCGAACAUAUCAAAACCAAAACUCGAUUUGUUCACUUUGUAACGCUCGUCAUUUUGUUUUCUACAUGAUGAUUUAUAUGUGUUAAUGUCAGGUUCUUACAACAAGAAUUGUAUAAACCAAUAUCCAUAAAAUUGAUUUAUGUACCUGCCGGCAUGAUGCUUUAACAGCCCAUCGGCAAUCCAUUCUGAAUAGUCGUUGAUCAACUGUAUUAGUUUUUUUGGAGCCUCAUCCGAGAUGUUGAACCCUUUAAAUAGGUAAUUCUUCUGUUCUCCCAAACUGACAGGCUCCACUUUUUCUUCAUCUUUGGAAGCAGUUGAUGGAUUAUUAAUUUUCAUAUUAUGUUCGUCGGCAGUAGCUGUGACAUCCACCUGGAAAGCCAAAAUUGUCAAUGCUAAGUAGAGAUAUACAACAAAUUUUCCAUUUGUUGCAACAGAUGAUUCUUAUGUUGCAUCAGAUGGAUUAUUUGUUGGGAUAAAUUCGAAUAGGUAAAUCAAAGCAAUAUGAUAAUUACGAAUAGAUGACCCAUCUAUUGCAACAUAAGACUCAUUUGUUGAAACAGAUAACGAAUCUGAUGCAACAGGUUAGACAACAGUUACAACAGAUGUAUAUAUCUGUUUGAUAAUUUUCAACAGAUGUAUCAUCUGUUGAAACAGAUAUGUGCUUGUUUGUUUUUUGGAAUAGAUGAUGUACAUUCACCUUCUUCAGCUCAUACUGCUCUUCUGUGGCCCUUACAUACUGAACAUCGGUGCAAGACAAAGACAGAGGCAUUGCAAUCUUGCUUUUUUUUUAUGAUUAAUAAUUCCUUGGAAGUGUCUUCUCCUCUUAGCCGCCUUGAUCUCUAGUGGAGUGUCUAGAUAUGAAAUCCUCUUUGAUGGAAUGACACCCCUCUUAGAUGUCAUUUCCUUUACAGAAGUAGUUAGUGCAUUAAUAGCAUUAAUCACUCUAUCGUGUUUCGCCUUGCAGUCUUGACAUUUUCAUGAAGAACAUUCGCUAGAUGCAGGAAAAUCUAGAGAAAAAUCUAUACAACCAUUAUUAUCAUAAUCAUAAUGGCUUGUUGUUUCAAAAACUGUAAGAGGAGCAUCAUUAGCCCCACCCUCCAAAAUUGUUUUUCUUGUGAUGGCUGUUGCUCCAAAAAAUUUCAUUUUUAUUCCAUCAACGACCUUAGGGUCCGAUAAAGUUUGCACAGAUCGUAAAGUAAGAAAAAAUAGAAUCUUCAACUCUUGGUUGGUCAGAACAAGCCACGGAUGGACAAUCUAAAAUAAAUCGGUACAUAUAUUAAGAAUAAUGAUGAAAUCAUUCAAUCAUUAAUUAAAACAAAAAAUUGAUUAGAAUUGGACUUACUGCUUCCUUGGGGGGAUUGAAAAGAUCAAGAAAUUUUGUACUUUUAUCGGUUUUGGUCGACAACCAUCUCAGAAUUCUUGGAUAGGAAACUUCUUCCUGGUAGUUCACUUGUUGUCUCAAAUAAGGAAUGGCUUCAAAUGCCCAAGCCUAUAACAUAAUUCCAAUAAAUUAAAAGCAUUAUUGAAUAAAAAAUGAUGAAUCAUAUCAUGAUAAAAGAAAUAUUUACCAUGAAGGCCCACGAAAAACCAUAUAAGUUGACUGUUUUUGGCGUUAACGGAGUCAACAAAUAUUCAACAGUCAUUUUAAAGCUUUCAUAACCCCAAGGAUAGAUGUUAAAUGCCUCAAGAUCCUCGGAGAGGUUUAUUAAAUCGAGGCUUAUGUUGUUGUUAACGUCUCUCGCCCAAAGAACAUUAUGUACAAACCAAACCAAGCACAAUGAUUGUUUGUGCUUCUUUGAAAGUCCUUUACCUUUCAACACUUCAAUCAGAUUUUUGUUUUAGAAGCUUGGACCAACAAUGGACACCAGGUCAUCACGAUCACUCGACUUGCCUUUUUCGUUUUUGGGUGUGCGGGGUGCUUUUUCCUGGGUCAGAGUAGGUAUAACUUGAGAAGGAGAAGGAGGAUAACAUUUUAGUCCUGUAACUAUGACAAACUCCUCCCAACCAAAACAAACAGGCGUGGCAUAGUAAUUUAUCCACACCUCAUCCAUCUUAUCUUUGUUUUCAUACAUAAACUUGCACUUGAGAAGAUCAUAUACUAUUUUCAUCUGGAAACGAGCAUUGUUGUCCUCCGACAAAUCAAGUUAUUUCCCAAAGCAGCUUUCCUUAAAAUAAGAAUCUAAUUUUUGUUCUCAAAGUAUUUUUCUAAAUGCGUUGAAAGAUUUUCCCAUGACUGACUUAACCAUGAGAUCACCCGUUAAAUCUAUGGCACCAUCGCACUGCAUUCUCACAGGGUAAUGAUCAAUGCUGAAGAUUUUGACCAACUCUUCGAAGGAAGGGCUAUUAGCAUUUGGAUAAUCUCUUUUGAAAGAUUCCUCCUCCCCGUGUUCAUUAUUUUCUGCUCCUGAUUGAGAUAACGCUUGUAAAACAAGCUCAUUGAGUGGUGGAUGUAGGUGAGCUGCUGCACUUGUUCCUUUACUUGGACUUGAUUCAAUUUAUUUUAUUUUGGGAGCCAUGUUAUCUUAAAUUAACAGGAACAUAACAUAGAUUAUAAUUGAUUAAUGAAUAACAGUAAUAUAACAGUUCCAAUAGAAAACUAAUCUGUUGCACCAGGUAUGUUAUCUGUUGCAACAUAUAACCGACCUAUUGCAACGGAUGAGUAAUACAUGGGAACCAUAAAAACAGUACUAUUUGUUGCACCUGGUAUUUUAUCUGAUGUAACACAUAAUUGACCUAUUGCAACAGAAGAGUAAUCCGUUGGAAAUAAUAAAAAUAGAUCACUAAUCUGUUGCACCAGGUAUUUUAUAUGUUGCAAUAUAUAACUGACCUGUUGCGACGGAUGAGUAAACCGUUGGAAAAAAUAAAAAUGGAUCACUAAUCUGUUGCACCAGGUAUCUUAUCUGUUGCAACAGAUAACCGACCUGUAUGAGUAAAUUGUUGGAAAGAAUAAAAAUAGUCCUAAUCUGUUGUAAAAUAAAGAGUAAACCGUUGGAAAGAAUAAAAAUAGAUCACUAAUUAGUUAUCUGUUGGAUCAUUAUUGUUUAGAUUUCUUACAAACAGAAGAGCCGUUUGUCGCAACAAAUGAAUGAUCUGUUAGAUUGUUCACUUGUUGCAUCAGAUUUUCAUAGUUGCAUCAGAUUUUUAAUCUGUUGCAUCAGAUUUUAAAAUGAAGGGUAAACUGUUGGAAAGAAUAAAAACAGAUCACUAAUCAGUUAUCUGUUGGAUCAAUAUUGUUUAGAUUUCUUCCAAACAGAAGAGUCAUAUAUCGCAACAGAUGAAUGAUCUGUUAAAUUGUUCACCUGUUGCAUCAUAUUUUCAUAGUUGCAUCAGAUUUUUAAUCUGUUGCAUCAGAUUUUCAUCUGUUGCAUCAUAUGUUUCAUCUAUUACAUCAGAUGUUUCAACUGUUGUAAUAUCAUUUCUACCAAGACAAACAACAAAUCAACCCAGCAACACCAAUAUAUCACACACACACAUACACACUAAGAACAUCAACUGUGACAAAAAAUCACUAAUAAAUUUGAAUCAACAGUAUGACAACAAGAAGAAGAAAUGCAGAAAUACCUGAAAUUAGAGUUUUAUUCAGUCCACAUUUCAAUACCAGAAGAGUAGUUGUCUCAAGUUCCUCUAUUUCUUCAUAAUUUUUUACCUGUGAAAAAGAAAAUGGGAGGACGAAGAACUCAAAGUUGUUGUCGCCGGAGAAGUUUUCACGUCGAUUGACGGUUGAAAGUCGAAAAGGAACUUGUCCGACUAUUUAUUGCCAGAGGUUGAAGGGAGAAAUUUUACAGAAUUGUUAGUUGGAAAAAGCUGGAGAGAAGGUGGUUGAUUAGGAUUGAAGAGGGGUGUGGGUUGGGUUGAUUUGUAUUUUGAAAAGAUUAGAAAGUUUUGAAAAUAUUAAUCAAGUCCACAAUUAACUUAAUCAAGUUUCCUAAUGAUGUUUGACCCUAUCUAUUGGUCAAUGUCACCAAUCCUUUUUUCAAGACUUAAAAGACACCUUUCCUUCAAUUUUCUCACGUUAUACGCUAAUUGCUAAUAUAAGAAAUUGAAUAGUUCAAUAGUCAAAAAUAGUACUCCCUUCAUUUCGUAUUAAUUGGCCCUUAUAGACUUUGCACACCCAUUAAGAAAAAUAUUUAUUAGGGGUCUAUUUUACCAAAUUAGCCCUAUUAAUUAUGCUUUGAAAAUAUAAAUUUAAAUAUAUAUAACUUGUUUAGUCAUUUAAUGACAAAGGUCUUAUUGAAAGAACAUAUUAAAAUCCUCUUGAUUUUAACAAUUGAACAACUAAAUUGAAACAAAUAUUUUUAAAAAAAGGGCCAACGGAGGGAGUAGUAGAAAAUUUUCAUAAGGCAAAAUGACCUUCUGAACCCCUGUACUAUGUCGGUUUUGUAAGUUGGACACUUCUACUUACAUGUUUGUCAUCUGGACCCCUGAACCCACUAAAAAAAAUAUUUUAAAUCCUUUUUUGGUGAGUGUAACACACUCUCCCCCACGUCAGUUGCCACGUCAGCUGCCACGCCUGACACGUCUGCCACGACAUCUGCCACGUCGUUUUAAAAAAAAAGUAUUACAUUAAAUUCCAAGUCAUUUUUAAAAUGCUACAUAACAAAUUAAAUAUUAAAAUUAAUUUAAUUAAAUAAGAAAAAUUUGAAUAAUCAUGUUUUUAUUUUUACUCACAAAUUAAACAUCAAAUUCAUUUCGAAUAAUUAAAAUUCUUCUCCAACUAAUUUAAAUUCUCAACUAUAAAUUCAUAUAAACAUGAUAAAUUUUUUUUUAAAAAAUUUAAAUAUCUUUAACAAUUUCAAGUUUAUUUAUUAAAUUCACUAAUUUUUCAAUAUCUACUAUCACUUACUUUCAAUUUAAAUUUAAAUUUUAAUCCCCCAAAAAACAAAAAGAUUUCAAAUUUAAAUUUAAUUACAAAAAUGAAAAAAAUUGAAUUGACAAGGAAAAUUAAAAUAAAAAAUAAAAAGUGAACGGGGGAGAGGAACUGGGAGGAGUGUAGGGGCUGGGGGUGAGGUGGGGAAGCCCGGACGGAGCUGGUGGGGUAUGGGGGGUUGGGGAUGUNNNNNNNNNNNNNNNNNNNNNNNNNNNNNNNNNNNNNNNNNNNNNNNNNNNNNNNNNNNNNNNNNNNNNNNNNNNNNNNNNNNNNNNNNNNNNNNNNNNNNNNNNNNNNNNNNNNNNNNNNNNNNNNNNNNNNNNNNNNNNNNNNNNNNNNNNNNNNNNNNNNNNNNNNNNNNNNNNNNNNNNNNNNNNNNNNNNNNGGUGGAGAAGGUUUUUUUUUUAAAUAAAAAUAUUUAUUAUUUUUAUAUUUAAAAAAAAUAAAUUAAAAAUGAUGGAGGAAAAAAUAGAUCCUUUUUUUAUUUUUUUUUAAUUUUAAUAUUUUUUAUUUUUUUUAAUUAUUUUAAUAUAAAAUUAGCUAAAAAUUGACCUUCACUCGCACCUCCAGGCGAGUGAGUACACUCUCCUUGUCCUAGUCACCAUUUCAAUGCCACAUAGGUGAGGUCAAUGGUCAAAGGAUACAAAACGUUGCUUUUUAAUGGAAGGGUCAGAUGGCAAACAUGUAACUUACCCUUUAAAUUAUCGGCAAACCUUUUCCACACAACCCAGCACAUAAUUCAUCUUACAAUUACCAUCAUCGAUCAUCACCUUGUUAACUAUUUAUUAAAUUUAUAUUAUCUUUAAUAUUGCCGAUACACUAUUUAUUAGUAACUUAUUGAAUUCCAUAUUCAUUGAUUUUUAAAUCCCGUGAACCAUCAAGUCUUUGAACACAUGUUGUGCCUGAAGCUAUUAGGUUGAGGACACGCCUGCUUGGGCGUCACACAUUUCAUAAAACAAAAAGAAGAUUAAUUACAAAGCUGAAGAAUGAUGCAUUUCGUCAUACCCAGUAUAUUCCCACAACGGUUUGGGAGGGUAAAUUGUACGCAGUCCAGACCACUAUCUCAGAGGUGAGAUAGAGAGGUUGUUUCUGAAAGAACCCUCAAUAUUUUAGAGAAGGACUGAAUAUAAGAACAAGAAACAGAAGAUAGAAACAAACAACACUUGACUCACACUAACAAAAUAUGACUUAUGCGAAGGUGUUCUGAUAUAUGUCUGAUUUGUGAUUAUUAUUAACAAGAAGAGUUAAUGGUCAAAAACACGCCUUGACUAUCAAUAUUUCGCGAGUUUCACAUCGCAAUAACAAUCAGCUGUUCCCUUUUCGUAUCCGAGCUAUCACCAUCGUUCAGGUAGGAAAAGGGAACAAGGCUAUCAGGUGUGUUUGAUAUAUAUCUGGUGAUAGUUCGGGCUGGAAAAGGGAACAACUGAAGUUGAGGUGUGACCUGUGAAACGACUACAUGAGCAUCAGGAAGAUGUGUAAUGUGUUGCAGUUGAGGACAUUGAACAUGAAAGAAGAAUCACAUUUCCAUCAGACUACUAUAUUGUUUUUGAUAGAUUAAGAUCGAAGAUGGAUAACAUAACAAUUCUCACUAGUAUGAAUCGUUGUAGAUAUUAACUACGGUGACUUGAAGAUAUAAAAGUCAUCGACGUUACUAGAUGAUUAUUUAUCUGUCAACAUUUUGGUUUGGAAAGUUGUACUUGAUAAUGAACAUAUCAUUUCGGAUGUGCAUACAUUCUAGAUUGAGUCGAAUAUGUAAUUUCUAUCGAGGAUGUGAAGGAGGGGGCUUUCUGAUAUGAGUUGCUUGUUCAAAGCCAUACGCAAUCUCAAUGAGUGUUGGCUCAGAACCCUUUAGUCCUCCAAAGGAAAUUCCGAAUGGAACUCCACUUUUAUCAUAACCAGCAGGUACAUUGAUCCCUGGAUAACCUCCUAUCGCGAGAAGACUAGCAAUGUCUGCACCAGGUGACAAUAAGGCGUCUAACUUAUUAACUUUCAUCAUCUUCUCAAACCCGUAUUUGCAUACUUUUGUUAUGUUGCUCAGUGCCUCCCUUU